Molecule: long non-coding RNA, 151518 nt
Filed under: Eutrema salsugineum
Lineage: Eukaryota; Viridiplantae; Streptophyta; Magnoliopsida; Brassicales; Brassicaceae
Description: long non-coding RNA (ESAL_LNC000709)
Source: RNAcentral
UUCCCAUACUUUUCAUUUCUUAAUCCAUCAUGCCCCUUAAGAACACUUGGGGCACUUACACAUACACAUAUAAGUGUAUAUAUAGAUCCAACCAUGCAUUAUAUAGUUUUAGUGACCGGGUUGAGUCUGAACAGCUUCUCCGGCAUAAGAACAACACCUUGAGCAGCCACGGUAACCUCUGUAGCAGCAACCGUGACGGCAAUAACCUCCUCCACGGCCUCCUCCGUUGUAUCCUCCUCCGCGGUGUCCUCCUCCGUUGUAACCUCCUCCUCCGUUGUAUCCUCCUCCGUUGUGUCCUCCUCCAUUGUAUCCUCCUCCUCCGUGGUGUCCUCCUCCGUUGUAACCUCCUCCUCCGUUGUAGCCACCACCAUAUCCAUCGGGUUUCACAUUUUCCUCACUUUCUGACUUCGCUGUAGCUGUCAAAAAUAAUACAUUUCAAAGAUAUUAUUAGCACGUUCAAAUUUGCAUUCCUCACCCAGAAUUUAGAACUAUUUUUCUAUUUGCAAAAAAUAUUAAGAGAUAUAAGUUUGCAUCUCUAGCUAGUUUGUUUCAAAACAUUUACAACAUAAGAUAUACGUUCUAAACAUUUUUGCUCUAAAUGUUUGAGAUGAUCCCGAUACAUAUAAUAAGAAUUCAACAUCAUACUUAAGUGUAUUUUGAUUUUCGUAAGUCUCCAGCCUUAUAACAAACUAAAUAGUUGAAUGAAUCUAUCACCCAAUGGAAGAAGUAGACAGAAACAUAAAAAAUAAUGUUACAUACCCGACUGCCUUUCGGAUGCCGCUGCCCUUUCUGAGACGACGAAAAGAAGUGCAAAGAGACCCAACAGAAUUAAAGCCCUCGAAGCCAUUUUCUUCAACUGUUCAACUCUUUGUUUUAGAACGUGUGAUGAAUAAAAAUGUCACCAUGUAUGCCUCUAUUUAAAGAAAACGAGGAGGAGGGAAUGAGAAGAGUAAAAAAAAACCUAAUCCCUAGUCCAAUAAAAAUAACUCAAAAGAAAAGUUAAGAAAUUUAAUAAUUUAUGACAAUAAAAAUAGUAAGAAGAAGAUAAGUAUCGAUUGCAUAGGGCCCAUUUAUGGUUGGUUGUUGGAAUCAUUGUAAAUAAUUUUGAAACUCCUUAAAUGGCAACUCUCCACUAGUCUUUUAGAUGUUUCUAUAAAACGUCUCAAACACAGCGCAUUCACACGUAUAUAGUCAUAGACAUAUUAAAAAAUAUUAUUGGAUUAUUUCGAGAAUAAUAUUCAUUAUUGGAGAGUUGGAGACUUGGACUAUUGUUUAUGAAUCGUCCUUUACAAUCUCAACCGACAGAUUUUACGCAGAAGGAUAUAGACAAAUCAUAUGGACUUAAAAUCAGUAAGUCAUAUAGGAGCGAUACGUAGUAGUUAAUAAGGACAGACGCAAAAUAUUAAGUCAUAUAGGAGCGUACGUAGUAGUUAAUAAGGGCAGACGCAAAAUAUUGCACGGCUAUAUUGUUGGGAUAUCAAUCCAAGUUUCACAUCUAAAAUUUAAACUAAUGUACUCAAAUAUAUAAGUAAAAUGUUUAAUAGUUUAGUAUAAAAUUUUUUGGAAGAAAUUUAAAAACAAAUCCGUGCAUGCUUUGUCAUUUGAAUCCAAAGUGGACAAUAUCAUACUAAUAGAGAAUUGGACAUGGAUUUGAAAAGUUCAACAAUUGGUAUCAGAACCAGGUUCUGGAAAAAAUGGAUCUGGACAAAUGGGUGUGGACUGUGUGUUCGGUGUGGGAGGGAGAGCCCUCAAAGUAACCUUGCGAUUAGGGUGCUGGUGCUUUGUAUCAAAAGUCUUCCGAUUGGGCUUUUCAAGCUCAUGUCCAACUCCCUAUUAGUAUGAUAUUGUCUGCUUUGGGCCCAAAUGACAAAGCCCGCACAGAUUUAUUUUUGGAUUCGGGUUUGAGUGGUCCUUAGCUAGAGGAGAGGAUUGUUGGGAUAUCAAUCCAAGUCCCACAUCCAAAGUUUAGACCAAUAUGGUCUAGUAUAUAAGCAAGAUGUCCAAUAGUUUAGUAUGAGACCUUUUGAGAAGGAAUCCAAAAACAAAUUCGUGCGGGCUUUGCCAUUUAGGCCAAAACGGACAAUAUCAUACUAAUAAGGAGUUGGACUGGGCUUGAAAAACCCAAUAUGAAGACUUUCGAUACAAGGCACCAGCACCCCAAUCGCAAGGUUACCUUGAGGGCUCUCCCUCCCACACCGAACACACAGUCCACACCCACUUCUCUAGUCUACCUUUUCCAGAACCUGACUCUGAUACCAAUUGUUAGAUUUUCAAGUCCUUGUCCAACUCUCUAUUAGUAUGAUAUUGUCUGCUUUGAGUCCAAGUAGAAAAGCCCGCACGUAUUUGUUUUUGAAUUCCUUUCCAAAAGGCCUCAUACUAAACUAUUGGAUAUCUUUAUGUACUAGACCAUGUUGGUCUUUACUUCGGAUGUGAGACUUGGAUUGAUAUCCCAACACUUUUUAACAGUUGCGAAAAGGUUAGGAGAAGAGUUUCGUUGGUGCGUACGGUGAUACAAGAUGGGUGCCAAGUUUCGCAGGAGGUUGGGAGGCCACGGGUUUGUGUGAUCCUUGGCUUAAGGGGAGAAUUAUUGGGAUAUCAAUCCAAACCUCAUAUCUGAAAUUUAGAGCAAUAUGGUCUAGAAUAUAAGCAAGAUGUCCAAUAGUUUAGUAUAGGGCAUUGUGGAUAAGAAUCCAAAACAAAUCCAUGCGGGGUUAGCCAUUUAGACUCAAAGCAGAUAAUAUCAUACUAAUAGAAAGUUAGACAUGGGCUUGAAAAGCCCAACAUAUAUUAAUCACAGCUAUUCUAAUGGAAAAUUUUUUUAAUGAAAUUAUCUAUUCAAGUCAUUUAAGCGUAAGGCUUGAUAUUCAGUAAAUGAGUUGAGAAUUAGUUAAUAAUAUUAAUAAAGGUCAUUGAGUGUGGACAUGUUAGUUACUUUCCUGCUACUUGCAUUUGACUUAAGAGUGAAAUUCAUAAGAUUGUACAAACAAAUUGUCUAACACAUGAGACUUGUGAUACCAAGAACAAUACAUGCACACAAUAAGCCAUGGUAGCUCAAUUAUUCGUUUGGAAUGUAAAACAUCACAUACAUGUCUAAUUCAAGUUUUACUUGAUAUAAAAAUUAAACGGAUGAUAUAAAGGAUCUAAGAACACCUCCAUUAGUGAGAUACAUCAAUAUAAUAUUAAUACUGCAUUUAAAAUAUACUUUAACUUUGCAAUUUUAAGUUUUCUAAAAAACAUUCAUGAAAAGAUAUAUGUUACAUUAGUCUCUCAUAUGGUUUACAAAUGAUAAUCCAUUCUCAUUCCCCAUUCUUUCUUUAAUAUGAGAAAUCCAGUGAAAUAUUCUCAAUAGAGAUGUUUUAAAGCCUCUAAUUAAUUAGCAUGAAUAUUUUACUUAUUAAAAAUGUAUAAUUUCAAGCUUGUGACUCAUCAAGGAGAACAUCCAAAACGACUUAAUCAUAAGUACGAGUUGGGAUUAAGCAAGAAUUGGGAACUGGACAGAGAGCAAAAAAUUAGAAAAUACGGAACACAAAUAGUAAUAGUUAAUGGUAAUAGUUAAAGGUAUCAACUUAAUCAUAAGGACGAGGGUGAUCUUUGUCUUACACAUAAUUCUUUUCCCCCUUAUUUCCUCUUAGUUUGGUUGUAAGGAUUAUCUAGAGGGUUGUAGCCUGUAGGAUAUAUGAUCUAGAGAUUGUGAAAGAUCUCUCGAAAAUUCUCAAGAAUUAGUCUACAAAAUAAAUUCCUAAGAAUCCUUCCCCAAUCCAAAGGAUCACGCUAGCAAUCCCCAAACCUCCGCUUUUGUCACUUAUCUUACCCUAGAUGGAUCUUCAAUACAGAUCGUUUUAUCCAUUUGAUCAAUACCAUACAAUUUAGGUGUCUUUGUAUAACAAGGCGUAGUAUAUCCCUUAUUUGGUAUUCACGCAACACAAUGAAACACAUGACUAUAUCUUUGUGUUUUUCCACUCAUUUUCGAAUUCUUUCUCUUUGUGUUAGAUUUAUUUUUGAGAGGCUGUCUCUUUUUUUUGGACAAAAGAAUAGAUACCUACAACUGUUUUAUAACAUAAACAAUAUCUUGCAGUCCGCCGCGUUGAAUGUAUGAAAUAGAGAAAGCUAAAACCUUCCUUACACAUGUUGAAUUCCUCCAUGCGGUAUAAACAUCAUCGUCACCAACUCGAAAUAGUCUGUAACAAAAGAUGUUGUCUUCUGAUAUUCGAUUAUACAGUGCAUGAUCCAAAUGAAUGCUUCUACUUCAACGUGCAAAGGAAAGAUUUUCUUGUAGACUUUUGCUCCCAUUAAUAUCAUUCAAUAUAUUCUUGGAAGCAAUGCCAUCCUAGUCUGGAAAAAUUGUCGGUUUAGUUUUCUUGUAAGAGCAGUCUAUGUAGCAUCAAAUAAUUUAACCAAAUUUCCUUGGGUCAACGAUCUAUUUUUUUAUGGGAAUUAUCUAUAGCAUGAGAUGUCUCCCGACCUAUAUAUGCCUUCUUUCUAUAUCUCCACGAAAUCGGGUUAAGACCUAUUUGAGAGAUUAAUAUUUUUAAGUUUGUUUUUGUGGGGAUAUACACAGAGAAAAUAAUUUAAUGUACGUUAACAUCUGAUGAUGGCUGAUGCUACAGUAAAAAUUCUAUAUAUUAAUAAUGUUGGAACUUUAAAAUUUUAUUAAUUUAGCAAAUUAUUAAUUUAUAAAGAAAUUAAUUUAACCAAAAUUUAAAUUUAAAACCAAAUAAUUAAUUGAGUUUAUUAAUUUAUCAAAUAUUAAUUUAUAGAAUUUCUGUUGUAUAUAUAUGAUAGUUCUCGUGAUUCUUUCUAUCCUUUCUAAGAAAGAGAAGUUAUCAAAUACAUUUAAUGGUGGAUACGUGGAGUCUCGGUCAGGAUUGUUGAUCACCACACGUGAUAGUGAAAUUGUAAUUUGGUAAUAAUAAGGGGAAAUGUUCAGCUAAAAAAAUUAAAUGAAACUCAGACCAUGCAAGUGUUGGAACCUUACUCAAUGAAUUGAUUGCUUGUUUCGAUCCAAAAUUCAAAAAGCAAUAACUAUAGCUGAUGCUGACUAUUGAGAAGAAAGUUCUAAAUUGGCAACUCAAACUAACCACAUGAUAGUAUGAUACAUAAUGACAUUCUUUCAAUUUUAUAGCCUUUUCUAUCAAAUUGAAAAUAUGGAAAACCAAAUUAUAUUUUUAAUAUUUAAAACAAGAUACUAGCUAUUCUAUAACUUUAGUAUACCCAGGUAAAGAAAAUAAGAUUUAGAUUCUAUAUUGAAUAAGAAUCAGUCUAAUUAUGACUCAUAUAGUUAGAUUUCAAUUAAAACUCUUAUUAGUUAUUCAGAAAUUAUGUUUUAUAAUUUGUAAGUAAGAAAAUUUAAAAUUAAUCUAUAUUAAUCAUAAAUAACCCUCUUAAAUAAAUAAGAGGUUAUAAGACAAUAAUUUACAUUUUUCAAUUUGUAGUUUCUAUUUAUUUCUGUAUUUUACUUUUUAUUUUAUUUUAUUAGUUUCUUUUUUUGAACCAAAAAUUAUUUUGUUUUAUAUUUAAUUUUUUAAUAUUUAAAUAUAAAUAACUAAAAUUUAAAAACUUAAAUUAUUAUAUUAACAUAUGUUACAAUCUAAACUAAUAAUGACACAUAUAAUAUCUGUAAAAAGUUAUAAUUAUUCUAUGUGUCAUGCUAACGUAGAUCUUACCAAGUAGGAUUGUAACACUAGAUAGAUUCAACUCUGCAUAAUACGUAAAAAAUAAUAAAAUAUUUAGAUGAUCUGGUCAUCGAUCUAGCAAACCACCACAAGGUGAUCUCAAUGCCCAUAGACGAUCCAACCGAGCCAUCCGAAGCUGAUUGGAGCCUUGUUGAAGCUGUAUCGGUGAAACCAAAUACCAAAUCAACUGAGGGAAGGCAUUUUUACCAACCAACCAACCCCAGUGAAGACUGAUCAAGCAAAAACACUUUUGACUCAAACCAGAACUGAAGAUAACCGAGACAUUCCACCUAAUAGCCAAGGAGCGGUUAUACCAUCACCAUCUUUGACCAAACCGGUGAUUCAUGAUCCAAGAACCAAUAUUCAUCGACCAACCGACCAUAAGGAGUAUUCUGUACGAGAUAUUUCAUGUCUUAACCAAGCUAGAAGUAAAGAUAACCGGAGCCUCACCAACCGGCUUGAUUACAAACCAGAUUUUACCCGAGAAGAGACUUGGGCUGAUUUCUUAGAGAUCAAACUCAAUCACCAAGAACUAAUAUCAAACCUGAUUUGCUCUGUGUUCUUGACCCAUUAAGGAAUCACGGUGAAUUGGAAUCAGUCCAACUUACCCGAUUGGAAAUAUGCACCUUAAUUGAAGCAUUCCGACCAAGCCGGGAGGAAUUAAGCUGCGAAAUGACUUGUUCUGGAAUCUGGGUUCAUCAAGGAAUCCGGGAUAGUUGGAAUCACACCAAGUCCGGUUUUCAUUUGGGAGAUACUCCAUUUCUAAACCGACCGAUGGUUUCCCAGCUUGCCUUAUUUGAAACCCUAUGGGUUUAGGAGACACUAGACGUAUCAGUGGCAUCCAGGAGACUGUGCUAUUUCCAGAAGUUCCCUAAAAUACUCUAGAGUGCACCCGUACGCCUUGGAUCAGGCGGAUCCAUCUGUACCUUCAAUUGAACUAACUAGGGCCGAUUAUAGAAACUACGAAGACCGACCAGUUCAAUUAUGAGCAAACCAAGAUAUCACGACCAGAAGAGAUUCUUAGACAAUUAAGGAGCUUAAAAACACCUUCCCAUGCACCAGAAACCACAGGAUCAGACGGAUCUUCUUGCAAGUCCACUUUCCUUAUGUAGCUGCGUUCACAUUAGGAGCCAUAACUUUCCAACGGCUCUUUGUCUUUAAGUGCUACGAUAUGGACAACUUUUUUGGAGAUAAGAAUGUUCCAGAAAUUCUCACUAAUCCUCUUAAACCUUACGGAUACAAAGGCGUCAUCACAAUUGCCUUAGUUGCCGAGACCCUCCAUUAAGAGCCAACAGCUAGUUUUUGAUAUAUUUUUGAUUUGUUCCUUUACUCUAGAUUUUUAGACCGUUUGUAAUUAAGCUUGUAGGAGCUCUAUACAAGCUCAGCUCAGGUAAUUUUUACAAUUCACCUUUAAAUCCAGAUUAAUACAAAGUAUUCCUUUUUCUUUCAAAGUUGUGUCUUUGCAAAGACUUGUUCUUUUCUUUAGAAUUAAGUGUGAGAUUCACUUAGCUCUAUAGAAGCUGCGAAAUUAGUUUGUUUAUGAGAUUCAAACAAACUAUUUCGUCGACAUAUUGAGAGAGUCAAUCAACCCCCAUCGAUUGAGAGUCAAUCACCCUAUCAUCAUCUUUAUCUCGACUUCAUUCCACCUUCCGCAGAAUAAGUUUGGAAUAUCUUCAUCAUUAAGUGAUCAUAAGUUGGAGUGAUUUCAAUCUUGUAUCAAUUAAUAAUGACACAUGUAAUGAUAUAGAAAGUUAUAAUUAUCCUACGUGUCAUGCUAGCGUAGAUCUUACCAAGUAGGGUUGUAACACUAGAUAGAUUCGGCUCUGCAUAAUAUGCAGAAAAAUAAUAAAAUAUUUAGGUUUUCAAUUUUUAUAAUCUGCAUAAUUAUGACUUGUACAGUUUGAUAUAUACUAUUAUUUGCGAGGUCAAAAAUCUGAUGUGUCAUCAUCACAGUGAUUGUCUUAUGUGUCAUUAAUAAAAAACAAUUAUGUGUUGUUUUAAUUUGUUUUGAUAGGUCAAUCAUUAGUCCUACGUGUACAUAUCCAUGACAUGGUUUUUUUUCUUAAUUAUGGGCCAAAGAUUUUGCUAAUGGGCCACCGAUCUUAAAGUUUGUCCUAGCCACCGAUGUAAAAGUCGGUACUAACCUAAACCCUAGCGUAUCCAUCGUGCUAGAUAUACCCAUUUCGGUUUUCAUAUUUUCUUACAUAUAAUAUCUGUCUACUAAAAAAAAAAUUGUUCACCUCUUUUUUUAAAAAAAAACUAUCAUAGCAUUUAAAAAAAACGUCCACCUCUUUUUUAAAAAAAGGAUCAUAUCAUUUUUUAUAUACUCCAUCUCUUUUUUUUAAACAAUCUCUAUGAUUAUUUAUGCGUAUUUCUAAUGAAAAUAACCUACUAUUUUUUGUAUAAUUGAUAUUUUGAUGGUUCUAUAGUUCAUCUCUCGCCUUACAAUGGAAUCGUCAGGUAAAUAUACAUUUUUGAUUUUAUCUUAGUUCGUGCUUUUAAUGUUUUUUCAGAUUCUAGAAGUUUUUCUUUUGUAAAUCCACGGCGUAAUAGUUAUUUGCUUCAAAACUUUUAUGAAUUUUCUGUAGCGAUUAGCAAUCGUCCCUUUCAUGAUCCUCAGAUUUUCUAUAUCAUCUGCCGCCAUCUCAAAUCGUUUUUCCACGAGAUGAAGAUUCUUCUGCCAGUGUUAACAAUGAUAAAUUUAUCGGUUGGUCGAAGUGUAAUCAGGACUAUCCAGAAUCCAGAUCGUUAUGUAUUCUGAAUUUCUGACACGUUGGAUUUGAGAUUGUUAAAAACAUCAUGGCAUCCCCGUCUCUGCGGAAUCUCCACACCGAGUAUUAUAUCCAAUUGUAACCCCAACACUGGUACUGCUUAAGGGUUUUAUUGCAUGUCGUUUGCAGUCCAUGUUCUUAUAUUGAUAUAAGAACAAAUAAAUGGUGUUGUCCACCCUACUUUCAAAGAUGCAUGUUAUGUUUUAGGUUAAAUUCACGAUGAUACUGAGAAUGUUUAAGCUUUCUAUAAGGCAAGUCAAUGAGGUUCCCGCUUCUCUCUCUUCAAAUGAGGUUCACUACUUUGUUACAUCCAGGUUCUAUGAUGAAUCACUUUUGUGUAUGGAGAUCCAUUCAAUGUUUUUUAGUAUAAGUUUUGUCAAUUUUUUGCAUUGUCUUUGAUUUUCUUUUCUUUCAUUAUAUUAUUUUAACAAUUUCUUAGAUUUUUUAUUCUGUUCUGCCCGGUUUCGGUUGAGAGGUUUACUAUUUGAGAUUUUUGUUGGACGUUGUUAGGUAUUUUUAUUGGACGUUGUUAGGUAUUUUUAUUGGAAGUUGUUAGUCUUGGUGCUCAUGCUUUAUAUAUAGAUGAUAUCCAGUAGCUAAAGAUUUGUGUACUUAGUGGUUCGUUUGUUCGGUUGGUAAUUUUUUGUUUGGGUUUUUGAAUUUGGUUUUGUAUUAUUUUUUCAGUCGGUUAGAUUGAUAUUUGGUGCGUGUUGGUUAUAUAUUUUGUGGUUUAAUGAUUACACUAUUAUAUAUAUAUAUACAUAUAUAUAUAGUUGUAGUGUGGUUUUUAGACAAAAUUCUCUUUUUUCAAUUUUUGCGAUAGUUUAUUUUUCAAGAAUGUCACAUAUUUAUUCAUUGAGCUUUUGUGGUGUUUAUGAUUUCUAAUAUGUCUACGGUUUUGUCAGAUAUGAUUGUAAUUAUUUACCUAAGCUCUUAAAAUUAUUAUUUAUUAUAUAAUCUAUACAUAUAUUGUGAUCAAAGUAAAGAAUGUAUAUCCUAGGGUUAUUUAACUAUGAUCUGAAAUUUAGUAUUUAUUAUAUAUAAUCUAAUAAGGAGAUGAAGACGACCAAUGAAGUCGGAAGGUGAAGAUGAUAAAAAUAUAGAAGACAAAGUAAAAUAAAAAAAUGAAAAAAAAGAAGUAGAAGAAGAGGAGAAAAAAAGAUAAAUCAAAAUAUAAAGAAGAAGCUGUAGUUGAUGAUAAAAACUAAAGAAAAAUAUGAACAUAAAUUUGAAUAAAACCAUAGAGAAAAAGAAGAAGAUGAGAACACAGAAUAGUGAAGAAGAAUAUUGAUAAGAAAAAAGAAAUUUGGCUUUGAAUAAGAAAACCAGAAGAAAUAAAUGAAAGAUGUAGAAACAAAGUAAAGACGAGGAAAUGGGAAAAUGAGUAGGUGUAGAUGAAAAAAAAAAGAUGAAAACACUAGAAGAAGAUAAAUUUGACAAAGACCAAAGAGGAAUAAGAAGUAAAGAAUAAAGAAGGCUAAUAAAAAUCAAAAAAGAAAGAAGAACAAGAAGAAAAAGAAGAAAAAGAAGAGCUGAGAAAUAUAACGAUGAUGAAGAAGAAGUCAAAACGAUGAUGAAGAUGAAAGAAAAUUAUGAAAAAUAAGAAAAUCGAAAGAUAUAUAAGACGAAGAAGAAAGUACAAGUCAAAGAUGAUGAAUAAGAAGGAAAAUAUGAAGAAGAAGAAGACUUUGGGACAGAAAAAAAAAACAAUGUCUUUAAAUUAUAUAUUAGAGAAUGAAGAAGAAAGACAUAUAAAAACCAAAAAAAUAAAAGAAUAAGGAAAAUACAAAGAAAAAAAAAACCAAAAGAUAAAAAGUAGAAAAAAGAGUAGAACAAAAUAGAAGAGCAAGAAGAAGGAGACAAGUCUGAAGUGGGAAUUGAAAUAGAAGUUGAAGACGAUGAAGAAGAGGAAAGAAAACAUAAGAAAUAAGAAAAUUGAAGUCAAUGAUAAAGAAGAAGUAAAAGACGAAGAAGAAGACUGAAAAAAAGAAAAAUAAAAAUCAUAAUAAGAAAAAUUAUGACAAGACGAAAUGUUGACAACUAAAAAUGGGAAGAGGAUGACGAAUUUAGAGAGAGAGAGAGAGAGAGAGAGAGAGAGAGAGAGAGAGAGAGAGAGAGAAAUUGUGGUAAUGCUUUCAGGGACAUGUAGAUGGAGAGAGAGAGACAGUGAGUGAGAGAAAUAGAGAGAGAGAGAGAGUAAGAGAAAUGAGAAAGAGAGAGUUAAACAUUUCAAGUACAUGACAUUAAAUCUAUGUUAGUUCGUCUUUUCUGUGUUUCUAUUUUUUUUUAUAUCUGAGACACUUCUUACUUUAAAUGUAGUUGUCUAAAUCGUAGAUAUAUACAACUUAAGACGAGGGAAGAAGAGAGAGAGAGUGAGAGAGAAAUACUGAAACAGAGGGAGGGUAAGAGAGAGAAUGAUAGGGAGGGACGCAUGGAGGGGGAGAGAAAGUUAAAGUUUUCAGGUAUAUGUAUUUGAUUAAUAUAAAAGACGAAGAAAAACAAGAAGAAUAUGAAGUCAGAGAGAUCAAAGAAGACGAAGGUGAUGAUGAAGAAGAAGAAUUCGAAGUAGAAGAGGAAGAAGUUGCGAAUAAGAUGUGGAAAACAUGAAGAAGAAGAAGACGUGAUUAAAAAAAAAAAACUAAAGAAUAAGAAGUAAGAAAAGACAUAUAGAAUGAAGAAGAAAUAAAAGAAAAUGAAAAGAAAGUAAGAAUAUGCGAGAGUAGAAUGAGAGAUAAAGGUGGAAAACUAUGAAUAAAGAUAAGGAAAAGACAAUAAAGAAGAAAAAUCAAAAGAUAAAUAAGAGGAAAAAAAUGAUGAAAAGCGAUUAUGUGGAGUGAUAACUAUGAGUUUUCAAGACUCUUUGUAGAGGUUAUCAAUCCCUUGUCUUGUAGUACAAGGGGUUUAUCAAUCCAAGAAUGUGGUGAUAGACACUAAGCUAUGUAAUCAGGUUCUUAAUUCAAGCAAACAAGAGUGGUUUGGUUAACUAGAGACAACUACAAACUUAAACAGGAUUAAAGACUAAUGAAAUGAUUAAACAAGAACUAAACAAUGAGAAAUGAUGAGAAUGUAUGAAUGAUGAUGAGAAAAGUCUUAGACAUGAUAGUGGAUUAGGGUGCCUUCAGUGAUAAACUAAUGAGCUAAUGAAUCAUAUGAUCAAGCAAACCAUUCAACAUAAACAUCUUUAAUUAAGUUAAUCCUCUCAUGAAGGUAUUAACUCCUAUGCUAAAACAGUUUCUAACCCAAUCAUCAUCAGUGAAACAUGAGUUAACAAGCAUUAAGAAUCAGUUUAAUCUGUCAUUUAAGCAUAUAGACAAUCAUUCCCAUGAUGAAUAACACUUAAACCUAUAACAACCUUGGUUCAAACAUUUCAUCAAACACUUUUGAUGCAUGAAAUGCCCAGAAUCUAGACCACAUAUGAUUUGUAUGGAUCUAGCAUAGAGAACAAGUUGUAGAGAAUGGAAUAUGCAUGAUCUAACCCCUAAGCUCACUAAUCUACCACUUAAACACCCUAAUCUACAUAUCUAAGACCUUAAUAUGGAGAUUACUCACUAAUCAUGAUCAACACACUAGAUCCUUUGCAAGAUGUGUUGUUAAUCAUGAUUAGAAGUGUAUAGAUGGAGAGAUAGAUGAUAGAUUUUAGAAGAAAGCAGCUUUAAACACAAAGAUCUCUUAAACUCUCUUGAUUAAACACUCAAUAAUCAAUAUUUCUCUUCUUAAUGGAGUCUUUUCACAAAAGAGGCAAGAGACAAAAGGAAUAAAGCUUAGUCUUCUAAAAACCCUACAAAGUAUUUAUAUCUCUCUAAAAAACGAACCGGGUCAGCCCGGAACAAACCGGAUCCUGACCCGGCUUUAAUGGAUAAAGUGGAAAUUCUGCGGGUUGGUCCAGUGUCUCCCAGGUAGCAUGCCCAAGUCGCAGUAGAUGAAGAACUUGUCUUGUGAGACUUAAAUCGCCUUGUCUUAGUCGCACGCCCAAGUAGGAGUGUUUUGCGAGUCUUGCUGCGGCUUAAUCUUCUUCUUCUUCAACUCGCAGGACCAAGGCGGUUUCUGGGGAAUGUACAAACCGUGCGGGUUGGUCUCCAUUACACUCAGGUCGCAGGCUCAAGUCGGAGUAGAUUGAGAGUGAUCGUGCGGCUUGGUUCCAGGCGCGGCCAACUCGCAUGCCUAAGUCGCACGAUUGUGGACUUAGCAAUUUUCUUGCUCGGGAGCCUCAGACCUCAUCCAUUGAUAGCUUACCCGCACUUCUCAACUCGCAGCAUCAAUUUCCAGGCAUUCGUCUUCAGGCCUGCGAGUUAACCAAGUCGCAAGGCUUUCUCGCAGCAUUCAGAGCAGCUUGGACCACUUCGCAUUCCGGAGAGUUUAACUUCUAAGAUACUUGUCCGAAUUGAGUGAUUCCGGUUGAAGAGGACAGAGGACUCAUAUAUCUCCAACUUUGGUGAAGGAAGCUUCGGUGCUUGGGAAGUGGAAGGCUUCCUGGAGAGCUCAUCUUUGCAGUGCAUUUACACGAUCAGAGAGAGGCGUCUAGACAUGUGUCAAUUCCGGAGACCGUAUCUUCCUGCUCAUAGCUCCGAAUUGAAUGAUCUUGGACGUUAUGGAUAGAGGACUCAAAUGUCUCUGAUUCGCAUGAAGGCUCAGGAAACUGAAUCGGCCUGAAAGUGCACUGUCCGUCGCAUUCUUCAGAGCUCAUCGGCUUGGUCCAGAACAGCAGCGAGACAGGGGUUCCUUCCGACGAGCUUAACUUUCUGCUCACGCGUCCGAAUUCCAUGAUUUCACUUGCUAUGGAACCAUGAUCCAAUCGUCUCCAACUUCGAUGAAGCACCCGACAACUGAAUCGGACCGGAAGGUUCCCCGGACAGGCGAUUUCGGAAACGUGUCUGCACCCGGAGAUUUUGGCCGAAAGAUUCAAUAGCCGGUACGCGUUUUGGCCGAUAAAGUCUACCCGCGGUACGCGUUUUGGCCGAGAAAAACCUUUCUGGUGCGCGAGAAUGGCCGAUAACCUCCAAAGACCCAAUUUCACCAUUUUUCAAGCCUUGAUCAUCAUUCCACCUCCUGGAUUCAUCUUUUCAGCUCCAAAUACACCUGAUAAGCACUCAAAACAUGCAAAGACUCAUUGGGACCUAAUGCAUCUCCUAAGUUCUAAAACAAACCCUAAGGACCUAAAAUGCAUGGAAUAAAACAUGAUUUGAAAUGAAUUAUGCAACCUAAAUGAUGCAAAUUAUGAACAUAUCAACUCCCCACACUUGUCCUUUGCUUGUCCUCAAGCAAACAAGAACAAAUGAGAGAGAGAGGUUGAAUGCAUGGGAGUUCACAUUUUCUUUUUGAGAGAAGUGAUCACAAUGAGAAUUCAAAUUCAUGCUCAAUUAUGCAAUGCAAAGCCAUACUCAGAUAUAUAUCAACUCAGCAAGGAAUUUCCACAAGUUCUUCUCUCUCUCAACUCUUACAUUCAUUAAGCUUUUAUCAGGUGAAUCUCAUGAUGCAAUGUUUAAACAAGCUGGCUUGGCUAGGGAGAGGCUAUGAGAUUAAAAUGAUCUCAUUAGUGUUCAAGUGGGUUUAAUGCAGCAAAGGGAUCUCUCUAUGAAUGAUCAAACUUUGGCAGAAUACUAAAGGUAAAAAGCAACCUAUGCAUACAAGGGCAAAGACUCAUCACACCCCACCCUCUACUCAAAGCUUUCUCACUUGCUCACUCUCUCAAGGACCUCACUUUUCACACUUAUUUUCCUCUCACUAGGGGACUUACUUUUCACUUUCACUCUCAAGUCUUGGAGUUCAAACUUUACACAGCUCUUUUUCUUUUGCAACCUCUAGCCUCCUUUUCUUCUUUCUUUUCAAAACAUUUGAGCUCUUUGGCUUCUUUUCUUUUCCUUUUACUUAGAGGCUAGACUCUUUCUUUUCAACACACCAGAGCUCACUUUCUUUAACUCAAAACUCCAAGACUGAUUUCUUUUUCUUUCAUUCCCCUAGCUAUUUCCACUUCCUCUUUUCCACUCAUCUCACCUUUUUCCACUCACCAACAAGUCUUUUCCCCCACACUUAUUCCUCGCCAAAACUCUCAGUUCCUUGAUGUUGGAACACAGCACUCAAUGAGACCUGCCCUUGUCGCUCUAAACCUAACACUUUCUGCUAAGUUUGAUCCAAGGUGGCCUUUCAAUUCACACACAAACAUUGGCUUGAAAGAAAGAUGGGUUCAAGGUGAGGGAACUGAUCCAUGAUGCGGAUUCAGCUACUUGAGCUAAGCAAAAAAGGGGGGGGGGUAAAAACAAUGGUUCUAGCUCAAGUAUGUAUAUCGGUAUCCACAAGCUUUUUCAAACAAUGCAUCACAAGAUAUUUUCAAGUCAAGUUCAAGGUUCCCACUUAAUUAGAGUUGAGUUCAAUUCAAACUUGCUUCUCAGAUUCAGAUCAUUUCAGACUUUGCAAGCACAGAAAAAGAUUCACAAGCAUAUUCAGUUCAAGUUCUCAAAGUGAUGUACUCUCUAGAAAAUCUAUCAUUACUCCCUGCAAGAUGCAACCUACAUGAACAUGCAAUCUAGACUCAAUCCUAAAAAUGAGAAUGCAACUACAUGAUCAUUUUUUUUGUGAAAAUUUUUCAGAUUUUUCAUUUUUUUUGGGUUUUUAUAUGCACUUAGAUGAGACUACAUGAAUAUGCAACUAGAAUGUGACUCAAGACUCAAAGUAUAAAAUAAGAACAGAGAAAACAUGGUUAGUAAAAGAUGAAACUCCUCCCCCACACUUAAAUAACACAGUCCCUUGUGUUAUAAAAGCAUGAGAAAGGAGUGAAAGCAAAGCAAACAAGUAAAAAUGCAAAGAAAAAGAAAAUCUACAUGCAUAUUUACAAGGUUUAGAGUGUUACCUAAGAGCUGUUGAAGUCAGACCCCAAUGAGUAAGAGGGGUUUGAAGUGUGACCGGAUGGUGUCUCCCAAGAAUGAUGGCUUGCUUCAUCAGACCCGUCGUCGAGAUCCACCCAAGUUGUGCCAUAUGUGACCAGGGCUAUGCAGUUCAUGGAACUCUCUCCAACUUCCUCUCUGUUCCUUGGUGAAACUGGUGCUGGAGACCCACCUUUGCAAGGGUUUUCAAGCUUAUUAAUCCUCUUCUUCAUCUCCUUGAUGCACUUGGCCAUCUUGUGGAUGGUUUUGUCUUGGUACUUGCACCAUUGUUGGAGAAUACCAAUCUUUUGUUGAGCUAUGAACCCUGAAGUGCCUGGUUCCUCCCAGUUGUAAUCAUCAAAAUGGUAUCUAUUUCCAACAAAACGUUUUUGAGGUGGAGGCAGAUCAGCAUCUUGAGCACCAGUAGCACUUGUGGUAGCAUCUUCAGCGGUUGCUCUCUUUCCCUUGGAGGCUUCUUCUCUGCAAGCUUGCUUGUAUGUGAGGAUUGGUGGAUCAGUUUGGACAUUGUACAGCUCUUCCUUCAGCAAGAAGAAGUGAAUGUUCCUCUUAACUUGGACUGUGGUGAUGGAGGGAUUGGGCAGGAGAGUUUGUGCUGGCUCACUGAUGAGAGUCUUGAAGUUGUAUACUACCUUGGUACCCACUCUUCCUUGGAGGAAGCCAAUCUUACACAAAUGUGCUUCAUUAAUUAGAUCAAACUUUGCCUUGUUCUCCUUGAAUCUGUACCCCUUGGCUUUCAAAAUCUUUGUUACCACCCAUCCAUGGGCCAGCUUUGCAUCUUGCUUUGUAGAACCCCAAAUGCACUUUUUUUAGAACAUCAAAGACCUUGCUAAUUGAGAGGCAAGGCAAAGUGGGUAUUCAUACUGUUCAUAGGGUUCCCCAUCUUCAUGAGUUGGCAUCAGCUGUUUCAGCCCCACACCAAGAAGCAUCAGAUCGCCUUUGUGAACUCUUCCAUCAUCGAUUUUGAAGUAGAAGCUGUGAGAGAGAAUCUUGUGAACAUAUCUCAGCACUGGAUUCCUUAUCCAAGAGGACUUAGCUGUUCCAGCUAUGUACUUCCCAGAAGCAAUUGAUCUCCAUAGAAGUUGGACCUCAUCUUUUCUGAGAUUGACCUGGUUGGAGAGAAGUUCAUUUCUAGGUGUUAACAACCCAAAAAUCUCAUUCAAUUCUCUGAAUGACACUGAAUAAUCCUUCCCUUUCAUAGUAAACUCCAAAUGUCCAAGCCCAUCUCCUUGAAUAAUUCUUGAAUCCCUUGGGUAGUAAAUGAAAGCUUCAAAAGAAGCCAAGAACUCCUGAGAUUCCUCUUCAUAAGCGAUCUCUCUCAUCUCCAAAAGUGACUCAACACCCAUGUUCCCAAGCAAGGUUUUGACAUCUUCAUAGAUGCCAAUAUUCUUCAAAAAGUCCACAUCAGGGAACCUCCCUUGCUGGAUCUCUAUCUGUUGAAACUUCGCCAGAUAAUCAAGUGUUUCUGGUUCAGUUUUCUUGAACCUUUUUGAUCCCUCUUCAAUGGUGCCUUGUGAACCACCAGCUGAGCUGCUUGAGUCACUUUCAGUCUGUUCACUCUCAGAUACGACAGCCAACUGUUUCCCCUUCUUCUUGGAACCAGAAGCAACCACCAAAGAUUUUCCUUCAUGCCUUGUCCUUUUUGGCGCUGGAUCACACUUCCCUUGCUUUGUGGUAUUCUUUGCUCCUUGACCUUUUUCUCUUGGCUGUGAAGACCCUGAGACCAAACCUUUGCCCUUUGAUGCAGUGCUCUUCUUCUUGGCCAGAGAGUUGGUUCUUUCAGUCAUCUGCCAAGACAUUCUCAAAAACAAUGUUAGUACAAGAACAAGCUUCACAAAAUUCUCCAAAAUUUUGAAAAAAAAAAAUUGUUGCAAGAAUCGAUUUUAAAACCACAUGAACAGGUUUCUCAAGCCAAGCAUCAAUCCAAUAAGUUCAUAGCAAUGCAAAAACAAGAGUGCAAAGCAAGGACUCAGCAAUGAAAAUAGAUCUUUUUAAAAAAAAAAAAAAAAUCGAUUUUUCUCAUGAAUUUCUUACAACAAUUUUCAAAACUCAAGAACAAGGAAUCACCAACAGCUGUUUUCUAAGACUAUCUAGCACCCUAGCAUUUAUAAAAAUAAUCCCAAGGUCUAAAACAAUCUAUCAAAAUCGAUUCCACACCUUGAAGUUCAAAAAUCACCAUUGAAGAACAUGGAAAAAGGUGAAUUUUAACUGAAUGAAAUACCUUGGGAUUAAGAUGCAACGAGCUCGAAAUGCAAUCAAGAUGAUGUUAAAAACUCAAAAACGAGUUCAGAGCACUUUGAAUCAACAAAUUUGGUGGAGAAAUGAGAGAGAUAUGAUGAAAACAAUGGAGAGAAAUGAGAGAAAGAGUUGCAAACUCGGGUUUUUGGUGAGGAAGAGAGAGUGUGGGACAGGUUAAAGACUUUGGACUGGUGGUCAAUAGAUCUAUUUUGACCAGUCAAGGCUUUGACCUGUCCUUUUCUCGUUGACCAGCCUCCUUUCUCUCCUUUGUGCGACCGGGAACCGUCGGGAUCGGGCCGCAUGACGGUCUCGGUGUAGAACCGGAAAUGUUUUUGUGCUACCUGGGAUCUUCUGUGCCUCCCCCGCAUGACCAAGUCGCAGUAAAAGUCCUUCAGCUCGGUUUUAUCUUUCCUCAUUGCUGCUGCCUGGAACCCUUGCUUUCCAGCUAGCACGCCCAACUCGGAGUAAUUUGCGAACAUGUGUGCGGGUUAGACUCCUUUGUUCCCAGGUAGCAUGACUAUCUCGCAGGGUUUGGGACUUAAAAACCUCGGGGUUCCUCUUCUGGUGCGGCCUGGCCUCCAUACUUCCCAGGUAGCACGCCCAACUCGGAGUAAUUUGCGAGUCUUCAUGCGGGUUAGCUUCUUUGUUCCCAGGUAGCAUGACUAGGUCACAGGUUUUUGGACUUAAACAAUUUGGCCUUUCUUUUCCUGCUGCGACCUGGUCUUCAUGCUUCCCAGCUAGCACGCCCAACUUGGAGUAAAAUGCGAUCAUACGUGCGGCCUAGCUUCUUUGUUCCCAGGUAGCAUGACUAGGUCGCAGGUAUUUGGACUUAAGAUGUCUCGGCCAUUCCUCUUUUGCUGCGACCUAGUCUCCUUGCUCCCAGCCAGCACGCCCACCUCGCACACCUUCACACUUAGGCGUUUGGCUCUUCUUGAUUUCGUGCAGCCUGGUCUCUAUGAUUCCCAGCUAGCACGCCCAACCCGGAGUGAUUUGCGAAUGGAUGUGCGGUUUAACUUCUCUUGUUUCCAGGCCGCAGCAACUACUCGCAGGUUUUUGCACUUAAACACCUCGGCCAUCCUUCUUUUGCUGCAACUUGGUCUUCAUUCUUCCCAGGUAGCACACCCAAUUCGGAGUAAAUUGCGAUCAUGUGUGCUACCUAACUCCUUUGUUCCCAGGCCACAGCUCCUACAUCGCAGAUCUUUGGACUAAAGAUACCUUGGACCUUUUCUUUUUGGUGCGGCCUGGUUUCUCUUUUCCCAGCCAGCACGCCUAACCCGGAGUGAUUUGCGAAUGGAUGUGCGGCCUAGCUUCCUCUCUUCUUACCCGCAGCACCAGCUAGCACAACCUCGGACUUAGACGUUUUGGACUUCUUCUUUUUGGUGCGGCCUGGUUUCUCUUUUCCCAGGUAGCACGCCCAGGCCGGAGUAAAUUGCGAGUCCUGCUGCGACCUGGGCUCUUCUUGCACCAAGCCGCACACCUAGGUAGCACUGAGGCGUUCUCCAAGUUUUUCAGGCCCUAAAUACUUCUCUCAGCCCUCUCACAUGCUCCAUUCCAUUCAUCACUGAGCUAUGUUCUCCAAAAAUCACCUAGAACCUGAGACCAACUCACAAAACCCAUCAAAAAGUUCUAAAACAUAAAAGAAAAGAGAAGAAAUCAAAAGAACUAUGUACAAAGAUAAGCUUGGGGUGUCUCCCAAGAGCACUUUGUUUAAAGUCUCUAAGUUUGACUAUGGAAACCUGUUUAGCAGGCUGGAGGUGGGUCAAGAAGGGGAACUGAUGUAGCUUCCUCCUUCCCUUGUGAAACUAAGUAAUGCUUGAUUCUUUGUCCGUUUACCACAAAUUCUUGACCAUUCUUCCCUUCUAAGACAAUAGCACCAUAUGGUCUCACUUCAAGAACUUUAAAAGGUCCAGACCAUCUAGACUUAAGUUUUCCUAGAAACAACUUAAGUCUAGAGUUGAACAGCAACACCAAAUCACCAUCCUUGAACUCCCUUUUCAGAAUCUUUUGGUCAUGCAGAACCUUGGUCUUCUCCUUAUAGAUCUUUGAGCUCUCAAAAGCCCCAAGCCUUAUCUCUUCAAGUUCAUGGAGUUGAAUGACCCUUUUCUCUUGAGCUGUCUUGAUAUCAAAGAUCAGCAACUUCACAGCCCACAAAGCCUUGUACUCUAACUCAACAGGAAGGUGGCAGCUCUUCCCAUAUAGCAGAUUGAAAGGUGAUGUCCCAAUAGGAGUUUUAAAGGCAGUCCUAUAAGCCCACAAUGCAUCAUCUAGCCUUUUGCUCCAAUCUUUUCUGCUUGAGCUCACAGUCCUCUCAAGAAUGGCCUUGAUCUGUCUAUUAGAUACUUCAACCUGGCCACUAGUUUGAGGAUGAUAAGGAGUAGCUACCUUGUGUUUCACUCCAUGCUUUCUCAGUAAACCCUCCAAAGUCUUGUUCACAAAAUGAGAUCCUCCAUCAGAGAUAACAACCCUUGGAACUCCAAAUCUUGGGAAGAUAAUGCUCUUGAACAGCUUCACUACAACCUUGGAAUCAUUGGUAGGGGAAGCAAUGGCCUCAACCCAUUUGGACACAUAGUCCACAUCAACAAGUAUAUACUGAUUCCCAUAGGAUGAAAUGAAAGGCCCCAUAAAGUCAAUCCCCCAGCAAUCAAAGAUCUCAACUUCUAGAAUUGGGUUUUAAGGCAUCUCACUCCUCUUUGAUAUGCUCCCAUGCCUCUGACAAGCAUCACAUGCUGAACCACUAACUGAGCAUCUUUGAACAUUGUGGGCCACCAAAACCCACUCUGAAGAACCUUUGCCACAGUCUUGAAUGCUCCCAUGUGACCCCCAAAAGCUGAACUAUGACACUCUUGCAACACAGGCUGCAUCUCCUCCUCAGCAAGACACCUUCUAUACAGCUGAUCUUUGUUCAGGACAUAGAGGUAGGGCUCAUCCCAAUGGUAUCUUUGAACUUCUCUGAAGAAUUUCUUCCUGUGGUAAGCAUCUAAUUCAGGUGGUUCCACUCCACAAGCAAGAUAGUUCACAAUGUCUGCAAACCAAGGCAUCCUCCUCUCUUGAAUGCUGUCCACUUCUUCAAACUCCAAAUAAGAAUGGAGCACCAUCAGUGAUUCCUCAGGAAGACUGUCAUUAAGAGGCAAUUCAGAGUCUAUUCUCAACCUAGAGAGAUGGUCUGCAGCUCCAUUCUCUAUACCCUUUUUGUCAUGUACUUCCAUAUCAAAAUCCUGAAGUAGAAGAACCCAUCUCAAUAGUCUUGGCUUAGCAUCUUUCUUGGUCAUCAGAUACCUGAGGGCUGCAUGAUCAGUAUAUACAAUUACUUUUGAUCCCACCAGGUAACUUCUGAAUUUAUCGAAGGCAAAGACUAUUGCCAACAUUUCCUUCUCAGUAGUAGCAUACUUCUCUUGUGCAGGGCCAAGUGUUCUACUAGCAUAGUAAAUGACAUGAAGCUUCUUAUCUUUCUUCUGGCCAAAUACAGCUCCAACUGCAAAAUCAGAUGCAUCAGUCAUAACCUCAAAAGGUAGGGACCAGUCUGGGGCUUGGACAAUUGGUGCACUGACUAAUGCAUCCUUGAUCAUCUUGAAGGCCUCUUCACAUUCAGCAUCAAAGAUGAAAUCCACUUCUUUACAAAACAGCCUUGUCAAGGGCCUGGCAAUUCUUGAGAAGUCUUUGAUAAAUCUUCUGUAAAACCCUGCAUGCCCAAGGAAACUCCUUAUCCCUUUAACUGAAGUGGGAGUUUGCAGAUUCACCAUCACUUCCACCUUUGCUCUGUCAACCUCAAUACCCUUCUCAGAUAUCUUGUGCCCAAGAACUAUUCCUUCCCGCACCAUGAAGUAGUAUUUCUCCCAGUUUAACACCAAGUUAUCCUGCUCAAAUCUCUCCAAGACCUGUUACAAAUUAGAGAGAAAAUCCGAGAAGGAGGAGCCAUAGACACUAAAGUCAUCCAUGCACACCUCCACCUUCUCUUCAAUAAUGUCAGAGAAUAUAUGCAUCAUGCAACGUUGAAAUGUGGCAGGGGCAUUACAGAGACCAAAAGGCAUUCGCCUGUAUGCAAAGGUGCCAUAAGGGCAUGUGAAUGUUGUUUUCUCUUGAUCUCGGGGAUCUAUGGGAAUUUGGAAGAACCCCGAGUACCCAUCGAGAAAACAAAAGAAGGGGUGUUUUGCAACGCCUCUCUAACAUCUGAUCAAUGAAAUGUAAGAAACUAUCCUUCCUNNNNNNNNNNNNNNNNNNNNNNNNNNNNNNNNNNNNNNNNNNNNNNNNNNNNNNNNNNNNNNNNNNNNNNNNNNNNNNNNNNNNNNNNNNNNNNNNNNNNNNNNNNNNNNNNNNNNNNNNNNNNNNNNNNNNNNNNNNNNNNNNNNNNNNNNNNNNNNNNNNNNNNNNNNNNNNNNNNNNNNNNNNNNNNNNNNNNNNNNNNNNNNNNNNNNNNUCGUAGUAGUUAAGUGUAUCCUAUGGCUCUCCUGAACUUUCUUAUCUCACUAAGCAAUGCACUCUCUUGAUCCUCUAAUAGGCUAUCAUUGAUGAUUACUGGAUAUGUUGAGUUUAAGCCCAAGAAGGCAUACAUGAGCCCUGUUGGUAGAGGCUUGAGCUCAACAGGGGGUGCAUCAGCCUCAUUCCAAUCCUGGUCCAAGCUGCUUUGGCUGGUGUCUGAUCCUUUGAUAGCAAAAACCUCAGAGCCACUUUGUUCCAGCUCCAAAAACCUUGUCUCAGGACCCAGCUCUCUAGCAUUGUCCAAAUACAACUUGUACCCUUCACUUGCUUCAGCUAAGAGCCCAUUGUCUCCUUGUUCUUGAGUUAGAGCAGCUUGAAGAGGAUCCUCAGUGUUCAGCUCCUCUAGCAACUCAUCAGCCAACUGAUCCAUUGUCUCCACAUAGAAACAUUGACCUUCAAUGGUGGGUUUCUUCAUCAUCUCAUUCACGUCAAACUUGAGCUUUUCAGACCCAAGUUGAAGCUCUAUUAUCCCACCUCUCACAUCAAUUUUGGCUCCUGCAGUUGCUAAGAAUGGCCUGCCCAAGAUAAGAGGAUCUACUGGUUCUUCAUCCAUCUCCAGCACAACAAAAUCAGUUGGAACCUCAAAACCACCUAUCUUGACAGGUAGAUCUUCCAACAUACCAACAGGCAAUCUAACUGAUCUAUCUGCAAGGAUAAGAGAAAUCCUUGCAGGCUUGAAGACUCUAAAGCCCAGCUUCUUUGCUAUGGAGAAUGGCAUCAAGCUGACUGAUGCUCCUAGAUCACAAAGACAUCCAGAGAAUAGAAGAGGUCCAAUGGCACAAGGGAGUGUGAAACUCCCUGGAUCAGUUAACUUUCUUGGUAUGGACUUCUUCUGAAUGAUAGCACUGCAUUCAUGACUUAGUACCACCAUGCCUUGAAGUUUUUUUGUCUUGUUCAGAAUGGCAUCCUUCAGGAACUUGCCCAUCUAUGGCAUCAUUAAGAAUGCAUCAAUAAGAGGCAUAGUGAGUGGUGUCUCAUUGAGUGCCUUCUCAAAUACAGCUUUUGCCUUGUCCACAAGCUGCUUCUUAAAUCUCCCUGGAAAUGGGAGCUUGGGUUGGUAUGGAGGUGGUGGCACAUAUACCUUUUCUGGUUCAGGUUCCUUUGCUACCUUUUUACUCUUUUGGACAGGUUUCUCAGCAACCUGAUCAUCUUUUAAGGCUGCCUCCCCCUCAGUUUGAUCAUUGUCCUCAAUGAUCACAUUGUUGUUCUCAAUACCAGGUAACUCCUUUCCACUCCUCAGUGUAAUGGCCUUAGCAUAUUCCUUGGGGUUGGGUUCUCCGGUCUGAUUCAGUUGUCGGGUGCUUCAUCGCAGUUGGAGAAGAUUGGAUCACGGUUCCAUAGCAAGUUGAAUCAUGGAAUUCCGACGCAUGAGCAGAAAGUUAAGCUCGUCGGAAGGAACCCCUGUCUCGCUGCUGUUCUGGACCAAGCCGAUGAGCUCUGAAGAAUGCGAAGUACGGUGCACUUUCAGGCCGAUUCAGUUUCCGGGGCCUUCAUGAGAAUCAGAGACAUUUGAGUCCGCUUUCCAGAACGUCCAAGAUCAUUCAAUUCGGAGCUAUGAGCAGGAAGAUACGGUCUCCGGAAUGGACACAUGUCUAGACGCCUCUCUCUGAUCGUGUAAAUGCACUGCAAAGAUGAGCCCUCCAGGAAGCCUUCCACUUCCCAAGCACCAAAGCUUCCUUCACCAAAGUUGGAGAUAUAUGAGUCCUCUGUCCUCUGCCCUCUGCUACCGGAAUCACUCAAUUCAGACAAGUAUCUUAGAAGUUACACUCUCCGGAAUGCGAAGUGGUCCAAGCUGCUCUGAAUGCUGCGAGAAAGCCUUGCGACUUGGUUAACUCGCAGGCCUGAAGACGAAUGCCUGGAAAUUGAUGCUCCAAGUUGAGAAGAGCGGGUAAGCUAUCAAUGGAUGAGGUCUGAGGCUCCCGAGAAAGAAAAUUGCUAAGUCCACAAUCGUGCGACUUAGGCAUGCUAGUUGGCCGCGCCUGGAACCAAGCCGCACGAUCACUCGCAAUCUACUCCGACUUGAGCCUGCGACCUGAGUGUAGUGGAGACCAACCCGCACGGUUUGUACAUUCCCCAGAAACCGCCUUGGUCCUGCGAGUUGAAGAAGAAGAAGAUUAAGCCGCAGCAAGACUCGCAAAUGGUGGUUGAAACUGUUGUUGAACAGGCGCUUGCUGUUGGAACUGUGGAGGACCAAACCCUGGUGGUGCCUUUUGCUGCUGUGUACUGAAACUAGGACCUUGAAAAGGUUGUUGUUGCUGACCAAAACCUUGAUUCUGAGCAAACUGAUUCUUUGGUUGAAAAGAUCCUUGAAAGUUGUUCUUGGGAACAAAGUUCUGUGGAGCUUGAGAAUUGGGAUACACCUGGUCUUGUGGGUUAGCUACAUUGGUGUUCCUGUAAGAAAGGUUUGGAUUGGCAUUACCAUACUGAUAUCUCUGGAACCUCUGAUUCCCAAUGUAGUUUAGCUCCUCCUGGGUAAGACCUUCUUCACUUAUGUUCUCAAAGAUUUGAGAAGGUUCCUCAUACUCUCCAACAAAAUGCAUUGGCUUCUGAGUGGUGGAAAGGGUGGGGUUGGUGGUGCACCUGUUGUCUUUGCUGUACAUUGGCCUGAUGCCUCUGUUGAUGAGCUUGAGCUUGUCCCUGGUGGACAUAAGCUUGUUGGUGCACCUGUUCCUGAUGAACAUUACCCUGAUUUAACCCUUGACCAGCUCCAUUACCAGCUCCAUUACCCUGAGCCUGUUGCUCCUGAACCGGUUGUUCUAUAUCCACUACGUGCUCUCUUUGUUCUUCCAUAUCAGCCUGAUCAAUCUGUCUUCCACGUCUGUCCCUUCUCCUCCUUGGUACCAAAAGAUUGAUGUUGUCGUUGAGAGGGAAAGGUGGACCACAGCUUCUUGAUCUAGACCUGGUGUUCAUACCCGGACAGGCGAUUUCAGAAACGUGUCUGCACCCGGAGAUUUUGGCUGAGGGAUUCAAUAGCCGGUACGCGUUUUGGCCGAUAAAGUCUACCCGCGGUACGCGUUUUGGCCGAGAAAAACCUUCCUGGUGCGCGAGAAUGGCCGAUAACCUCCAAAGAACCAAUUUCACCAUUUUUCAAGCCUUGAUCAUCAUUCCACCUCCUGGAUUCAUCUUUUCAGCUCCAAAUACACCUGAUAAGUACUCAAAACAUGCAAAGACUCAUUGGGACCUAAUGAAUCUUCUAAAUUCUAAAACAAACCCUAAGGACCUAAAAUGCAUGGAAUAAAACAUGAUUUGGAAUGAAUUAUGCAACCUAAAUGAUGCAAAUUAUGAACAUGGAGACGAAGAACUCGCUUUUUUCUUAGUUCAAUUGGUUUUGUGAAUUUCAUAAACUUAUUUGGUAAGCAUAUACGUCUUUAAUUUUGGAUAGUAUUUAUUUUUUCGAUUUUAUUUUAUUUUAUUAUGUAUGUCUUAAAUAGUUGUUUUAAGUAAAAAUUACUCAAACUAACCUUUAAGGUGACCUAAAUGACAAACCUAACCUAACAUAUUUUGAGUCUUACUAGAUUAACCUUACAAAGUUGGUCUAAUACCAUUUUAUCCAGAUGUUGAAUAUUAUUACGAAAAUGCCAUAUUGAUUUUUUUUUUUUUAAAAAAUUCGAUUUGUUUUUUAUUUUAUUUUUCUGAAAAAAAUAUUAAAAAAGUAGAUACAAAAAACAAAAAAACAAACCUAAUAUUAAAAAAAAUUAUCUCUCUCAUCUUCUCUCUCAUCUUCUCUCUCGCUUCUCUCUCGUUUCUCUCUAACCUAGAUCUUUUUUUUUCUGCUGCAUUUCUUGAUUCCGGCAGUUAGCGGCGGUGGACCACUCCUUUCUUGCCUCCGUCGAUCACAAGAAUCGUCCGAUGGCACCAGUGCACCUCUCACUUCCCUUUAGAUGGCAAUUUUGUCCUUAUCUUUGAGCAUUGUGCUUCCCUUGAGUCUCUAGAUCCUUCCGCCUUCUACCACUAGACCGAAGACCUUCCUCUAGUUCUCCUCCAUUACUAUGAAGUCGCAGCAAGGCUCAAUCGCUUGGAUCCCUUGACAGUGUCCUUCACCAAGGGUUACAAAUCGAGUGACGACACAGCUGUGAGACCACAACUCUUAAGCGGCAUUCUCGCCGCAUCGCACACAACCGCAGUGGAUAGACGUUGUUUCAGUGGAAUGGUGGUUUUGAGGAGGUUGUCGGCGGCGUAAUUUUUUUUGUAAAACCCGUAACCCUAAUUUUUGUUUUGUUUCAGGUAAGUUUGAUAAAUAUAUUUGAAAAAACGAUAUUGUAUUUUUUAGUUGUAAAGUUCAUAACGUGUGAUGGUAGAUUUAUUUGAAAAACGGUAUGUAGUUUGGUAGAUUAUUAGUUAUUUGAUGGUAGAUAUAUUUACAAAACGAUAUGUAGUUUGGUAUAUCUAUUAGUUAUUUGAUGGUAAAUUUAUUUAAAAAACAAUGUGGUUUGGUAUAUUUAUUAGUCAUCUGACGGUAGACUUAUUUGAAAAACAAUGUGAUUUGGUAGAUUUAUUAGUCAUUUGAUGGUAACUUAUUUGAAAAACGAUAUGUGGUUUGGUAGUUUUAUCAGUUAUUUGAUGGUAGAUUUAUCAGUUAUAUAUAUUUGAAUUUUAUAUUUGAAUGAUGGCAUUUGUUUGUUCUUCUCUGACAGGUUAUGGGAUUUGUGAUGGCGAACGAGUCUCUGAUGGGUUAUGUUCUACUAUGAAUAUUAGAUUUGCAUUUGGUAGAUUUGUUUUGAAAUGAUGGUAGAUUUAUUAUUGAAUUGAUGGUAUAUCUAUAUUUGAAUUUGUACAAAUGAUAAUUAGAUUUUAGAUGAUGAUAUCUUUGUUUUCAAAUUAUAUUUGGCGCAAAAGAUUGACUCAAACAUUUCAUCUUUUUACCACUUUUCUUUACUUUCACUAUGGUUUAUAUCCUAAGUUAAUGAAAUUUUAAACAAAACACAUGAUUAAAGUCAUUUCACAUUGUGAUGUUCAAAAGUUUAUGUAAAUAUAAUUAAAUAUAACAAAAUAUUCACAAAUAAAAAUUAAAAGAUCAUAAGUUAAGAGAUAGUCAUUACAGACAAAAACGAUAAGGACAUAAGAUAAAUGUUUAAGUGAACUAGUAGGACAUAUAUGUUCAAGGUUAAUAUGUGAUAACACCGUAUUUUGACCACUUUUAUGGAUCGUUUUGAAAUACUUUUUCUAUGUUUUUAAUUGCUUUUAAGUACUUUUAUCACGUUUUUCUAGUAUUUUUAGUUCCAAGACUCUUUUCAGGUAACUUAGGGAAAAACUUAACAAAAUGGAUAGAAAACCAGAUUUCAGCUCAAAGUCAAACCGUCAGAAGUUCACCCCUGAUUGAAGGCCUUCUCACCGUCUGUUCCAGCUCAAAUUUGGAGACCUUAAAGAUGGAAGUAUCAACUUUCCAGCACACUUUACAGCUUGACAAUCCAACGGUUCAAUCAAAAGAUACGCGAAGAGCAAGAUGUCCCGUAAACCAGCCAGCAAGCAACUCCACCCGUGGCCAAUAAGCCAUUUCCCGCGGUCAGAAGCAUCCCGACCGCGGCAAACCACUCAUUCCCCGCGGUCACAGCACUCCCAACCGCAGCAAGCCAACUCCGAGCCCAAAAGCCCAUUUUUGAAGCCCACAAUGAUUCCCUCAUUUGGAGAAACCCUAAGUGACGUCCAGAGCACUAUAAAUACAUGUUUUAGGAACCCUAAUCGAAAAAAAAAGAGACCACCGAAUUUUUACUUCAUAGUUUUAUUGUUUUUGCUUUAGCUUUUAGGGAGAGAGAGAUUUGUUCUCUUGAACCCUUGUUCUUUCUUUUUUAAUUUCGGUUUCUAUUCUACUUAUUAAUACUAUGUUUUUGAUUUCGUUCAUUAUGUCUGAGUAGUUUUAUUGUUGGGAUUAAGGGAUUUUAGAUGGGGAUUUAUAUGUUCGAUGAGGAUUCCAUGAGCUUUUGAGCCGAAUCUUAGAACUUAUUCUUCUGAAUUCGUUUUUACUGCAUGAGAGUAGCGUCAUGAACUACAAUCUGAUCCAGAUGCUUUGUGACACGAAAGUGUUCAUCAGGUAUCAGAUCUAGUUUGGGAGAGCAAAACAAACAUAGGAGUGGAAACCUACCUAUGGGCGAUUUGUCAAUGCUGACGAGUCUUAAACAUAAUGCAUCUCUUCUUUUCCAGGGCCAUAGUGGAAACCUACUGGUCAGGGUUGAGAGAGAUAGUUGUCUAUGAUCACGACAGUGGCGUAUUCAUAUGUCCGUGACUCCAGUUCGAAAAGUUUAAGCUAAGAUCUUAGCAAUUUUACUCUCUAGCAAUGUUUUGAAUCGUUCGUACCCCUGAGAAAACUUCCCUGAACCCCAACGCCUUCUUUCCUAUUGAUUUACACCGUUUUUAUUUCAAGCUUUAGUUCAAUAUUGUCUUUCCUUUUUAGUAGAUUUUCAUUUAAGCAAUUAGAAUAUCCGUUUUUCUCAUUUUUAUUCAUUUUCGUUAAGUUUAGUUAUUAGGUCAUUUAAUUCCCGUAUUUUCUUUUAAGAUUUCGUUUUUACAUUUUAAACACACCACCAAACCCCCACAAAACCGUUUUGGUUCUAGACUUCCUUACUUUAUACUUAUUUCAAAGGCUUUUUGCAGGAAAAGAUCCUCUUUCCCCGUGGAUUCGAUCCCAAAGUACUACAAUCGAUCAGCUGUGCACUUGCGGCUAUUGAUUUCAUUUAGGUUAAAACUUGACAACCCUCACGACAACACCACAUCAAGUUUUUGGCGCUGUUGCCGGGGAAAGCACGCGUUUUCUUUUCUGCAACCCCGAGAAAGGUUGGUAAAUCGACUCUAAAACCCCUUUUUCUGCAAUUUUCCAUUUUUCGGUUUUUUUGUUUCCAUUUCAGAAGAUAUGGAUCCUAUAAAUCGAAAUAUACACUAUGAGGAAGGUUUAUAUAACACUCCUCAAGCCACCAGACACAGAACGUUCCAGAAGGAGCCCUGCGCAUCUCCAAUGGCCAACCCUGAACAACCCGCUCGUCGUUUGCCUCACCAAGAUGAAAACGUCCAACUCAUUCACUGAUUGAAAACACUAGAAGUGGCGGUCUUGCACCUACUCGACGUUCAAGCGAGAUCUAGAUCCACAAUCCACGAGAAAAUUGACGACUUGUCAAUGCGCUUUAACAGAAAGCUUGAAGAUCUUUCAGCUCAAGUCAAGACCAUCGAAACUCAACUAAACAAGGGUGCUGAAACCAUUAAGGAGAGGAUAGAAGCAAUCGAAGGACGAGUUGGAGAAAACGAAGUUCGCAUUCGCAAAGCCAGUGGGAACAUCCGCACCUUAGAGAUCAAACUUGAUGAAGCAGAAGAGACUAUUAACGACCAUAACAACCAAACCUAUUCCUACAUGGAAGAGAUUUAGGAUGGAGUACACAAGGUUCAAGACAAAACAGAGGAAAUAGACUCAACCGUGGACAAAGUAGUCUAUGCCCUCGAUGAAAUCGAAGAGAAGGUUGAAAAGCUUAUGCAAGGAUGUGAAACAAACGGUUCGACGCUUCUCAUCGAAGAUCUUACCUUAAAAAAGGAGGAAACGGAGCUAGAAUGUGCAGAAAUCAGUUUAGAUGGCAAAAGAGCAGACGAAACAAAGGAAACAACUCGGAGCCUUCUUCUCGCGGUCAGAACUCUCGUGACCGCGGCCAACAAGCCUCCAGCCGCGGUCGUGAGCCUCCUGACCGCGGCAAAACCCUCCCCACCCGCGGUCGUGAAACCUCUACCCGCUGCAAAUGCUCCGUCAGAUACCUUUCAGCCCUUUUCCACUCCUACAGGUCAAUGCUUAUUUGAUACAUCUGCUAGGAUGGUCAAAGCCCCUCUACAUGAGCAAACGGUGUAUGCUAUCAGCUCCAAAACAUCUCAAGAAGAAAAUGAGGUACUCCCUUGCAACAUAGUUUUAGCAUAUGAGGAUGAAUAUGAAGGGCACUACCUCGAAGAUGAAGACUAUCGUCUGUUCAUAGAAGGAGGGAAUCCAGACAAAAUGGUGGAAUUAGGAGCACCAAUCUCCAGAGAAAGGCUCAUUGAAUUCAACAAGUUUGUGAAAUCGAUCCCUCUUUACACAGGUUUCGAUGAUAUAUGGCAUCUUGGUUGUUUGCAAGUUUUCUUUAGGUACAGCAAGGAGACAAAGGAGGAUAUCAGAACCUAUUUUGGGAGGGCUAGACGUCUGACUUUUCCCAGAACAUCACCUGAUGCUGCAAUCUAUUCAAUUCACCUCAAAAAGCCGGAAGACUGCAGCCACUACACCAACAAAAUCAGCAAGGAAAAGCUCGAUGAAUUCAAUGAUGUGGUUCGAAAUUUGCCUGAAGAAAUCACGUUUGCCAGAGCUUGCAAGGACUUUAUGAUAGGCCACUACUUCUGUGAGAGCAAAGAAUCAAUCCCUGAGAUAGAAGACUUGUUCAAUCAUGCCAGAAGAGGUAAACCUGUUCGAACACUUCAUAAAAUAGAAGGUGUAGGUCAGUUUCUUAUCUCUUGUUCUAUUAGAGGAGAAAUGUUUAAAAACGUGCUAUGUGAUUCUGGAGCUUGUGUUAACAUGAUGUCCAAGGCAAUUGAUUUGAGACUUGGUAUUAAACACCUGCGCAGGACUAGAGCAAAGAUUAGUCUAGCUGAUGAUUCCAAUGCAACACCUCAAGGAAUAGCUCAUGAAAUUCCUUUGAGAAUAGGAGAUUACAUAGUGCCUGUCGACUUCUACAUUGUCGAAACGAGAGAUGCAACAUAUCCAGUGAUUCUCGGAUGGUCUUUUCUAGCAACUUUCGGAGCUAUAAUGGACUGGCCAAACCGGAGGAUUUCAUUUGCUAAUAUCGACAAAGAUGUCUUCACAGAAGCUGUUCCAUACAACAGCAAAGCAGGAAAACGUUCUGCAACAGAAGAGUUUGAAGAAGAACUUUGGAGUGACGAAGAACCUGCUAGGCAAAGCAAGGAGAUGUCGAAAAAGACUUGUCUCAGGACAAGGUCUUCUUCAUUGGAAUAAGUCACGUCCAACACCAAAAGUCGAGCUAAACGACUUAAAACAGAAGCGCUUAAUGGGAGGCAACCCAUUUAGGUAUUGUUUUCUUUAGGAUUUUUCUUUCUUUUUCUUUUGAUCUUUUUCUUUUUCUUAAUUUCAGGUGUUUCUUAUAAAACAAAAAAACCAAAAAAUCAAAAAACCCGAAAAAAACCAAAAAGAAGGAUGGUACCUGACUGCUCGGCCCAGCAGGAACCAAGGAGAAGCAGGAAGAGGCCGCGAAAUAAGCCUCCGCGGUCGCAGACGUUCUGACCGCGGGAAACUACUCAUCGACCGCGGUCGCGUGAUCCUGACCGCGGCCAAACACUUGGUUGCCGCGGUCGCGCGACCCCUGUCCGCGGCACUUGGUCGUUGACAUCAAACCCAACCCCAAACCACCCACUUCACCCCAUUCCACCUCACCAAUCACCCUCCACCUCAUUCAUCACCCUCCACCACCUUCAUCACCCCCUAAUCACCUUCCCAAACCUCUUCGAAUGAAUCCGGUUCAUCUCCACCAGCAUCCCGGAUCCAGGUAAGUUCUCUUUGUCCUUACCAAUUCGAUUAUCUAUGCAUUUUUCUCAUCCAAUCUCGACUUGUUUCACACUGAGGACAGUGUGAUUUAAGUCUGGGGGAGGAUUUCAUCCUUUUCUAACCACUUUUCUUUCAUGAGUCUUGCAUUAUCUACACUUUUUGCAUUUUCCUUAAAGUUUUUCAAAAUCGGUUUUCAAAACAAAAUACGUUUUAAAGGGAAUGGUGAACAUAAAUCAAUGAUAGUUGACUGUGUGCUUUAGACUAUUCCUAGUGACAUGCUCAUUCAUGAUUUAGGACUAGACUAGGCGGUAGCUAAGCACAUUUGAAACGAAGUACCCCAGAGGAAUUUGAAUGAUUUCGAUUUAGAUGAAGGGAUACACUAGCUCUGUUUUAUUUGGACUUAAUUUGGACUCAAUUUUCUCAUUGAAGCUUUAGACCAGGGAAACGAAUCAUACAUUCAGGACUCCUUUAUCCUUUUACCACUCUCAGUUGAUCCUGAAUGGCUAGUUCAUCUUUAGCUAGUUCCCCACCUUAACCAAUCCUCUUUCAAACCACAUGCACUCUUGUUUUCUAUUGUCUUACAUGCAGAUAAGUGCAAAAACGUUGGAGAGAAAGAGGAACGACGCAGUUUUCAGUCACCAAGGAUAGAGACCUGCGAUUUGCCGGAAAAGUUUCCGGAAGGAUCCAACACAAGAGGAAGCUCAGUUUGCCUUAGAAAAAUCUCAAAUUUUGGUACAAUCUCGUCCUCUAGUCUCUCUCUCUUUAAAAGGCAUUUCCUAUUCUAAAAAAAAAAAAAAAAAAAAUCCAAAAAUAAGAAAAGAAAGGAAAUAAAAGCCUUAGAGAGUCUAGAGAGCUCGAAUUUUAAGUCCCAAGGCAACUGGAGUUUGAUUUUAUGGAGUUUUGGAGAUCGUUUUCUGAUUCCUGGAAAGAAUCUAAGUCUGGGGGAACAGCUGUUUACAACAAAGGAGGAAGGAUUAUGCAACAACAUUUGGCAAGAAGAAGUGACUGAAAAACUGUGGUCAUCAACAGGUCCUUAUCUCUCUUGCGGUUUUGCAUAUUAUCUUGCAUCCUCCAGAUCUUCAGGUAACCCGAAACACUUUAACUCCACCACUUAAACAGUCCUUUAAUGCCAAACGCCGUCUACCCUGGAUAAUGUCUUUAAUGAGAAAUCACUAUUGAACUUAAUGAAUGUAGAGAGCUAGUUGACUGGAAUCAAGAUUUAGAUUUUUUAAGUUUUGCAUGACGGAAAAAGUGGACUAGUAUCUUUUGUGUCUUGGUGAGAAUUUUCUAGACUAAGUUGUGGAUUGAUGCACUAUCUUUGGUUCUAGUUUAGGAGUUAAUGUCUCUGAGAAUUGUGAAUUUCCUAUUUUUGUUUUCACCUAACCAGUUUAGACUUUUGCUUUGCUUGAGGACAAACAAAGGUUUAAGUCUGGGGGAGUUGAUAACACCGUAUUUUGACCACUUUUAUGGAUCGUUUUGAAAUACUUUUUCUAUGUUUUUAAUUGCUUUUAAGUACUUUUAUCACGUUUUUCUAGUAUUUUUAGUUCCAAGACUCUUUUCAGGUAACUUAGGGAAAAACUUAACAAAAUGGAAAGAAAACCAGAUUUCAGCUCAGAGUCAAACCGUCAGAAGUUCACCCCUAAUUGAAGGCCUUCUCACCGUCUGAUCCAGCUCAAAUUUGGAGACCUUAAAGAUGGAAGUAUCAGCUUUCCAGCACACUUUACAGCUUAGCAAUCUAACCGUUCAAUCAAAAGAUACGCGAAGAGCAAAAUGUCCUGUAAACCAGCCGGCAAGCAACUCCACCUGCGGCCAACAGGCCAUUUCCCGCGGUCAGAAGCAUCCCGACUGCGGCAAACCACUCAUUCCCCGCGGUCACAGCACUCCCGACCGCGGCAAGCCAACUCCGAGCCCAAAAGCCCAUUUCUGAAGCCCACAAUGAUUUCCUCAUUUGGAGAAACCCUAAGUGACGUCCAGAGCACUAUAAAUACAUGUUUUAGGAACCCUACUCGAAAAAAUAGAGACUACCGAAUUUUUACUUCAUACUUUUAUUGUUUUUGCUUUAGCUUUUGGGAGAGAGAGAUUUGUUCUCUUACCCUUGUUCUUUCUUUUUCAAUUUCGGUUUCUAUUCUACUUAUUAAUACUAUGUUUUUGAUUUCGUUCAUUAUGUAUGAGUAGUUCAAUUGUUAGGAUUAAGGGAUUUUCGAUGGGGAUUUAUAUGUUCGAUGAGGAUUCCAUGAGCUUUUGAGCCGAAUCUUAGAACUUUUUCUUCUGAAUUCGUUUUUACUGCAUGAGAGUAGCGUCAUGAACUACAAUCUGAUCCAGAUGCUUGGUGACACAAAAGUGUUCAUCAGGUAUCAGAUCUAGUUUGGGAGAGCAAAACAAACAUAGGAGUGGAAACCUACCUAUGGGCGAUUUGUCAAUGCUGACGAGUCUUAAACAUAAUGCAUCUCUUCUUUUCCAGGGCCAGAGUGGAAACCUACUGGUCAGGGUUGAGAUAGUUGUCUAUGAUCACGACAGUGGCGUAUUCAUACGUCCGUGACUCCAGUUCGAAAAGUUUAAGCUAAGAUCUUAUCAAUUUUACUCUCUAGCAAUGUUUUGAAUCGUUCGUACCCCUGAGAAAACUUCCCUGAACCCCAACGCCUUCUUUCCUAUUGAUUUACACCGUUUUUAUUUCAAGCUUUAGUUCAAUAUUGUCUUUCCUUUUUAGUAGAUUUUCAUUUAAGCAUUUAGAAUAUCCGUUUUUCUCAUUUUUAUUCAUUUUCGUUAAGUUUAGUUAUUAAUUCAUUUAAUUCCCAUAUUUUCUUUUAAGAUUUCAUUUUUACAUUUUAAACACACCACCAAACCCCCACAAAACCGUUUUGGUUCUAGAUUUCCUUACUUUAUACUUAUUUCAAAGGCUUUUUGCAGGAAAAUAUCCUCCUUCCCUGUGGAUUCGAUCCCUAAGUACUACAAUCGAUCAGCUGUGCACUUGCGGCUAUUGAUUUCAUUUAGGGUAAAACUUGACAACCCUCAAGACAACACCACAUCAAGUUGUGAGAUAACACCGGAUUCUGACCAUUUUUAUGGAUCACUUUUAUAUCUUUUACAGGUGUUUUUACUCCAUUUUCAAAGGUUUUCAAAGGAUUUCUAUGUUUCCGGAUUUUAAAAGACUUUUCAGGUAAUUUGGGAUAAAGAGGCACAAAAUGGAACAAAAAGACUCUUUUGAAUAAAUGCAGAUCGUCAGAACUCUCAUGGAGAGACGAAGACCUUUUCACCGUCUGAUCACCCUCAAAAUUGGACAACUUAUAGGAGAAUCAACCAGCUUUCAAAUGUACUUGGUUUGGAGACAUUCCAACGGUUGGAUCUCAAGAUAUUCUAUUAGCCCCGGAGCCACUUGAAGUCGGCCAGCAAGUCACGCGACCGCGGUGAUCAACCUAUAUCCCGCGGUCAGAAGCUUCCCGACCGCGGCCAACCAGCCAAUCCCCGCGGUCACAACACUCCCGACCGCGGCAAUCAAUCUCCGAAUUAAAGCCCAUGUAUCUGAAGCCCAAAGUCAUUCUCAGCCUCAAUUCCGGAACCCUAGAGACCAUGGAGUAUUGGAGACUAUAAAUACAUGUCAUUUAGGUCGUUUUUAGGGAGAGCCAUUCAUACUUUACAGAAACCCUUUUUCUUUAGCCGUUUAUAUGAGAUUUUUGUAGAAGAUUGUUCAAGUCCGAGUUCUUCAAUAGAGAAGCUUUCUUUAUCUCUUUUCUUUACUGUUUUUCAUUACUUUUAUUAAAACCAAUGAUGAUGUCGACCUCAGCCAUGUCUGAGUAGAUCCCGAGUUGGGCUUAGGGUUCCCGGAAGGGGCUCUCAUAAUCGAUUAAGACAUCUAGGUUUAUAGAUCUGGGAUUUCGACCUGUUCUCUUUUUAUUCUUGUUCUUAUUGCAUGUAUGCUUGAUUGAUCACCUAGUAUCUGAUCUAGAUAGUUAGUGUUGCAAAAGUUUUCAUUAAGUAUCAGCCCUAAAAUGAAACAGGCGAUUUUUCCGUAGGACUGGAAACCUACCUGCGGCGAGAUCGUGAGUAUUGACGAGUCUUGUGCAGCUCUUGCGUUCUCUCCCUUCUAGGGCCAGAGUGGAAACCUACUGGUCAGGGUUGCGAGAAACAGUUGGUUAUGAUCACGACAGUGACGUAGUCAUACUGCCGUACUCUAGCUCUAGAACCCAUAUAUCGAUAUCCGUCAAUCCCAAUCUAUUUACCCUAGUGUUAAAACCGAUUAUGAUCCCUUAGAGUCCCUAAAAGCUCAGCGUUUUUAGCCAUAGUUUACAAUUCCAUCGAUUUUUAUUUGCUUAUUUAGGCCUGCAUUUCAAUUUCCUUAGUUUGUUAUUUACUUACUUUACUAGUAUUUCAUUCGAUAUUUUACUUGCCUUAUUAGUCUUUCAUUCGAUAUUUUACUUGUUCUAUUUGCCUUUCAUUCGAUUUUUUUACUUGCUUUUUAGGAUAGAUUUAUUUGCUUUCUUUUGUUUUAGUUUAAUACAUCAAACCAACCAACCUUUAAAAACCAAUCUAGUCUAGACAUAAAGUUAAAAACCGUAGAAGAAUACCAGGCACACAAAUCUCUGUGGAUUUGAUCCCUAAAUACUAUAACUGAUUAGCUGUGCACUUGCGGCUUUCAUUUGUUUUGUUAAGGGUAAAACUUGUUCCCUCACGCAGUUGACACGACAUCAAGUUUUUGGCGCCGUUGCCGGGGAUUUGUUUCGCUGCCUUUUGCUAUUUUUCUUGUUUUAACUUCUGUUAUAGACACUUGAUCUCUAGUUCUUUCUUAAAGUUUUGCUGAAUUAUCUUUCCCUUCUUUUGUUUUUCUCUGAAUUGCAUGAAUACCAGGCGCAUACCUGUAGAAAACAUUCCAAUUCUAGACGAGAUAGACAGACACGAAAGACAACUUCGAAGACUUAGACGAACACAAAGAAUGGCCAACGACAACCAGCCUGGAGAUCCUAUUAAUCGAACUUUAAAUAUGGACCAAGACGGGUCCGAACAUGGGGAAAAUGAAGAGAAUGAUCACAGUGGAGGUGAUCAUGCUCGACAAGAUGGAGAGGAAGAUGAGUUUCCUCCAAGAAACCACCAGAACCGAGAGAGAGAAGGACGUGAAGACCUUGAUCCACCCAUCAAUGCAGCCGAUGGUGACCACCCAGCAAUGCAGCCAAAUGAACGCAUUCACCGCCCCAUUCCGCCAGCAAAUCAACACCGAAGACAAGCCAGGAACCAUCGCAUAGCUGAUUUUGAUGGACCUACUCAAAAUUUUCAGAAUCGAUCUGCAAUUCAAGUACCAUUUCCAAACCGGAAUGAGUUUGAAGUCAAGCCUCAAAUCAUCUCAUUGGUGAAGCAAAACCAGUUCCAUGGAGUUCCUUCUGAACACCCAAUGGACCAUAUCGAGCUCUUUGAAGAAAUUUGCAGCAUGAUGAGAACAAAUCAAAUUCCACCAGACUAUUUAAAGUGUAAGUUGUUCCUUUUUUCAUUAGCAGAUAAAGCUCACCGUUGGUUGAAAUCUUUGCCUGCAGGAUCGAUUACCAAUUGGGAAGAAUGCAGAAAUGCUUUCCUAAACCACUUCUACACUAAGUCAAGGUCGAAUCAGUUGAGAACAAAGAUCUCAAACUUUCAACAAGGGCCAACUGAAUCUUUCUAUGAAGCCUGGGAGCGUUUUAAGGAGUAUGAACGUGAUUGCCCUCACCAUGGAUUUCAUGGAUCAAGCCUGCUGAGCACAUUUUACCGAGGUUUGCAACCAAAAUAUAAACUUUCACUUGAUACAGCUAGCAAUGGAGAUUUUGGACAAAAGAUGAUAACCCAAGGAAGAGCUCUCAUCGAAAAUUUGGCUCAAGCCAAUAGCAAUGACUGUCCUGAAUAUGAUCGAUCAAUGAAGCAAGCCGGAACAGACAACAAGGAGAUAACCGAGUUGAAGAACAUGGUGAGCCAGCUUCUGAAGAGUAACAAUCGCCCAAUCCAUGCUUGUGAGACCAACAAUGGCGCAGAAGAUGAAGGACCUAGUGAUAUCGAUCACAUUAAUCAAGCCUUUCAAGAGGAAGAUGUGAACUAUGUAGGAGCACUGGUGCCAUAUCAAAAUCGCUCCAAUAAUAGCUUCAACAACAACUUCCGGAAUGCAAAUUACAACAAUCUCUCUUACCGCAAUCCAAAUGUGGAGAAUCCUCAAGACCAGUACUACCCACCUCAGCAAAAAUCCUUUCAAAACAAGUUUCAAGGUGGAAACGUUGGAGGAAUAGUACCAUAUCAACCACGACAGCCAUUUAACUACCAAGGUACGGGUUUUAACAAUCAAUUUGUACGACAGCAGGGAGUCACGACGAACCAGCUAGCUUCACAAAUCGGUAGACUUGAACAGUCAAUCCAACAGCUCGUUAUGACGAACGAAAAAGCAUCUAAAGACGUGAACGUGAAAGUGUACUGCAUGUACAAUGAUCUGAAUGGUAAGUUUGAAUCUUUAUCUUCGCACGUAAAAAAGUUAGAUGUGCAAGUCGCCCAAACAGCCGACUCUAUGAAGAGGCAAAGUGGAGUACUUCCAGGAAGAGUUGAAGAUAACCCUAAGAAGUUUUGCAACGCCAUAACCACAUUGCCCGAAGAAGAGGCCGGAACCAAUGGAAAGAAAGAAGAAACCCCAAUCUUUGUACCACUGUACAAGGAUAUCAAUCCCAAGAAGCCACCGUUUAAGGUACCUGAACGAUCACCGUUUUAAAGGCUUACCAAAGCCGAUGAUCCAGGACGUUUUGUUUUCCAGUGUUUCAUUUCAGGAAUCAAGUUUACAGACUGCUUGUGUGAUUCCGGAGCCAAUGUCAACAUCAUGUCUAAGACGUUUGCCGAAAAAUUGGGCACUAAAACCUUAAAGACAUCGACGGUUAAGGUUAUUUUUGGAGAUUCAUCUCAAAAAGAUACCAAAGGGGCAAUUCAUGAUCUACAAGUUCUAGUGGGAGACAAAAUCGUUCCAGCAGAUUUCCAAGUCCUGGAAAUGGAUAAAGACAAGGAGAGGCCACUCAUUUUCGGGAGACCAUUCCUAGCUACAGUAGGAGCAGUAAUCGAUCACGCAAAACGACAUGUUGUUUUCCUCAAUGUGGAUCGAAAAAAGUACUAUCCGACUAUCUUAGACGAUUUUCCAAGCAAAGGAAACAUACCAAAAGAGAAAGAGAAGGAGAAGCCGAAAGCUUUUGCAAAGAUCAAGAUCAUCAUUCCACCAGAUGCAACAGAAACUAGUGAGGACUAAAUCCAGGAGCUGAUCGAAAACACAAAAAGGGUUUUAAACAAUAUUAAAGUUCGAAAGAAGAGUAAAGGAAAGAAGACGGCUCCUCAAGGAGAAGAAGUAAAACCUCCAGCGACCGGAAGUGAUAAAGGCACAUCAAGUGGAGUGCCAUUCAAAUCAGCCUGAUUCCUCAUGCUUACGUCGAGCUAAACGACUUAAAACAAAAGCGCUUAAUGGGAGGCAACCCAUUUAGGUACUCUUUCUUUUAGUUUUCUUUUCCUUUUUUUUUACAAUUUAUACUUUCUUUUUCUUUUUAAGUUUUAGGUAUUUUAUAAAACAAAAACACAAAAAAAAUCAGAAAAUUAAGAAAACCAAGAAGAAAAAGGUAGGUUUUUAGCUGCUCGGCCCGGCAAAGACGAGAAGGUUGGACAAAGGCCGCAUGAGGAAGAGCCGCGGUCGCGACUGACUGACCUGCGGCCAAGGGAGCAUCGACCGCGGCACCGUGAAUGUGACCGCGGCCGAGCACUCGACCACCGCGGUCGCGCGUCUCCUGACCGCGGCCGUUGGUCGUUGAGGUGAUUCCGCGGAUUUCUGCCGCUUUUCGGUGUUGCCUGGUGUUUGCCUGGUGAUUCCUGGUGUUGCCUGGUGUAUUCUCGGUGUUGCCUGGUGUUUGCCUGGUAAUUCCCGGUGUUGCCUGGUGUUUUCCUGGUGUUGCCUGGUGUUUACCUGGUGUUUACCUGGUGUUACCUGGUGAUUCCCGGUGAUUCCCGGUGAUUCCCGAAAUGUUCCCGGUAAAAUCCGAAAAGCUCCUCCGUAAGUUUUAAACUUUCCUAAUGUGCAAACAAGAAAGGUAAGUUCCCGUAAACUUAAAAAUUUCUAGAAAUUUUCCGUUUUUGCUACAAAAACGCUUUUUAAAGAAAAGAAACAAACUUUUUGGAUCAAAACUCCUUCUUCUCUUCUCUUCCAAAAGAUUUGGAGAUUUAGGAGAUAGAAUACAUUUUUCAAUUCUUAAGCUUUUUAAAAGAUUUUUGGCUCAAACCUCACUCUUUUUCAAAGCUGAUUCCAAUUCUGCAAUCAAAUCUCUCUUUCCAGCAAGGUAUGAACCUCAAACUCGCCAUUUUUAAUUGAUUUCAUAACUUAGGGUUUUUUUAAAAAUCCCAAAUCUCUGUUUAUUGAUGGUAGAAAUAGAUUAAGAAUGAUAGAUUAUCCAUUUAGGUUAUCUAAAAAUUGAUUUUAGCACCUAGCUUAAGAGGAAUUGAGAUUUUUGAAAUUUGGAUUCUACAUGCUUCAUAAAAAUCGAAUUUGGAACAGCAAAAUUGAUGAGUUUGAUUAAGUCUUGUGUGAUUAAUGAUUAGUAUUGUGUGAGCCAAAACUCAAACAACCAGAAAUUUGUUUAAGGAAAACUAAGGGAUCGGAAACUUCUAGGGUUUAUCGCCAAAAACAGUAAGAUCGAAAGAAAGUUUUUCUUGCUGUAAAAGUGUUUAGCUCUUAUUGCUUAGGGUUGCAAAAGUUACAGAAUGAAUUGUAUACAUCGUCUAUUUAUACUAACUCUCUGAACCGCCUAGCCGAGAAUCUCGGGAGAGAUUUUCGGAAUAUUUCCUUAUCGCCUCGUGCGGCUCACCGCCUUUGUAUUUCGCCUAGGAUUUUUAUGGGCUUCGUCUCCCAAGGCCACGGUUUGGCCCAUCAUUCUCCUUUGCCACGGCUCGGCCAUCUAAUUUCUUCACGGCUCGGCCCACUUGCCAUUUCGGUCGAGACAUGAUCUGGUCCACCUCACCGAGGCGCGGCUCGGCCCAAGCAUGUUGGAAUGGGGCUCGGCCCAUUUCUUACGAUACGGCUCUCCCUACUGGUCUAUCGUCACGGCUCUCCCACUUGGUGAUCGCGGCUCUCCCGCUUGUCUUGGUGAGAACGGCUCUCCCACUUGUCUUGGUGAGAACGGCUCUCCCACUUGUCUUGGUGAGAACGGCUCUCCCAUUUGGUGACCACGGCUCUCCCACUUAUCUUUCUUCCAUACUUAGUCAUUUUGAGAUGGUUUUAUCUGCGUGGGGUGAAAACCGACCCCAACAGUUAGCCCCACUGCUCGUCAGUUUCGGAGGCGAGAGUAACGAGGUCCAUUACUCCUGACCGUAGGAUAAACCAUCGAGUCAAGCUGUUAUGACAUAGGCCCAGAUGAGGUGUUUUGGGAAUGAAGACGCCGAGGUGUUUCCAAGGAGUGCCGAGGGUGCCGAGGUGUUUCGAAAGGGUACCGAAGAUGCCGAGGCAAGUUAAGGACGAGGCGACCUCGUUUGGUAAUAAUGGGCCGAUGCGAUUUCGUUUAGUAAUGAUGAGCCGUGACGAGGCGAUUUGAGAAGGUUAUACCGAGCCGAAUAAAUGGCGAGGCGUUUCGAGAGAAAGUUUGUGCCGAGCCGUUUCGUUAAUGACAAGGCGUUUCGAGAGAAAAUUCGUGCCGAGCCGUUUCGUUAACGACGAGGCGUUUUGAGAGAAAGUAAAUGCUGAGCCGUUUCGUUAACGACGAGGCAUUUCGAGAGAAAAUUCGUGCCGAGCCGUUUCGUUAACGACUAGGCGUUUCGAGAGAGAGUAAAUGCCGAGCCGUUUCGUUAACGACGAGGCGUUUCAAGAGAGAGUAAAUGCCGAGCCGUUUCGUUAACGACGAGGCGUUUCGAGAGAGAGUAAAUGCCGAGCCGUUUCGUUAACGACGAGGCGUUUCAAGAGAGAGUAAAUGCCGAGCUGUUUCGUUAACGACGAGGCGUUUACUUUGGUAAGAUAUCGGCUGAAAAAUUGGGCAUCACAACUGUUGGUCUUCCGAGAGAAAAUUCAUGAUCUGUUGGCGCGUGUGACCGACGCAGUUCGGUCUAGCCGUUCCACUGCGGAUCCCACGCGCUGUUUGGACGGUUUCCCGAGGUUUACGCGGAAUUCACGCGCUUCGGUUUUCCUAUAAAUGGGUGAGCUCCUUCAUUCUUCCUCAUUAUCUUCAGACUCACUUUUUUUACUAAAGGUAGCUCUCCCUUCUCUCUUCUUUCUCUCUCUAGUUUAUUUAUUUUCCCGCUAGGGUUUCCGAGGUCUCCGCCGUUCCAGAUCUUUUUCCGGCAGAGGCUCGCCGAGUCGUGCUGUAAUUCUUGUACAAGUCGUAAGUUAUGUCGAGCCACUCCGACGAUUCGUUGGAUUCACUCUUUCACUACGAGCCGAGCCGUGUAGAUGCCGAGGCGAGAGGUACAACAGAAUCCUCCGAGGCAUCCGUUUCGCCGAGCCCUUCCAAUCGUUCAUCUGACGAGGCGUCAAAUCAUGCAAAACCGUCAGAUGUCGACUCUACAGAUGAUGAGCCAUCGGUUUCGACGAGCCGUCCCCAGGAUCCCAUUCCUGAUGAAGGUAUCAACUGCGCCGCAGUCUAACCCGAGGAGGAGGCAUUUCCCUUUGACCUAUUCGAGGCGAAGCGUGAGUUGGAACGUCUCAUAGCGUCUCGAGGCGCUUCCACAUCUGGGCGAGGGCCACGAGUUAAAAGACAAAAGCCUGACCCGCCUGGCUCUACGCUUUGCUCCCUUGAGUCGCUCUAGGCGUUGAGGCAUCGCUUCAGGAUAUCCGAGGCGGUGGAGUUCAUCGUUCCAGAGAAGAGCGACCGAGCCGACAAGCCUCCAGAGAAUCACUUCACUCUGUACGAGGCGUUCUUCGAGCUUUGCUUUCUCUGGUUCCCAAUCCCCGGAGUGAUCCUUGAAUAUCUCUGGAAACACGGGAUCUCGAUUGGGCAAAUCAUGCCGAGGGGAUUACGGCGUAUGAUUGGCAUCUUAGUUCGUAGCUCCGAAUGCGGACUCGAUAUCGAGCUGAAUCACCUGCUGGACUUGCUGGAAAUCAGGAAAGCCCCGAAGGGAAAUAGAUUCUAUAUUUCCAACAAGGCGAAACGACGGAUCAUAGGCGGUUUUCCCAGCAAGGAUCAGUUUUGGACUGAACGCUUUUUCUACGUCUUGGUGAACGAGGCGUCGGUCGGCGAGGAUUACGUUCAAAGAACCAAGACCGCUUGGGGAUCACUUGGUAGCCGACCCGAAGCUCUGCCUCGGCUCGGAACUGCUUUUGGUAUCCUCUUCCUUUUCUGAAUUUUUUUCUUUUUUGCUUUGUUUUGCAGUUCGGUGCUUUCUUCCCCCGAUUCCCGACGACCUUUUUACUGUUCAAGACUCUCUUUCGGCGCGGAAGGUUAAUUGGAGAAAGAACUUCACCCUCGAAAGAGUAGAAAGAGCGCGAGCCAUCCUUGCCGGAGUCCCCGUCAGCUCUUCGUCCUCAAGUUCUUCAAGACAUACCCGGGAGAAGAUAGUAAUAAUCGCUCUCAGAGAAAGGAAGAGGCGCGAGGAAGAGGAGGCCGCUAGAUGAGCUGCCGAGGCGGCUCGCGCGCAUACCGAGGCAGUUCCAGCGCAAGCCGAGGCGGUUUCAGCGCAAGCCGAGACCAUCCCUCAACCCGACCCGCCGAGCCAGGAAGGGGAUGUAAUGGUCCAAGCCGCAGAAGGAGACACUGCCGAGGCGGCUGAUAAAGAUGCAGCGCCCGAGGUGGAACCGGGCGAAAUUAUCCCCGAGGUGUCCGGGGACGGCUCGGCGGCGCGGAGUAAGACUCCUUCGCACACCGCCAUCCUGGCCCUCCCGAAGUCGACGAGGCCACCGACUUCGGUUGUUCAGAAGCAUGACUCUAGCCGAAAACGUUCGGCUACUGACAAGGGGAAGGGCGUCGCCGUUCAGAAGGACGAGCCGUCCAAGAAGAGGCGGAAACCGACGCCCGGGGACCCGCCGCGCAUAAGUUGGUCGUUGACGACCCCAACGCCUCUGCCGUCAUGUUCUCGCGUGUAAAUAACGCGAACACGAGUCUUCCUCCUCUGGAGAAGCUGAGGAGGCCGAGGUCAUACGGCACGAUGGAACAGCACGGUACCAAGGUACGUUCUAUUUUCUUUCCUUUAUUUUUGCAAAUUUUACGAGGUGUUUAACGCACGUCUGUUCUCUGCAGUUUGUCGCGGCCAUUAACGACCUGAUGGCCGAGUAUGAGGCGGACCUGUCUAAGGUCGAAUGUCGUUUGGACGAGGCCCGAAAUGAAACCGUGGCGUCAAAGGUGAAGCUGGAAGAGGCGCAAAACGAAGCCGCGGCCGCGAAGGGGAAACUCACCGAGGCGAUGACCCGAGUGUCGAGGUUGGAAGAGGAGAAGAUAGUUCUCCGCGCUGACGUCGACAAAGUUUCCGCCUUGGUGAUUCGCCUGGAGGAAGCAAGGAGAGCUAAAAGCGCCGAGGUGGCGAUGCAAGAGGCGUAUCGAAGCCAAGGACGCUCUGUUUGAUGCCAAGGUCAAGCGGGCAAAAAAGGAGGCGAGGCGAGAGCUUACGGCUAAGUUUCAGGAACGCCUCGCCAAGGUAGAGGAAGAUUUGGUCAAGCUCGAGAAGGCCAAAAAUGAUGAGAACGAUCUGGGGCAGAUCAAGGGCAAUCUUGCGAUGAUUGCCGACCUGAAGAAGCCGGACACCCCGACGCUUGAUGACGAGGAGGCGAAGCUGAAAAGUUGGGAGAGUGAGUAUGCCAACGACGAGGCGUACGAGCGUAUUGCUUCCGAGAUUCAAGGCGAGCUGUUUUACUCUCCCGUAUCGCUGGACUCGGUAGACACCAGCAUUGGCAACGAGCCGCUUGAAGAGACAGCGGCCAACCUGGGUGUCGUUGAUCCGACCAGAUCGAACGCGGGGACACCAGCCCUCUCGAACCUCCUUGCCGAGCGCGAGACGCAAUCCGUGGCUUGAUACUCUCUGCUUUCCCUCACCCUUUAUUGCACAUGUUCUUCUUUUUGUUUUUGUACUUAAGUUUUUUCAUGAUUCACUUUUCGAACUCGUUAUGUAAUUGGUGCCUGGAUGGCUUUAUCCACUUGACUUUUAUUUUUGCUUUAUGGAUAUAUUUUAUUUUCCUUAGCCAUUUUCGGAUUUACUUGUCUAACAAUCCAUGAAAAUGUUUACGAAAACUGUUGGCUUAGAAAAAUUGUCAAGGAUGAAAACUGUGUGUCGAGAAUGAUUUGAUUGCUUCCUUAGCCGGGCUUUUCGAAAUUGAUAGAAAUACGGGCUAAGGGGUGAAUUGUGUUAAGGAUCUCGUUUGGAUUCUUAAUCCCGAGCUGGGAGUUUAGGUGAUAAUGUCGAGGCAAAUUUCCACUGGCAAUGCCGAGCCGUAUUUAACGACGAGGCGUUUUCGCUGUGUAAGGUGCCGAGCCGUGUAAACGGCGAGGCGUUUUCUCUAAGCGUGGUACCGAGCCGUGUACACGACGAGGCAUUUUUUCUGUGCAUGGUGCCGAGCCAUAAGAACGACGAGGCGUUUUCUCUUUGCGUGGUGCCGAACCGUAAGAACGACGAGGCGUUUCGUUUUUUGUUCAGCCAAGAAUGAUUUGGUAGUCUCAUUGAAUCUUACUAUGGACCGGCGUUUCCGAGAGGAUGAAUAUGUUUGUCCGGGUUUUAAGAGUUUACUUCGGUUUUAGAGAAAGCGAUGUAGUCUCGACUUACAUUCUCGUGUGCGAUAGUAAACCGUGGCGACCUGAUACGUUUUUGGUCUGAUAUUUGUAUAGCGCUUAAUUUUUAUCCGUAGAGGAUGUAACUUGCACCCUCGUCCUAGGAAAGGUGGUAAAGUUCGUUUAGAGAACUUUGUAUUUGUUGCCCCGUUAUGGCCAGCAACGAGACGAGGCGUUCGGAGGCUUAGUUUGCCGAUCUGAAACUGAGGACCGAUUAAGGUCUGAGGUAAUCAAGUCAUGAUAUCGUGCCGAAGUGGUAUGAUUACUCUCCGAAGUGAUGAGUGAUAAAAUUUUAAAAAUCCGAGCUUGUUAAAAUAAGUUGCUGAUUUAGAAAAAAUGAGAAACUAGCCGAAGCGAUAAUGAACGAACUAGAAAUCCAAGGUAAACGUGCAAUAAGUAGAUGAUUAAAAACGAACUGAGAAUGUGCCGAAGUGGCGAUGUUCCUAAGUGAGCAAGUUAAAAUUGUAGAGUUAAAGAAGGUAUGUGUAUAAGUACCCACUCCCCCCCCCUUUUUAGGAAGGGGGACAGCUGAACCCGUCCGAGGACGGGCUGCCUACGUACCCUUUGAAGGGAUCAAGCCGUCCCGUAGUUCAUGCUUGCCAUGCUGUACCUUUAAUGAUAAUACUUUUUUAGAUGCAUUGCGUUCCAUGAUCUUGGAAUCGCUUCGUCAGCUAGUGUCGCGAGUUCGUAGACUCCUGGACGAACCACUUUUGUGACCUUGUAAGGACCUUCCCAAUUUGCUCCGAGCUUUCCUGCGUUCUUCUCGGCAGUGUUUUGGAAGACCUUUCGGAGGACGAGCUCCCCUGCUUUGAAUCUUCGACUACGAACGUUUUUGUUGUAGUAUCGCGCCGUUGCUUGUUGAUAGUUCUGGAUCCGAAUUAAGGCUUGGUCGCGCUUUUCGUUGAUUAGGUCGAGCUCAUCUAGCAUCAUUAAGUGGUUCAAGCCCUCCUGUCCUGGUAGAAGUCUUCGUCGAAUACCUGGGAAAUCCACCUCGGGGGGAAUUACGCACUCCGAUCCGUAGACCAAAGCGAAUGGAGUUUCCCCGGUGGCUCGGCGCGGAGUUGUCCGAUGAGACCAAAGGACUCCUUCGAGUUCGUCUGCCCACCGUCCCUUCUUGGCGUCGAGCCUCUUUUUCAGACAGUCGAGGAUCAUCUUGUUGGCUGCUUCGGCUUGUCCAAUCCCUUGAGGGUAUCUUGGCGUAGAUUUGCUGAGGCGGAUUUUCCACUUCUCGCAGAAGGCUUCGAAGCGUGUUGAGAUGAACUGGGAUCCGUUGUCGGUGACUAUCUCGUAGGGGACCCCGUGUCGGCAGAUGAUAUUUUUCCAGACAAAGUGUUCGACUUGAACAUCCUUUAUGCUUGCGUAGGAAUCGGCUUCGACCCACUUGGAGAAGUAAUCCGUGAGGACGAGCAGAAAACGAUUCUGCUUUGAGCAAUGUAGAGGUCCGACGAUGUCCAUCCACCAUCUCAUGAACGGAUAGGGUGAUGAAAUUGACGCAACUCGGUAGGUUGAUGAAUUGUUGGAGCGUGCCGCUGACACUUCUCGCACUUCGCCUUAAAUUUCUCGUAGUCCUUGACCAUCGUGGGGCAGAAGUAGCCGUGCCGUUUUAUCUUGAUAGCGAGCGACCUUCUGCUGGAAUGGUUCCCGCACGCGCCGCUGUGCACCUUGUGCAUGAUCUUUCUUGCCUCCGGUCCUUCGACGCAUGUCAUGAAAGGCCCUGAAAAUCUCCAUUUAAACACCUCGCCACGACGAGGACAUACCGUGCGACCUGAGCUUUUAGUUUGCGGGCUUCCCAUUUGUCGGUUGGCACCUCUCCAUCGGCGAUAUACACUCGGAUAGCUCCGAGCUAUUCUUUGUCGCAGCCGUACUCCGGCUCGGUCGGUGAGGCGUCUUCAUCCAUAGGAAUGGCUUCGUCGUCCUCUGGUUCUUGUUCAGGAGGAUUUAUCAGCCGAACUCCUUCCACCUCUUUGAUGCUAGGACGUUCGAUGAAUUCGACUGGGAUCGUCCGUCGGAGGUCUGGGUCUGAGGUCGAAGCGAGUGCUGCCAAGGCGUCGGCCGAGGUGUUUUCCCCUCGGGGAAUGCGCGUGAGUUCGUACUCGUCAAACUUUUGCACCAACUCUCGGACCACCUUGAGGUAAGCUCCCAUUCGUCCAUCCUUCGCCUCGUAUUCUCCGUUGAACUGACAUGCUACGAGCUGUGAAUCGCAAAAGGUUCUUAUCUUUCGAACUCCGAUUCCCUACGCUAGUCGUAUGCCGGCGAUCAGUGCUUCGUAUUCCGCUUCGUUGUUCGAGGCGUGGAAGUUUAGGUGAAAAGACUGCUCCAAUAUCUCUCCGGUGGGAGAGGUGAGGCGAAUUCCUAUACCCGAGCCGUGUUUAGACGACGAGCCAUCGACGUGCAGCGUCCACACUUCGUCUAGAGUCGGCUCGUUUGUUUCUUCGGCGGGAAGUUCAAUGAGGAAAUCUGCGAGCACCUGUGACUUUGCAGACGACCUGUUCCGAUACUCGAUGUCGUAUUCGCUUAGCUCUAUGGCCCACUUGGCGAGCCGACCGGAUUGGCUAGGGCUGUGAAGGAUCGAGCGCAGCGGAAGCGUAGCGAGCACAACAAUCGAAUGUUAUUGAAAGUACGGGCGCAGUUUGCGAGCCGAGACUACGAUGGCUAGGGCGACCUUCUCGAUCUGGGGGUAGCGGGUCUCGGCGUCGGUUAGUGUCUAGCUGAUGUAGAAAAUGGGUUUUUGCUCGGAUCGUUCUUCUCUGAUAAGCACUCCGCUUACGGCUGUAGCAGACACUGCGACGUAGAGGAAGAGCGGCUCUCCUUCGACUGGUUUUGCUAAGAUUGGUGGGCUCGCCAGAUAAUUCUUCAGUUCCUGGAAAGCCGUCUCGCAUCGUUCGUCCCACUCAAAUUUCUUGUUUCCUCGGAGGGUGUCGUAGAAGGGCAGGCAUUUGUCUGUAGAACGGGAAAUAAACCUGUUUAGCGCGGCGACUCUACCUGUGAGCCUUUGCACUUCGCGCUUCGUUCUUGGAGAGGGCAUCUCAAUUAACGUCUUGAUCUGCUUGGGGGUUGCUUCUAUGCCUCGGUGAGUUACCAGAUAGCCGAGGAAUUCUCCCGAGGUGACCACAAACCUGCACUUUGCCGGGUUUAGUUUCAUGUUGUGCUUGUUCAAUUGUUCGAAGCAUUCCCAUAGAUGCGCGACGUGGUCUUCCUCCUUGAGUGAUUUGACUAACAUGUCGUCGAUGUAUACUUCCAUGGUUUUUCCGAGCUGAGCCGCGAACAUUUUAUUGACGAGCCGUUGAUACGUUACUCCUGCGUUCUUGAGCCCGAACGGCAUGACUUUGUAGCAGUAUAUCCCUCGAUCAGUUAUGAAUGCCUUUUUUUCUCGAUCAUCAGGAUGCAUCAGGAUCUGAUUGUAGCCGGAGAACGCGUCCAUAAAUGUUAACAGUCUAUUCCCUGCAGUGGCUUCGACGAGCCGGUCGAUGUGUGGCAAGGGAAAGCUGUCUUUUGGGCACGCCUUGUUGAGGUCGGUGAAAUCCACACAUACUCGCCACUUGCCGUUCUUCUUCUUCACGACCACCGGAUUUGCGAGCCAAUCCGGAUAUUUGGCCUCGGCGAUUGAUCCUACUUUGAGUAACCUUUCAACUUCGUCGUUAACUGCUUUAGCUCGUUCGGGGCCGAGCUUCCUUCUUUUCUGCUUGACUGGCUUAAAGGUCGGAUCCACAUUCAGCUCGUGACAGGUUACGUCAAUGCUUAUGCCUGGCAUAUCUUCUGCUGUCCAGGCAAAAGUGUUGAUGUUCUCCUUGAGGAGGGAAAGGAGUUCGCUUCUCAGAGGCUCUUCUAGUUUUAUUCCAAUUUCGAUGCAUCGCUCCGGACGCGCCUCGUCUAUGCACACCGAGUCCACUGCAUCGCAUACCGGCUCGGCGCGUGUUUCGCGGUUCUCCGUGAUCUGUAAUUGCUAUAAGAGUUUCGAGAGCUCGUUUGCGGGCUCUCGGUCUGUCUUCAUCUUUUUGCGGUCUAUAUCUGCUCGUGCGUCAGUGACGGGGUUCCUCAGCUUGUGCUCGGCUAAGCAGCACAUUCUUGACUCCUUCUGAUUCCCCCAUAUCGUUUUGACACCCGAUGGAGUUGGGAAUUUGAGACAGAGAUGAUAGGUGGAUGGUACCGCCCUCAUCCCGUUGAUCCAUGGAGUUCCCAUGAUCACAUUGUAGAUUGCUGGGUGAUCAGUGACGCAGAAUUCGACGAUCUUAGUGACUCCGCCAGCUACCACAGGAAGCCUGAUCGUUCCCAUAGUCAUCGUCGUUUCUCCUGAAAAUCUGGUUAGAGGUUGGGGAUUGCUUCCACCUCGGAGAGGUCGAUUCCCAUUUUUCUGAGUGUUUCUCUGAAGAUGACGUUCACUGAGCUUCUAGUAUCGAUGAGCACCCUUGCCACAUCAUGAUCCAUGAUCGUUAACUCGAUCACCAACGGAUCGUUGUGAGGUCGAUCAAUUCCUGCCGCUUCCUCCUCGGCGAAGGAGAUCACUGUGUUUGGGAUGUCGGUUGGUUUUAUCCAAUUCUCCUUUGCUUCGGCUCGGCGCUGAUAGGCUUUGAUGGAGGACACGGUAUCAUGGUAGUAUUGAGAUCCACCCAUGAUCAUAUUGAUCCUUUGCCUCGGCACGGGUCGCUCUUCGGGUUCACCUCUCCUGUCGCGCUUGGAGUUAUCGCCUCUUCGCGCUGCUCGGCUCGGCUCUCUCUUGUUGUUCGUUAGGGACGAGGUCUUUGAGGUUGACCGCGUUUUGGAGCUCUCCCGCUGCCAUCUUAGGCACGAGUUUUGCUCCUAGAGUUCGGCACUGUGCCGUUGAGUGCCCGUAGGUCUGGUGAUACUCACAGAAAGCCUUCUCGUCGUAGUUGGCGGAUUUCCUCACCCAAGUGUUGUUGCGCGGCUCUCCUCUUCCGCGUCCGGUGCCUACCUGGUAGUUAUGGGCACCUCCGCUUCUAGGUUCAUCCGAGCUCUGCGUUGUUGCGUUGUUUGAUGGGUUGCCCUUCCUCGCGGGGCGCGGCAAAAUUGAGCUUCGGAUUGCUGCUUUCGUCGCUUCGUACCGCUCGUCCAAGUUUUUCAUUUCCUCCUCGUUUACGACGAAGUCUGAUGAUCGGUGCAGAGCGUCUUGAAUUGUUUGCGGCGUGUUGAGAGCCAUCUCCCGUUGGAACUCGGAUUUGUACCACAAAGAUUGUUUCAGAGCCUCGAGCGCAGCCUUGUCGCUUAUCCCUUCUAUUUUGGAUACGAGUGCCUUGAAUCUUGCCAUGUAAUCCCGAAGCGGCUCGUUCAGUCCUUGGGAUAGUGUCCACAGAUCGGCAUCAGAUGUUCCUCUGUCCAUAAACAUCGAGUAUUGUUUCUGGAACAAGGCGGAGAGCUGUUGAAAAUUGCCGAUUGAAUUUCGUUCCUGCCUCGAAAACCACUCGAGUGCGGCUCCCUUGAGAUGCUCCACGAAGAGCAGGCAGUAUCCGGCAUCUACUUUGCGCUCGGUGAGUUUAGCGGCGUUCUUUGUGAAGGCUCGUCCCAUUGCUAUCCGAAACGCUGUGAUGUGUGCUUUCGGGUCGGUUGUUCCUUCGUAGAACGGGAUUCUCACCUUCCCCGGCUCGGGAAUCCUGGCCUCCGUGAUUCUUGCAGUGAAUGGAGUUCUCUGAGUUUCUUCAAGCAUUCGGUCGAUUUCGGGCGCUGCGCUUGUCACGUUGUGCACUUGGGAUUUCAUGGCGCGUAUUUCAGCUACUGUCCGAGCUAUCGAGGCUCGCAGCUCUUUGAGUUCGAGAGUUUGUGUGUGAAUCAUUCCCUUUGAUUGGGGGAGUCGCUCCCGCUCCUCUCUCCUCGGCUCGUCUUCGCGCUCUGCCUGUUCGAUCCAUUGGCGAUUUUCUUCCUCCUCGGUUGGAUUGUCGCUGCGGGUCGGGUCGGAAACUUCGUCAGUUCGGAUGCCGUUUAGUGCCGAGGCGAGGUCUUCUUGACUUAUUCGCCGAGCCGAGCCGGUUUGUUGCGGAUUCGUGGUUCAGUCGUUAUGCUGGGCGUCUACGUCGAUCGCAUGGUUUUCUUCUUCGCCGGCUCGCCGCCUUGAGUUUCGGCGGAGAGGGGGCGGCUCGGUCAUGUUGACUCUGGUUGCUGCGGGGGGUCUUUUCGUCGAGGAGACGAAACAUUGGAGGAGCCGAGGGGUUUCUUGCGCCACUCCCUGAGGCUUCUGCAGGUGUCGAGAAAUCGAAGCGUCUCCGGAUUCCAUCCAUCGGGUCGGGAAUUCCGGCUCUCCAAGUUUGGUGCAGUCGCUCAGCCGCCAUCGCGUCGAGCCUUUCCGUAAUCGCCUCGUUUCUUUUAUCCUGUUCGUCGAUUUUCUUCAUCAACGCAGCCAUCAUGUUUGCAUCUCCUCCUGGGUUUUGAUCGUUGCUGUCGUUGUGCCCGAUGCCGGAGCGUCCUUCUCCGUGCCGUUACCGGUGUUGUUGUUGUUGUUGUCGUCGGGGGUGUUGCUCGCCAUGUUCUUCGGAUCUUAAAGUCUUGUCGAUUUAGAGUAAGAAAGUUUCGAUUCCCCACAGACGGCGCCAAAUUGUGUGAGCCAAAACUCGCACAACCAGAAAUUUGUUUAAGGAAAACUAAGGGAUCGGAAACUUCUAGGGUUUCGCCAAAAACAGUAAGAUCGAAAGAAAGUUUUUCUUGCUGUAAAAGUGUUUAGCUCAUAUUGCUUAGGGUUGCAAAAGUUACAGAAUGAAUUGUAUACAUCGUCUAUUUUUACUAACUCUCUGAACCGCCUAGCCGAGAAUCUCGGGAGAGAUUUUCGGAAUAUUUCCUUAUCGCCUCGUGCGGCUCACCGCCUUUGUAUUUCGCCUAGGGUUUUUAUGGGCUUCGUCUCCCAAGGCCACGGUUCGGCCCAUCAUUCUCCUUUGCCACGGCUCGGCCCAUCUAACUUCUUCACGGCUCGGCCCACUUGCCAUUUCGGUCGAGACAUGAUCUGGUCCACCUCACCGAGGCGCGGCUCGACCCAAGCAUGUUGGAAUGGGGCUCGGCCCAAAUCUUACGAUACGGCUCUCCCUACUGGUCUAUCUUCACGGCUCUCCCACUUGGUGAUCGCGGCUCUCCCGCUUGUCUUGGUGAGAACGGCUCUCCCACUUGUCUUGGUGAGAACGGCUCUCCCACUUGUCUUGGUGAGAACGGCUCUCCCAUUUGGUGACCACGGCUCUCCCACUUAUCUUUCUUCCAUACUUAGUCAUUUUGAGAUGGUUUUAUCUGCAUGGGGUGAAAACCGACCCCAACAAGUAUUGGGUAAUCUUUAGAAUUUACAUGGAAAUUGCUUAUAAAAACCAAUUUUUAGAAGAUUUCUAUGUUGAGAACAUCAAAAAUCCGAAUCUGGUCAUGAACUACUUGAUUUCUCUGAUUUAUUAUCGAUUUUGUUUGCUCAUGGUUUUAAUUAAUCUCUUUAUGCUAGUAUUAGUAUAACAGAUCUUAAUGUGUUAAAAUCAGCAUCCAAAUUCACUCUUUUUCCAAGAACUAUUUCGUUUUGCAGAAAAAUGGACCAAAACAGAUCCCGAAGGAGCCGUCGCACUGGUGGCAGCUCCGAGGACAUUCCCGAUGAUGCUACUCUAGGAGAGUACAUGCUGAACCAAACCAGACCGAGAAGGAGAAACUAUGUGAUGAGAUUGCUCCAUCACUCAAGAGAAACACAAGCAGCUCCCGAGCCACCACAGAUUCUAUACAUUGGGAGGGAGACAAACCCGAGAGUGGACUAUGCAAGACGUUUCAAGAAGCUGAACAUCAAACCCACGCCUUGCAUAGAUUAUCAUACACUCGAGAUGCUUGGAAUCAGAGAAGAUGUGAUCUGGUACAUCAAUGCACUUAAGCUGAGACCCUACAUGGAGCUGAACCUUCCGACUUAUCCUGAGCUAGUCCGUGAAUUCUUAGCGACUAUUACACUACACCACACGAAGAGGAGGAACCCCAGAGCAUCAGAUGGCAUCUUGUCAUUCUCUAUCCGCGGACAGCCUUACUCUCUCACCAUUUCUGAGGUUUGUGAAGCUCUUAAGCUUCCAUACACUGAUGGCAUUUACCUUGAAGAUGAACCUGAUCUUAACCUGUGGAGAGAGAUGGGUCAUGGAGUCUAUGAUAGUGGGAGAUCGAAGUCAGCCCUUCUUACUCAUCCAGCAGUGAGAGUUGUGCACAAGCUAUUAGCACACACGAUCUUCUCUAGAGCAAACAUGGGAGGUGUUUUAAAGACUGAGCUCAUUACACAUCAGAUUCCGUUUAUGGACGACCCACGACUUGCUUGCUUUGCCUGGAUCAUAGCGCAGAAUACGGUAAACGUGAAGCAUGACUUACAUGGUUGCGAGGACGCUACUCCAGCUUUCAGGAGUGCUAUUACAGCGAUACUACAGGCUGUAGGAUUCGAUUUCUCAUCUGAUGAGCCACUUCCCGAUGUCUGGUAUGAUCUACUUUAUCUCUCUCGCGAUCACACUAUCUCUCGUGCCGCUUUCGAUCCAGACAGGUUUGGUUACAAGUAUUGCACUGGCACUGAGGAGCACCGAGUCAGUUUGCCUUCGGUAUCUAUCCCGAGAUUGUGUAACGGAGGACGUCCGCGAUGGACUCCGGAACCUGAUGAUUUUCUGCCUUCUGUACCUCGUCUACCAUUCACCAUUGGCCAAUACAUAGUGGCCAAGGUGAAGCGUGAUGCAGCUGCGGCCCGUGCCCAUUUUCAGCCAUCUGUUUUGACCGGCCACACCUCAUCAUCUACAUCAUCUCACACUCAUUCCGAUCUGGAGCGCAGAGUUGAGAGACAGGGACGACGCUUUGAGCGCGUUGUCACCUUCUUACAGGAGCAGCACCAGUUUGCAGACGACACAUCGGAGGAUGAGUGAUUGAUCAGCACUUCACUACCAUCACGGUUCUAUCAUCAAUUUCUUUUCUUUUAUCUUAUUUUAUUUCUCUUUUAUUCACCAUCUUCUCACCAACUUUUUCACACUGGGGACAGUGUGAUUUAAGUCUGCGGGAGGAUGUCUAUCCGUACUAAUCAUUUUCUUGCUUUUCUUUUUAAAUUCCAAGUACUUUUUAAAUUUUAAUAUGUAACCUAUUCGACAUUAAGUAUUUUUCAGGAAUGUUUGACGCAAAACUAUGAUGAUUUAGACCUGCACGCUUCUACACUAUGCAUGAUUGCUCAUUUGUGGUUAGCACUAGACUAGGCGGUAGCUAGAGUACUUGCACUACGAACUCCCACCAGAGGACUUCUAUUCAUGGAGAUUCUUUCUGACAGGAUAUACUAGCUCAUUUUAUUUGGACUUAAUAUUGAUAUCUAAUUUUUUCAUCAUUGAUUUUAGGCAGGCAUCGACAUACACAUCUAGGACGUCUUCUACCCUCACUUUUACCACUCUUUGUCGUCCUAGAUGACCUGUUUAUCUUUAUCUGGUACCAUACCCUAAACCCAAAACCCUUGUUUUCAAUCCUCAUGCAUUCUUUCUUUAGUUUAUAUCAGCAGAUAUGUGCAAAAACGUCGGAGAGAAGAGGAGCGACACAGUUUUCAGUCACUCACAAAGGAGACUGAAUGGAAUUGGGAAGGAAGAGUAUCAGAAAAAUCAUGAAGCUUUACAAGACAGAUAUUGACUGGUAAUUUCGUGCUCUCUAAGACUCUAUAUCUAAAGGUGUUCCCUUUCUCCCACAAAAAAAAAAAAAAAAAAAAAAAACGUGAAAAAAGAAAGGGAAACAAAAAGCCUAAUGAGUCUUAGAUUGUCAAAAAUUUGUGGAGCAAUAAGCAACCACUAAUCGUUUAAUUUUGAAAGAUUUACAUAAAUCUAAGUCUGGGGGAGUUAGGAGAGAACCUGAGGAAGAAGACCAGGAAUCUAUGGCACGAAGAAAGUGACUGAAAACUGUGGAUACCAACAGCUUAACUCUCUCUUGCGGUUUUGCAUAAUAUCAUGCAUCCUCCAGAUUUUCAAGUAACCCGUAAACACUUUAAACCUUACCCCUAGAAUAACCUUUUUAACACCUAGCCUAGAUUGCCUUGCCUAGACUUUCUUUGAUGAGAACCACCGAGAUUUUUAAUGAAUGUUAAGAGCUAGUUGACUGGAAGUUAGAUCCUAGUGCAUAGAUUUUCGCAUGAUGGAUUAACGGACUAGUUAUGCCUGUAUUGCUAGUGAGUAUUUUCUAGGCUAUUCCCGAUUGAUGCAUACUGAUUGAUAUUGGUCUAGAAGUUUGGUCUCUGAGAUUUUGUUUAGUUCCUGCGUUUUCAAACCUCUCACCGAGAUUUAGCCUUUGUUUUGUUUGAGGACAAACAAAAGACUAAGUCUGGGGGAGUUGAUAACACCGGAUUUUGACCAUUUUUAUGGAUCACUUUCAUAUCUUUUACCGGUGUUUUUACUCCAUUUUCAAAGAUUUUCAAAGGAUUUCUAUGUUUCCGGAUUUGAAAAGACUUUUCAGGUAAUUUGGGAUAAAGAGGCACAAAAUGAAACAAAAACUCUUUUGAAUAAAUGCAGACCGUCAGAACUCUCAUGGAGAGACGACGACCUUCUCACCGUCUGAUCACCUUCAAAACUGGACAACUUAUAGAAGAAUCAACCAGCUUUCAAAUGCACUUGGUUUGGAGACAUUCUAACGGUUGGAUCUCAAGAUAUUCCAUUAGCCCCGGAGCCACUCGAACUCGGCCAGAAAGUCACGCGACCGCGGUGAUCAACCUAUUUCCCGCGGUCAGAAGCUUCCCGACCGCGGCCAACCAGCCAAUCCCCGCGGUCACAACACUCCCGACCACGGCAAUCAAUCUCCGAAUUAAAGCCCAUGUAUCUGAAGCCCAAAGUCAUUCUCAGCCUCAAUUCCGGAACCCUAGAGACCAUGGAGUAUUGGAGACUAUAAAUACAUGUCAUUUAGGUCGUUUUUAGGGAGAGUCAUUCAUACUUUACAGAAACCCUUUUCCUUUAGCCGUUUUUAUGAGAUUUUUGUAGAAGAUUGUUCAAGUCCGAGUUCUUCAAUAGAGAAGCUUUCUUUAUCUCUUUUUUUUACUGUUUUUCAUUACUUUUAUUAAAACCAAUGAUGAUGUCGACCUCCGCCAUGUCUGAGUAGAUCCCGAGUUGGGCUUAGGGUUCCCGAAAGGGGCUCUCAUAAUCGAUUAAGACAUCUAGGUUUAUAGAUCUGGGAUUUCGACAUGUUCUCUGUUUAUUCUUGUUCUUAUUGCAUGUAUGCUUGAUUGAUCACCUAGUAUCUGAUCUAGAUAGUUAGUGUUGCGAAAGUUUUCAUUAAGUAUCAGCCCUAGAAUGAAACAGGCAAUUUUUUCGUAGGAGUGGAAACCUACCUGCGGCGAGAUCGUGAGUAUUGACGAGUCUUGUGCAGCUCUUGCGUUCUCUCCCUUCCAGGGCUAGAGUGGAAACCUACUGGUCUGGGUUGCGAGAAACAGUUGGUUAUGAUCACGACAAUGACGUAGUCAUACCGCCGUACUCUAGCUCUAGAACCCAUAUAUCGAUAUCCGUCAAUCCCAAUCUAUUUACCCUAGUGUUAAAACCGAUUAUGAUCCCUUAGAGUCCCCAAAAGCUCAGCGUUUUUAGCCAUAGUUUACAAUUCCAUCGAUUUUUAUUUGCUUAUUUAGGCCUGCAUUUCAAUUUCCUUAGUUUGUUAUUUACUUACUUUACUAGUAUUUCAUUCGAUAGUUUACUUGCCUUAUUAGUCUUUCAUUCGAUAUUUUACUUGUUCUAUUUGCCUUUCAUUCGAUUUCUUUACUUGCUUUUUAGGAUAGAUUUAUUUGCUUUCUUUUGUUUUAGUUUAAUACAUCAAACCAACCAACCUUUAAAAACCAAUCUAGUGUAGACAUAAAGUUAAAAACCGUAGAAGAAUACUAGGCACACAAAUCUAUGUGGAUUCGAUCCCUAAAUACUACAACUGAUUAGCUGUGCACUUGCGGCUUUCAUUUGUUUUGUUAAGGGUAAAACUUGAGAGAAAAGGUAUAUCAUCGAAAAAAAAUUCAUGCAAGAAAAUUUUGACCAUUAUUUGUGGUGUCUAUACCAUAAAAACCAAUAAUCAUCUAUGAUCGGAUCAGAAUUUACCGGCGUAAUCUCAGCAAACCCAUGCAAAAAAACGUCAAUAGUAACAAAACCAACUCAAAUAUAACCAUGAAACAAGUCUACCAUACAUAUGGAAUCUGUUUAACAUACAACACCCCAAAACAAGUCUACCACACCUUUGGUUUUUUUGUAGAUUGCUGAAUACCUUUAGGACAAAUAAGUAAUUUCAAUUGAAUAAGUCAAAUGUCUACCGAAAACAAUGUAACUAAGUCUACCACAAGCAAUGUAAAUAACUCUACCAUAAGAAAAACUCUACCUUCAAGCAUCAAAUAUGUCUACCAGAUUGAGGUUAUCUGAGUAAACACCAAAGUUAUUUAAUCUACCACAUGAAGCUCAAUAGAAGUCUACCAUACGUGCAAUAACUUUACCAAUUGAUUGAAAAUCUACUACAAUAACAAAAAAAAUCUACCACCAUUUUAUAAGUCUACCUCAUGUAACAAUAAAUUUACUACUCAACGGAAUGAAAUCACCAAAUUUUUACUUGAUUUAAAUCUUCCACAUUACUUAUAAAUCUACCACAAGAGCGAUAAAUCUACUCACAUGAUAUAACUCUACCAAUUUCAUAACUAAUCUACCUCAAUAGGGAUAAAUCUACCACCACGUUAUCUUAAAUUUUGGUGAAUAAAUCUGCCACCAAAAGAAAUAAGUCUACCAAUUCGAGUAUUAAAUCUACCCCCAUUGUCAACAAAUCUACCAACAAAAUCAACUAUGCGAGAGAGUCAACGAAUUCCUUAACAAGUCUACCAACACUUUAACAAGUGUGGCAUACAUGACAACAAAUCUACCGAAACUUAACAAAUCUAUCGUGUCAUUGUCAAAACUCUACCAAAAAAAGUAUAUCAACAUUUUACAAAUCUACCAAUUCUCGAAUAAAUCUACCAUCGUCCUAACAAAUAUGCCAUCUAAAAAAUUGUGUUGACCAACAUCUGAUAAGUCUACCAUCAAAGACCGGUAGGCUUAUCAUUUUUCAAGCGCAUCUUUUUGCCUACAUGGCACAAAAAAGUAAUGGCAUUUUUUUAAUUAGGUUUUUUUCAUCAAAGGCGAAAAUGAUGUUUUCGGUAUGCUAUGUUAUUUUUGUAAUAAAAAUAAAAGUAUGUCAAGCAAACAAUAAACAUACAUUUAAAGGUUUGUAUAGUAAUCCUUCCUUGUUUUAAUUCUUUUGAAAAACAGUUUAUAACAUCAAAAUAUGUUGUACAUUUUUAAAACCCUUAUGUCCGCGCAAAGCGCGGACCAACACCUAGUUAUAAUUUAAAAUCCAGCUAAGUUAUCUACAUACUAUAAUUCAUAAUUCACUAUUAAAAAAAUCAAAAUUCAUCCAUAUUAACCAUAAAUCUUACAAUUUUUAAACACACGAUAACAAAUUGGUAUUUUAUAAUUCUAUAAAUUAAGAAUCUUGUAUAGAUUUUAUUCAUAAUUCAUUUUUUAUAUACUUUUUUUUUGUCAUCAGCCUAAGUACCUAAAACGGUUCGGCUAUCCAAACCGGUGGUACCGAGUUUACAUAAAUGACGUCUUGAGGGUAGACACGAGCACUUCUUGCUAGGUUGUCCGCCUUCGAGUUUUUUGCGCGUGGGAUAUGUGAUAUAAGGAAGAAACUGAACUUGUCCUUCAUUUUCCUAAUCUCCUCCAAAUGUAGAUCAAAAGCUGGCCAUUCUUUGGGUGUAGACACCAUCUUCACCAACUCCAAACAGUCUGUUGCAAAAGCUACUUCCAUCUUCUGGUUUUCGAGCAUACAGUGCAUAGCCCAUAUGAGGGCUUCUAUUUCUGCAUGCAGAGGUGUAAGACUUUGUCUUACAUUUUGUGCUCCCAUUAUUCUUUCCGUAGCAUCUUCUUUAAAGAAGUACCAUCCUAAUCCCGUUAAAAGAUAUGUAUCUUUCCAAGAGCCAUCAGUAUAACACCACCAGCCUUCGUAGGCCAUAGGUGUUUACAAGUUCAGAGAAGUGCAAAGAUCGGUAGGAAUUGAAUCCUGUUCAGACCUUUGAGCCUCUUCCCACAAUGUUGCUUCUUUUUCCGCUAUUUUCAAUGUAAUCUGUGGAUCUAUAUCAUUAUUCGAAUACACUUUCUCAUUCCGUGCCUUCCAAAUAUACCAUGCGAUCCAUGGGAAUUUUGUGUUAUUCAACUCUUUUGGAAGUCGCCAAAAGAGAUGAUCAAAAUUCGAAUAAACCGAUGGUCCUGGGAAAAUCCCAAGAGGUGUUGGUAUCCGGGAUAAUGCCGAAGUUUGCAAAGCAGGAGGACAUUCAAAGAGCACAUGGUUAAUUGUUUUUUCAUCUGCUCCACACCGUGUACAUUGUGUGUCACAUUGUAUUCCACGGGUGCUUAAUCUAGCCGACACUGGAUGGCACCAAGAUAUUGCUUGCCAGAUAAAAUGUCUUAACUUCGACACACUUUUCAAUUUCCAAGCAUAUGCUUGUAAAGCCUUUAUGUCUGGGCCAAAGAUCUCCUCUGUUAUUUCUUUAGAUAAAUAACGCUCAGUUUUGUACCCUGAUUUUACAGUAUAUCGUCCGGAUUCUGUGAAAUGCCAUCCCAUUGGGUCUGGCCUAUAGGUUCUACUAAUGGGAAGUCCACGAAUAAUUUCCACAUCCGCUGGGUCAAUAAUUGCUGUUAUCAAACCCAUGUUUCACGAGUUUGUCACUGGGUCAAUCAGGUGAUUAACCAUAAGAUUCGGAUAAUAAUUGAAACCCUUACAAGUGGCUGAUCUCGGGCGAGUAGAAGGUAUCCACGGAUCAUUCCAGACAGAAAUGGAGCAUCCUGAACCUACCCUUUUAAUUAGCCCUUUAUUAACCAGAGAUCUAGCCGAUAUUAUACUUCGCCAUCCAUAAGACGGUGAGUAGGAUCUCACUGGGUCCAAAGGACUUGGAUUCCGAAAGUAUCGUCCUUUAAAGACCUGCGCAAAUAAGGAAUUUGGUCUAUCAAUCUGCGAAAGUAUCUUCAUUUUUUAUAUACUUUGUAUUUACUAAUCUUUUCUUUUAAUUUUUUCUAUUUUUUGAAUUUACAUUUAAAAAGGUAUAAUUAUUUUUCUAUUCUUAUUUGAAAUAAAUAAUUAAAAUAAGAAAUUUUAUCUCAUUUCAUUGACACAUGAGUCAAUCAUAAAUAACUGUGAUAUAUGACACAAUAUAGUGAGUUAUAAAAAUAUAAUGUCUUAUACAUAUAGAAUUUUAUUUUUGGUUUACUUUUGUUAUUUCUAUUUUGUAGUUUCUAUUUUCAUCUACUUUAGUUUUUUCUAAUUUAGUAAUUUACAUUUAAAAAUGUAGAAUUCCUUUUGUUUAGAAAAAAAAUAUAAUUUAACAUAUAAGAUUUUAUAUUAUUUUAUUGACAUAUGUUACGAUCAUAGUUAAGCGUGAUACAUGACACAAUAUGGUGAAUUAUAAAAAUCCUAUGUGCCAGUGUCACGUUGAGAGCACUGAACUUUCUUUUUUUUUUUUCACUGAAUAUUACGUAUAUUAAUAAUCGAUGAGCUUACAAGCAGACAAUACAAAACAUGAUCAAAAGCAAUCAAACACUCAUAUAGAACAUGAGUAUUACAACAAGGUAAUACUACUUUCAGAAACAAAAAUCUCUUCUAACCACUGAGGAUAGCCCGAGGCUAUAUAUGAUUGUCGACGAUCAUCUUUAGUCACACUUCUAGCAAUGAGGAAAGCACCUUGAUUUGUAACUCUUUCCUCAAGCGUAAGCUUCCAAUCCAAAAAAAUUUCCAAACCAUUCAAGAUCUCAGACGAAUAGAAUUUGAAAGAAGGCCAGGCUGGUGGCCGAUGAACCGCUCCUAUUAAAUCUGAAUCUUCCGAAGCAAAGACCAUUUUGGUGAUACCUAAGCUAUUCAAACUUUCAAUUGCCCAGAUCCAACUUUUGAAACUAGCAUCAAUGUGGCUGGAUACAGAACAGAAAGAUCUUCUACUGUGUAAAAGGACUGAUCCAAAAGAGUUCCUAAGAACCCAUGCAGCACCACCACAUCCUUUCUUUUUAUCCCAGGAAGAACCGAUAUUACAUUUCAACCAAGGUCUAGAGGGAGGAAGCCAAACCUUCGGGGGUUGAAUCACCUCCAUCUUUUUUUUAAUAGCUUCCUUUUCAUCCAACUCUUGAGCGUGAAACCAUUGGUUCACAUCUUCUUUAAUCUUGCCCAUAGUAUCAGAAACUCGGAAGCUCAUUCCUUCAAAAAUGAAGAUGUUGAGAUUCUUCCAGAGUAUCCAUAAGAUCCACGGGAUUGAUCUUCUGAUUUCCAAAGGCACUGAUAACUUUUUACCCACCAUCAAUAAAUGGAACAUGUUCUGAUAGAUGGAGUUUGAUUCAUAUCCAUUUUCAGGACUGGGUACAUUCGAAGAGGCCCAAACCUGUCUAGCAAUUGUACAUUUGAAUAGCACAUGAUUUAUGGAUUCACCUUCAAGCCCACAGAUUUGACAUCUCGAAUCAAUCUUCAUACCUCUCGAUGCAAUUUUGUCUGCAACAGGAAUGGCACCACUAAUUGCUUUCCAAAGAAAGUUUUUGAUUUUAGUGGUUGUAUUGAGCGCCCAGAUUUGGAGUUUGAUUGCAUUCAAAGACGGUUGCAUCAGAGCUUCCUUGAGGGCUUCAGAUGGAUUACUUUGAGAAGCAAACCAAUACCCUGAUUUAACAGAAUAUUCGCCACUUUUGGUAUGUUCCCAGCAGAAAAAAAUCCAAUGAAGAAACCACCGGGUUAGUUCUUAAGAUUAGACCAACGUCUCUUUGGAAGAAAUGCUCAUCGAGUUUAUCCCUAUCCCAGCUUUUGGAUAUCGGAUCAAUGAGGUCAAUAACUCUCAAAUCCAAAUUAAAGAUGAUGUUCUUUAUGAAGGGAGCUCUCAUAACCCCAUCACAAAGCCAUCGAUUAGUCCAUACACUAAGCGAAGCUCCAUUGCCAACCAUCUGUCUAAGACCUUUUUCUAAAAGAGAUCUUCCAUGAAGAAUGCUUCUCCAAGCAAAAGAGGGUCUAACUCCAGUAUCUGCGAGAAGGAAGGAGGAAGAAACAAAGUAUCGGCUCUUUAAGAACAAAGCAAGGAGACAAUCCUUAUCUUGUAGAAUUCUCCAAGCUUGUUUGGCUAAAAGAGCUUGGUUGAAGAUUUGAAUGUCUUUAAAACCGAUCCCUCCUUGAGCUUUAGGAAUGCACAAUUUAUCCCAUCCAAUCCAAUGCAUUUUCCUUUUGUUCUCGACAGUGUCCCACCAGAAAUCAGCCAUCGCAGAAGAUAACUUAUUACAGAUAGUUACUGGCAAUUUAAAACAGGUCAUGGAGAAAACUGGCAUCGCCAUCGCAACAGAGUUGAGUAACACUUCUUUUCCACCUUGAUAUAGAAGCUUUGAAUACCAUCCAGACAUUCUUCCUUUCAUUUUGUCGUGGAUGUAAGACAACAUAUCCACUUUAGAUCCACUAAAACAUUCUGGAAGACCCAAAUAAGUGCCCGCUCCACCUUCAUUGAUAAUACCCAAUUUGGUUUGAAUGAUUUCCUUCAUAUCCAUAUUCACGUUAGCACCAAAAGUGAUGGAGGAUUUAUCAAGGUUGAUGAUCUGACCAGUAACUCUUCCAUAAAGAGAAGAAUGGAUUGGAGGGUUGUGCACUGUUCUUCAUCCGCUUUAAUCAUAAAAAGACUGUCAUCUGCGAAUAACAAAUGGUGAAUGGCUGGACCAUCGGGAGAGAAUUGAAUCCCAUUAAUCAAGCCAGAUCGUUCAGCACAGUUGAGCAGAUAUGUCAAUCCUUCAGUACACAAAACAAAAAGGAAAGGUGAUAAGGGAUCACCUUGCCUUAUUCCUCUCUCAGGAAUGAUCAAACCAAAAGGCUGUCCAUUAAUCAGAACUGUAUAAGAAACCGAGGAGACACAGAACAUAAUCAUCUGGACCCAUUUUUGAUGAAAACCGAGAGCCAAAAGGAGCGCUUGAAGAUAGGACCACUCAACACGGUCGUAAGCUUUUGACAUGUCGGUCUUCACCGCCAUGAACUCCGUCGAAAUCCUAUCAUGAGUUCUCAAACCAUGGAUAGCUUCAUGAGCUAUUAUAAUGUUAUCUGAGAUAAGUCUUUCUUCAACAAAGGCAGAUUGAUUAGGAGAGACAAUCUCAGACAGAAAGGGUUUCAUUCAGGACACCAUGAUUUUGGAAAUCACUUUGUAGAGAACAGAACAGAGACUAAUUGGCCGUAGGUCACUCAUGUGAGGAGAGUUGACCUUUUUUUGGGAUAAGACAAAGAUUAGUGAAGUUCCAUUCUUUAGGGAAAACACCCGAUUCAAAGAACUUGAGAACUUCCAUCGUGACAAGAUCACCAACAAUAUCCCAAUAGUUCUGAAAGAAAAGACCAGUCAUACCGUCUGGGCCAGGAGCACUAGAGGCUUUGAUCGAGAAAACAGCUCUUUUCACUUCUUCUUUAGAAACCAUACUGAUAAGACUGUCGUUCAUUCUAGAGUUGACUCUCGGCAUGAAAUCGGAGAAGAAUUCUAUCUGAUUUGAAGGAGCAGAUGAUGAGAAAAGAGUCUGGAAAUAGCUAGUCGCCACUUCACCCUUUGAAGCUUCAGAUCGAUGCAUGAUUCCAUUUAUAUCCAUAAGCUUAUCAAUACAAUUCCUUGACCUAUCAGACUUGACAGAAGCAUGGAAAAACUUGGAGUUUUUGUCACCAAGAUUCAGCCAUUUAUCUCUACUUUUCUGUUGCCAAAAACUUUCUUCUUCCUUGUAAGCCUCCACCAGACUUUUUUGAGAUUGAAGAGACGACAUGAAGAAGGAGAUGACGAGGAUUGUUCAAACUCCAGAUCAUCUUCAAUAGUUUUUAUUUUGAUCUGAGAAUUAGCAUCGUUGACUUUCUUCCAUUGACUGAGAGCUUUCCUGCAACUUCUUAAUCUCGAAGAGACACUAAGAUUAUGAGAGGAUGAGGGACCAAACCAAGCCGACUUUAUGGCUUCUUUGACAAAAGGUUUGUGGAGUAAUCUUUUUUCAAAUCUAAACGAACCCCGAUAAGACUCUUGAGAAGAGAAGAGAUGAACCAGGACCGGACGAUGAUCGGAUCCUCUUUUAGCCAAAAAAGCUUGAUUAGAAGCAGGGAAGAAAGAAGACCAGACUUUGUUGCCGAAACAUCUGUCAAGCUUACACUGAAUCCACAAGGUGCGUCUUCUGCCACCCCAGGUAAAGCUAUUCCCUGUACUUGGAAGUUCUCUCAUAUCACAAUCUUUCAACAUGUUGGAAAAAGUAAGGAAAGAAGAAUCACUCCUUCUUGGACCACCAUUUUUUUCCUCAUUGUUGAGAAUUUCAUUAAAGUCUCCAAGCAUACACCAUCCAGUUUUUCUUUGAAUCCCAAUACGAGUCAGCCUUUCCCACACUAGGUGUCUCAAACUCGCAUUUGGGUUUCCAUACACACACGUAACAAAGAAACUGCUUGAACCAAACUGUACAUACAUGUCCAGCACAUUCUUAUCUACAUACUUGAGAUCGAUAUCAACACCUUUUUUCCAGAAAAGAGCCAAACCCACCGGAUCAACCGUAUAUACAUGCUCAUAACCCAACCAAACUUGAAUAUCUACAAUGAUAUUUUUACAGUUUAUCGUUUCCAUAAGGAACAAGAUCUCAGGGAAGUGUUUUUUACGCAUCUCCAUGAGUCUGGGAAUCGUCAGAUCUUGAGGCCGCCCCAAUCCCUGGCAAUUCCAGCUUGAUAUGCUCAUAAAUCAGUGGACAGUUCCUCAUUUGGGACCAUCUCAUGUGUUUUUGACCUUGCGGCUUUGGAAACACUCUCCAGUUCACUAUCAGCUUUCCUUUUCUCCACUGAACCCUCUAAAGAACCCUUCUUUUUCUCCACAUCUUCGGCAAAAGAAUUCUCCAAUUUUCCUUUUAACUUCCUUCGAGAUUUUGGAGGCCUCUUUCUUGGUUUUGGUUUUUUCAUAGCAGUCCCGGAAGGACCAGCAACAGAGUGCCCGAUCCUAUAACCCGUUGAACUGUUGUGAAAAGGGACCGACUCAUCACCAAAAUCUGGGGAAGUAGAAUCGGUUUGAAGAGGAUUGGAGCCAUAAUUUCUCCUAGAGCUAGCAUCCGCUUGAAUUGCAGCAGACAUAAGCUUUUGACCUCGAGGCAUGAUCACUUCAGUUUUUGUAGUCGAGUCCUCAGAAUCAUAGCCAAAGACUGGACCUUUCCCUUUGUUGAGAUCACGAGUGAUAAUUGGAACAGGUUCUAGACGAAGCACCAUUUUCUGCGUGAUUAAAUUCUUUUCUGCCUCACAAACAGAAUUCUUCACACGAUCUUCUCUAACCUUACGAUCAUCACCAUUAGCAAUUAACAAAUAUUGUCUCAUGCCUUCUAGAACCUCAGCUGCAAUUCUUGGACGACCUGUUAAGGGAUUCAAGCCAACCUGGUUCUCACCAAGAACGCCAAAAAGAGGGUCAGAUUCCAACAGGACAGGCUUGGGGAUCUGUUUUUGGGGAGCAUGUCCAAGUCUUCUUUCAGCCGCCAAAGCUUGACGUUUCAUGAUCAAAAUAGGGCACACCUCACGCGCGUGAGUUAACCUUUGACAAGAAUAGCAUCUCUUCUGAAUUCUUUCAUAGAACUAGUGAACUGUGGUUGAGCCUCCCUUAGGCAGAUUGAUCACUUUCGACUGUCUAAGAGGUUUAGACACAUCAAAUUUAACUUUCACUCUCACAAACUCUUUGUUCUGCGCUUUAGUAGGAUCAAAUGCAAUUUCAGUAACAAGACCAACAAGAUCUCCUAAAGCAGUAAUCGCCUCCUCAGUGUAAUGAUUAAUAGGAAUGUUUCUGAUUUGCACCCAGAUCGGAACAAACUGCAGAGAUUCACUUGAAGGCUGCUCUUCCCAACGCUCUGUAGCAAGAGCCCAUUCAUUGAAAGUAUGGACACCUUUGUCCAAGAUUUCAUUUAGGUCAUGUUCAUACUUGAAGAAAAACUGGAAACGCUCUCUUGAUAGAGCCACACCUCUGACUCUAUCAUACUUUUGCCAUUUUCUAGGCAAAUCCAAAAUCAGGUUAGCCAUCUUUUGACAUUCUGGAUUAAGAAGACGACCUAUCAGGCUGAACUCAUUUUUAUCACUUGAACAGUAAGCUGGGGUAUCAGGAAGAUCGAAUGGAACUUCUUCUUCCUCUAGAGACAUGGCCAUCAGCGCCUUAUCCAUAGCAGAAGACAUGGUAACCGAAAAUAACUCUGAACCACAACCACAGGUAGAAAAUCUGAACGGCCCAAAGAAGAUAGACCACCCAAAGCAAGGAAACCACGAGAUGAAAACUUAAGCAGGAGAUGAGACGAAAUUUUUCUAGACCCAGCAAAUGAAGAACACGGAUGAACCCUAUAUUUCUUUAUAGAUCUGAAAAAAAGUGUUUGAAAAGGUGAAAAGCGGGAUGAAUAGUCAAAAGGGAAAGAAGUUUUUCCACACAAAAGCUCUAUUCUCGAAGAGAUGAGAUACUCUUACACAGAAAGAGAGUCCUAAGCCCAAAAAAGGGAAACAGAUAUUUUUUCUACUAUCUUCAUCUUCUAUCUGCACCACUUGAGAGCACUGAACUUUCUAUAAUAAGAUUCUAUUUUAAAAAAACUAUUAAAUGUGUAGAAGAAAACACCACCAAAUGAGAAGUUUUGACGAUGGGACUUGGGAGGUAAGAAAAGCAUAUAAGAGUCUCCAAGUGUCUGGUUAUACUUUUUUUUGCGAUCCAGUUUAUUCUUUUGUCCAACCUCAAGGGUAGAUGUUAAUUUGAUUUAAUUUUGUAUUGGGUCAGUUCAAUUAAUUUGUAUUUAAUAAAAUUCUAACUGAAUUUAAAUGAAGUUAAUUCGUGGUUUUUCUUCAGUUUGAUCUAUUUUUGGUUAAAAAUAAUAAAAAAGUCAAUAUGAAAAUAAGUCAUAACAAAAUAAAAGAGAAAAAAGAAAAAUUUUUUGGCACUUAUUUUAAAUUAUUGCGAUUUAAUAGAUACGACACAUUUAGUUAAGACAUAUAUGUCUAGGACACAAAAGAAAUAUUGAAAUGUUGUAGUGACUUCAUAACACUACUACAAAUAGAUAAAAUACUGGGAUGGUGUAUUGACUUGGCAAUACUGUUACAAAUCUCAGAUAUAUUCUAAAAGAUAUAGUGGAAUGGUGUGGUGACUUCAUAACACUACUACAGAUAAAUAAAAUACUGGGAUGGUGUACUGACUUGAAAACACUGUUACAAAUCUUAGAUAAAUUCUAAAAGAUAUAGUGGGAUGAUAUAUCAAUUUGUGACACUACUGUGUACAUCCUACCCAAGAUCCAGAAAUUCAUUGGGUUGACUCGGUUUAUUCCAGGUUGAUCUAGUUUGCCUCCUUUUCCUAUUUCAGCGUUUUAAACCUAAUUUUUUAAGUUAAGUUUAGUACUAACUUUGUCUCUCUUUCUUUUUUAAGGUUUUACUUAAAAGUUUGAUGCUAUCAUAACUUAAACACAGAGAGAUUAUAUACACACUUUAUUCUCAUAGUUUCACUUCUUUUUAUCAUUCCCCUUUAAUACAGUAAAGGCACUUAAAUCAAUAUAAAUUAAAGACACUAUUGUACUAUGUAAUCACUCAUUUUAUUUCACUCAUAAAAAGAAUUACAAAAUUAAUACAUCUUAGGAACUGAUGAUGAUCGACCUAUCAAAACCCAAUUGUAAAGAAAAUAUCUAUCUAGCAACUAAUGAGCAGACUAUUAAAUUCAUCAACUAAAUAAGAAAAGUAAAAUAACUAUUAAUCUUCUCUCUUCUAACAGCUUUCUCUGAUUAUGCAGUCUACGUCAGCAGUGAUCACUCCCUGGUAGCAGUUAAUUGGUCUUCAUCUUCCAGCUCAUGAUCUUCUUCUUAGGCACAUAGCUCUUGAGGUAUUAUAAAUACCCACAUCGAAAACAAGAAGCUUUUCUUCAAUCUUAAGUGUGAAAAUUGCUUGAUCAUAGGUGCAGCUCUCUCCCAUGUCCUCUCAUUAUCUAGAAGACCUGUCCAACUAAUUGAUGUUUCCAAAUGAUUAGCAAGAUCAGAGUGAGUAACUAAAACUGAUACCGGUUCAAUAAUGAGUUCAUCAUCAACUGAGAAGGACUGUGGAAGUGCAGAAACAUGAUGAUCUGUUCCUAAGACUUUUUCACUAUCAAGUAGACCGCCGAUGCAAAAGUUAAAUACCAUGAUAUAACCUUUAAAAAUUUUAGUACCACAAUAAUCACUUUUUGUUGAAACCUUACAAUGCAAAAUCAUAAAGUGACAAAUAGGUACUUGAACCUUUUUUUUUUCAUCCAAUACCAAACUUGUUUUUUCAUCAUGAUUCACCUUCUCUAACAUGUACAAAUAAGAAUACAACACCUUAAAACUUUAUUUUUUAGUACAACGCACUUCAUUAACAUCUUUUUUUCCUCUCAAUGUGGUAGAUUAAGAAUGCUGAUCUAGUAACUAAAUAAGAAUGCCCUGUCAACUAAAUCUUGCCAUGCCUGCUUAGUUCGAAAUUUUUGACAUAAUUCUCAUGCAUCACGUGGAAGUUCAACAUAUCCAGGCAUACACAAGAUAACCAGACUGUUAUCUACACCAUUAUCCACACUAUUAUCCACAUUGUCACGUGAUAUAUUUGUAACACAUCUAUCAACAACAUUCUUGAUCAAUUCAUGAUGUUGUUCUGUUGUUUUGUCAUCUUCUUAAAGAGUAACAAAACCAUCAUUAACUCUAGAAUUAUUUCUUCCACCUGAAAACAGAUCGCCAAAAUUCACACCAAAUAAAAUUUCUCAUUCUACUCUUAGAAGUUGCUUGCCCAACUUAAUGUUUUCCAAAUCUUUGGUGACCUCUACAUGCAAAACACUUCUACAUAGUUCCUUAUUCAUGGAGAUAAACAUAAACGUCCUCAUUAUUGAAAAUAUAUUAUUGUCUGUGAGGUUUCACUACCAAUGGAAUUAAAGUCACUUUCAGCUUUGUCUAAGAUAUAUAUAUGAUGUCGUAAAUGAUAUACUAUACAUGUGAUCUUCUAUUGAAAUCCAUCAAUUCUAUGAUCUUUGAAUAAUAUCCUUCAUAAUCAAAUAUAUGUUUGUGAAACUAUAGCUUAUUGUCUUAGGAAGAAUAGAAACUACUUUAGCACGUGUUAUCUUGAAUCAAUAAUAUUAUUUGUACCAAUUAUAACACUUCUCUAAGUAAUAUCAACUGUUACAGUUGUUUUUCUGCAAAUUAGGUGACUUCGGGCCACUGAUAUGUUCAUAAUUUGCAUCAUUUAGGUUGCACAAAUCAUUCCAAAUCAUGUUUUAUUUCAUGUAUUUUAGGUCCCUAGGGUUUGUUUUAGAACUUAGGAGAUGCAUUAGGUCCCAAUGAGUCUUUGCAUGUUUUGAGUGUCUAUCAGGUGAUUAUGGAGCUGAAAAGAUGAAUCCAGGAGGUGGAAUGGUGAGCAGAGCUUGAAAAAGUGGAAAACUUGAGUCUAUGGAGGUUAUCGGCCAUUCUCGCUGGCCAGGAAGGUUUUACCGGCCAUUUUCAUGUACUGCGGGAAGCUUUACCGGCCAUUUUCACGUACCGCGAAUUAAGUAUAUCGGCCAAAAUCUCCGGGUGCGAACGAGUCUCAGAAAUCACCUGUCCGGGGAGCCUUCCGGUCCGAUUCAGAUGGCGGGUCCUUCAUAGAAGUUGGAGAGCAUUGAAGCACGGUCUCAUAGCAAUUGGAAUCGUAGAAUUCGGACGCGUGAGCAGAGAGAUAAGCUCGUCGGAAGAAACCCCUGUCUCGCAGGUAUUCCGGACCGAGCAGAUCAGUUCUGAAGGAUGCGAAGGACGGUGCACUUCCAGGCCGAUUCAGCUUCCGGGUCCUUCAUGAGAAUCAGAGACAUUUGAGUUUUCUUUCCAGAACGUCCAAGAGCAUUCAAUUCGGAUCUAUGAGAAGGAAGAUACGGCCUCCGGAAUGGACACAUGUCUAGACGCCUCUCUCUGGUCGUAUACAUGCACUGCAAAGAUGUGCCCUCCAGGAAGCCUUCCACCUCCCAAGCACUGAAACUUCCUUCACAAAAGUUGGAGAUAAAUGAGUCCUCUGUCUUCUGCAACCGAAAUCAUUCAAUUCGGACAAGUAUCACAGGAGUUACACUCUCCGGAAUGCGAAGUGAUCUAAGCUGCUCUGGAUGCUGCGAGAUGGUCUUGCGACUUGGUUAACCCGCAGGCCUGAAGAUGAACACCUGAAUGCUGAUGCUGCGAGUUGAAAUGUGCGGGUAAACUAUCACUGGAAGAGGUCUGGAGCUCCCGAGCAAGAGAAAUGCUAAGUCCACAAUCGUGCGACUUAGGCAUGCGAGUCAUCCGCGCCUGGAUCUAUGCCGCACGAUCACUCGGAAUUCACUCCGACUCGAGCCUGCGACCUAAGUGCAAUAGAGACCAACCCGCACAGUUUCUACAUCCCCCAGAAACCGGCUCAGCCCUGCGAGUUGGAGAGGAAGGAGACCAUGCCGCAGAAACACUCGCAAUUUACUCCUAGAUAGGCGUGCGGCUCCGACAAGGUGAUUCAAGCCUCACAAGACAAGUCUUCAUCUACUGCGACUUAGGUGUGCGGCCUGGGACAUACUGAACCGACCCGCAGCUUUUCCCACUUUAUCCAUUAAAGCCGGGUCAGGACCCGGUUUGUUCCGGGCUGACCCGGUUCGUUUUUAAGAAGGUAUAAAUACUUUUUAGGGUUUUUUGGGGGAGAACUAAGUUUUAUUCCCUUUGUCUCUUGCCUUUUUGGUGAAAAGACUCCAUUAAGAAGAGAAAUAUCUUUAUUUGAGUGUUUAAUCAAGAGAGUUUAAGGAGAUCUGGGUGUUUAAAGCUGUUUUCUUUUGAAUCUAUCAUCUCCAUCUCCAUUUCUCAUCAUUAAUCAUGCUAAUCUACUCAACUUGCAAAAGUUUAAGAGAGAUUAGUAUGAUUAGUGAGUAGUCACCUUAAUGAGGUUCUAGAUGUGUAGGUUAGGGUGCUAAAGUGUUAGAUUAGGAGUGCUUAGGGCUAGAUUCAUUGAUUCAUCUCUCUAAACAGCUGUUCUCUAUGCUAAAUCCUUGAUAAUCACUUGAGAUCUAGAUUCUGGGAAUUUCAUGCACCAAAAGUGUUUGAUGAAAUUCCUGAAAGAGUUGUGUUAGAGGUUUAAGUAAUUUUUCAUCAUGGGAAUGAUUUGUUAAAUGCUUGAAUGAUCAUUAAGAGCUGUUUGUUAAUGCAUAUUGAUUCAUGUUUCACAAAUGGGAAUUUGGUUUGAAAAUGGAUUAGUAUAGGGGUUAAUACCUUCAUGAGAGGAUUAACCUAGAUUAGAGUUCUUAAUCAUUUGAAUCAUGUCUCAUCAUUGUCAUUAGCAUUUCUAGUUUAACACCAAGGCACCCUAACCAACUAUCAUGUCUAGAAUCUCAUGCCUCCAUCAUAUCAUAUUCACAUCAUUUGUCAUUGUCAUUUGUCUUUAAACCUGUUUAUGUUUAUAGUUGUCUCUAGAUUAAUCAAAACCUAUUCUUGUUUGCUUGAAUUAAGAACUUGAUCAUAUAGCUUAGUGUCUAACACCACAUCUGGAUUGAUAAACCUCUUUGUACUACAUUGACAAGGGGAUUGAUAGCCCUGAGACCCUUAAAAGUCAUAUCUAUCAAUUGGCGCCGUUGCCAAAUUGUGGUUUGAUUAGCAUUAAGCUCUGAUCUGUUCUUGAGAUCAAGUGCUUACUUUCUUGUUUUUACUGAUUCCUUUCAAGUUCUGUUUGUGAUUUCAGGUGUAUGAACACCAGGUCCAGAUCAAGAAGCUGCGGUCCUCCUUUUCCUCUAAACGACAACAUCAACCUUCUGGUACCAAGGAGGAGAAGAGACAGACGUGGUAGACAACUUGAUCAGACUGAGAUGGCCGACCAAGGAGAUCACGGGGUAGAUAUAGAACAACCAGUUCAGGAGCAACAGGCUCAAGGUCAGGGAGCUGGUAUUGGAAUUGGUCAGGGGUUUCACCAAGGCAAUGUUCAGCAGGAACAGGUGCACCACCAACAAGCCUAUGUCCACCAGGGACAAGCUCAGGCUCAUCAACAGAGGCAUCAGGCCAAUGUUCAACAAAGACACCAGGUGCACCACCAACCCCACCCUUUCCAACCACAACAAAGAAGAUAUGAGCAACCCCAAAUAUAUGUUGGCGAGAAUGACAGGGCCAAUGCUCAUCAGUAUGGGGCUGGUAUUCAGGCACCACCUGUGCAGAACAACAACUUUGAAGUGAAAGCAUCAUUGCUGAAUAUGGUCCAGAACUCAAAGUUCCAUGGGUUAGCAAUGGAAGAUCCCUUGGAACACUUGGACCAGUUUGAUAAGGUGUGUGAUCUGACCAAGAUUAAUGGAGUUUCAGAAGACAGCUUUAAGCUAAGACUAUUCCCAUUCAGUCUUGGUGACAAAGCUCAUCAAUGGGAGAAGAAUCUUCCAAGAGGCUCCAUUCAAACCUGGGAGCAAUGCAAGCAAGCCUUCUUAUCUAAGUUCUUCUCCACCUCAAGAACUGCAAAACUGAGAAACCAAAUCUCUAGCUUCACUCAGCACAGCAAUGAAAGUUUUGGUGAAGCAUAUGAGAGAUUCAGGAGCUACACAAACCAAUGCCCACACCAUGGGUUUAGUGAGGCUUCUCUUCUCAGCACACUGUAUAGGGGAGCUCUUCCCAAGAUUAGAAACCAGCUGGAUACUGCUUCCAAUGGGAACUUUCUGGGUAAAGAGAUUCAUGCUGCUUUAGAGCUAGUGGAGAACUUAGCAUUGAGCAAUGAUACUUAUGGUGAAGACUAUGACAGAUCAAAUAGGUAUGAAGGUUCAAGCUCAGAACAGAGGCUCACCAGAGAAGUUAAGGAGUUGAGGAGUGAAUUGGACAAGCUGAAAUUCACCACUCAGAAGCCAAUGCAUUUUGUUGGAGAGUAUGAGGAACCUUCUCAAAUUUUUGAGAACAUAAGUGAAGAAGGUCUUACCCAAGAGGAGCUCAACUACAUUGGGAAUCAGAGGUUCCAAAGAUAUCAGUAUGGUAAUGCCAAUCCAAACCUCUCUUACAGGAACACCAAUGUAGCUAACCCACAAGACCAGGUCUAUCCCAAUUCUCAAGCUCCAAAGAACUUUGUUCCCAAGCACAACUUUCAAGGGUCAUUCCAACCCAAGAAUCAAUUUGGUCAGAAUCAGAGUUUUGGUCAGCAACAGCAACCAUUUCAGGGCACUGGUUACACUUCACAGCAGCCAAAGGCACCACCAGGGUUUGGUCCACCACAGUUCCAACAGCAGGCGCCGGUUCAACAACAGUUUCAGCCACCAAUGGUUCAACAGCAGCCACAGAUGGGUACAGAUAUGGUUGGUAUUCUGCAACAACUACUUCAGGGUCAACAGACUAUGCAGCAGGAAAUCAAGGAACUGAAGCAAAACCAGGCAUCAAGCUCAAGGAACCAAGGUCACCUACCUGGAAAACCAGAACCCAACCCCAAGGAAUAUGCCAAGGCCAUAACACUGAGGAGUGGCAAGGAGUUACCUGGUAUUGAGAACAACAAUGUGAUCAUUGAGGACAAUGAUCAACCUGAGGGGGAGGCAGCCUUAAAGGAUGAUCAAGUUGCUGAGAAACCAAGGUCAGAAAAGGGUAAAGAGGUAGCAAAGGAACCAGAACCAGAGAAGAAGUAUGUGCCACCACCUCCAUACCAACCCAAGCUCCCAUUUCCAGGGAGAUUUAAGAAGCAACUAGUGGACAAGGCAAGAGCUGUAUUUGAGAAGGCACUCAAAGAGACACCACUCACAAUGCCUCUCAUUGAUGCAUUCUUAAUGAUGCCAAAGAUGGGGAAGUUUUUGAAGGAUGCUAUUCUGAACAAGACAAAAGAGCUUCAAGGCAUGGUAGUACUAAGUCAUGAAUGCAGUGCUAUCAUUCAAAGGAAGUCCAUUCCAAGGAAGUUAACUGAUCCAGGGAGCUUCACACUCCCCUGUGCCAUUGGACCUCUUCUAUUCUCUGGAUGUCUUUGUGAUUUAGGAGCAUCAGUCAGCUUGAUGCCAUUCUCCAUAGCACAGAAGCUGGGCUUUAGAGUUUUCAAACCUUCAAAGAUUUCUCUUAUCCUUGCAGAUAGAUCAGUUAGAUUGCCUGUUGGUAUGUUGGAAGAUCUACCUGUCAAGAUAGGUGGUUUUGAGGUUCCAACAGAUUUUGUUGUGCUGGAGAUGGAUGAAGAGCCAGUAGAUCCUCUUAUCUUGGGCAGACCAUUCUUAGCCACUGCAGGAGCUAUUAUUGAUGUGAGAGGUGGGAUAAUAGAGCUUCAACUUGGGUCUGAAAAGCUCAAGUUUGAUGUGAAUGAGAUGAUGAAGAAGCCCACCAUUGAAGGUCAAUGUUUCUAUGUAGAGACAAUGGAUCAGUUGGCUGAUGAGUUGCUUGAGGAGCUGAACACAGAGGAUCCUCUUCAAGCUACUCUGACUCAAGAACAAGGAGACAAUGGGCUCUUGGCUGAAGCAAGUGAAGGGUAUAAGCUGUAUCUGGACAAUGCAAGAGAGCUGGGUCCUGAAACAAGGUUUGUGGAGCUGGAACAGAAUGGCACUGAGGUUUUUGCAAUCCAAGAAUCAGUCACCAGCCAAAGCAGCUUGGACCAGGACUGGAAUGAGGCUGAUGCACCCUCUGUUGAGCUCAAACCUCUACCAACAGGGCUCAGGUAUGCUUUCUUAGGACUAAACUCCACAUAUCCUGUCAUCAUCAAUGAUAGCCUAUUAGAGGACCAAGAGAGUGCAUUGCUGAAUGAAAUAAGAAAGUUCAGGAGAGCCAUAGGGUAUUCUUUGGCUGAUAUUAGAGGGAUCUCUCCUGACAUCUGCACCCAUAGGAUCCACCUAGAGGACCAAUCUAUGUCCUCUAUUGAGCACCAACGUAGACUUAACCCCAACCUUAGGGAAGUGGUUAAGAAGGAGAUACUAAAGCUUCUUGAGGCAGGGAUAAUUUACCCAAUCUCUGACUCAAGAUGGGUAUCUCCUGUUCAUGUUGUGCCCAAGAAAGGUGGGAUCACGGUGGUGAAAAACGAUAAGGAUGAACUCAUAGCUCAAAGAACCAUAACUGGCCACCGCAUGUGCAUUGACUAUAGGAAAUUGAAUUCUGCUUCUAGAAAAGAUCAUUUUCCUUUACCAUUCAUUGAUCAAAUGCUUGAGAGGUUAGCUAAUCAUCCUUAUUUUUGUUUUCUCGAUGGGUACUCUGGAUUUUUCCAAAUUCCCAUAGAUCCAAGAGAUCAAGAGAAAACAACAUUCACAUGCCCUUAUGGCACUUAUGCUUAUAGGAGAAUGCCUUUCGGUUUAUGUAAUGCACCGGCUACUUUUCAAAGGUGUAUGAUGCACAUUUUCUCUGACAUUAUUGAAGAGAAAGUUGAGGUGUUCAUGGAUGACUUUAGUGUCUAUGGCUCCUCCUUCUCGGAUUGUCUCUCUAAUUUGACACAGGUGUUGGAGAGAUGUGAGCAACACAGCUUGGUGCUGAACUGGGAGAAGUGUCAUUUCAUGGUGCAAGAAGGGAUAGUUCUUGGGCACAAGAUCUCUGAAAAGGGCAUUGAGGUUGAUAAGGCAAAGGUGGAGGUUAUGGUGAAUCUGCAAACCCCCACUUCAGUUAAAGGGAUAAGGAGCUUCCUGGGUCAUGCAGGGUUUUAUAGAAGAUUCAUAAAGGACUUCUCAAGGAUUGCCAGGCCCUUAACAAGACUGUUGUGCAAGGAGGUGGAUUUCAUCUUUGAUGUUGAAUGUGAAGAAGCCUUUAAGUUGAUCAAGGAGGCAUUGGUUAGUGCACCAAUAGUUCAGGCACCAGACUGGUCCCUACCUUUUGAGGUCAUGACAGAUGCUUCUGACUUUGCUGUUGGAGCAGUACUUGGACAAAAGAAAGACAAGAAGUUGCAUGUGAUCUACUAUGCCAGUAGAACACUUGACUCUGCCCAAGAGAAGUAUGCUACAACUGAAAAGGAAAUGCUGGCAAUAGUUUUUGCCUUUGAUAAGUUCAGAAGCUACCUGGUGGGAUCAAAGGUCAUUGUGUAUACUGAUCAUGCAGCCCUCAGGUACUUGAUGACCAAGAAAGAUGCCAAACCAAGGCUGUUGAGAUGGGUUCUAUUGCUCCAAGAGUUUGAUAUGGAGGUGCUUGAUAAAAAGGGGAUUGAGAAUGGUGCUGCAGACCAUCUCUCAAGGCUGAGGAUUGAAGAAAAAGUCCCCAUAGAUGAUGCUUUGCCUGAAGAGUCUCUGAUGGUGCUCCAUUCAUACUUGGAGUUUGAGGAAGUAGAGAGCAUUCAAGAAAGGAGGAUGCCUUGGUUUGCAGAUAUAGUGAACUAUCUUGCAUGUGGGGUGGAGCCCCCUGAAUUGGAUGCUUACAAGAGAAAAAAAUUCUUCAGAGAUGUCCAGAGAUACUAUUGGGAUGAGCCCUACCUCUAUGUUCUGAACAAGGAUCAGUUAUACAGAAGAUGUCUUGCUGAAGAGGAGAUGCAACCUGUGUUGCAGGAAUGUCAUGGUUCUGCUUUUGGAGGUCACAUGGGGGCAUUCAAAACUGUAGCAAAGGUUCUUCAAAGUGGGUUCUGGUGGCCUACAAUGUUCAAAGAUGCCCAAUUGGUGGUUUCAGCUUGUGAUGCCUGUCAGAGGCAUGGAAAUAUAUCUAAAAGAAGUGAGAUGCCUCAGAACCCCAUUCUAGAAGUGGAGAUCUUUGAUUGUUGGGGGAUUGACUUUAUGGGACCUUUUAUUUCAUCCUUUGGAAAUCAAUACAUACUUGUUGCUGUGGACUAUGUGUCCAAAUGGGUUGAGGCCAUUGCUUCCCCUACCAAUGACUCCAAGGUUGUAGUCAAGCUGUUUAAGAGCAUCAUAUUUCCAAGGUUUGGAGUUCCAAGGGUUGUCAUUUCUGAUGGAGGAUCCCACUUUUUGAACAAGACUCUGGAAGGUUUAUUGAGAAAGCAUGGAGUUAAACACAAGAUAGCUACUCCAUAUCAUCCCCAAACUAGUGGCCAAGUGGAGGUAUCUAAUAGACAAAUCAAGGCCAUUCUGGAAAGGACUGUCAGCUCAACCAGAAAAGAUUGGAGCAAAAGGCUGGAUGAUGCAUUAUGGGCUUACAGGACUGCCUUUAAAACUCCAAUUGGAACAUCACCAUUCAGUCUGCUAUAUGGGAAGAGCUGCCACCUUCCUGUGGAGUUGGAGUACAAAGCUAUGUGGGCUGUGAAGUUUCUAAACUUUGAUAUCAAAACAGCUCAGGAGAAAAGAAUCAUGCAACUCCAUGAGCUUGAGGAGAUUAGGCUUGAGGCUUUUGAAAGCUCAAAGAUCUAUAAGGAGAAGACCAAAGUCCUGCAUGACCAAAAGAUUUUAAAGAGAGAGUUCAAGUGUGGUGAUUUGGUCUUGCUUUUCAACUCCAGACUUAAGUUGUUUCCAGGAAAGCUUAAGUCUAGGUGGUCUGGACCUUUCAAAGUUCUUGAAGUGAGGCCUUAUGGUGCCAUUGUCUUGGAAGGAAAAAAUGGUCAGGAAUUUGUGGUGAAUGGACAGAGAGUCAAGCAUUACUUAGUUUCACAAGGGAAAGAGGAAGCUACAUCAGUUCCUCUCUGAUCACCAGCUGUUAACCAGUUCUCAAAGUCAAACUUAGAGACUUUAAACAAAGUGCUCUUGGGGAGACACCCCAAGCUUAUCUUUNNNNNNNNNNNNNNNNNNNNNNNNNNNNNNNNNNNNNNNNNNNNNNNNNNNNNNNNNNNNNNNNNNNNNNNNNNNNNNNNNNNNNNNNNNNNNNNNNNNNCGAGUUUGCAACUAUCUCUCACUUUUCUCUCCAUGUUUUCACCAUAUCUCUCUCAUUCUCCACCAAAAUUGUUGAUUCAAAGUGCUCUGAGCUCGUUUUGAGUUGCUAACAUCAUCCUGAUUGCAUUUCGAACUUGUUGCAUCUUAAUCCCAAGGUAUUUCGCCCUGUUGAAACUCAUCUCUUUCCAUGUUCUUCAAUGGUGAUUUUUUUUUUUUUUUUGAACUUUAAAGUGUGGAAUCGAUUUUGAUAGGUUGUUUUAGACCUUGGGAUUAUUUUUAUAAAUGCUAGGGUGCUAGAUAGUCUUGGAAAACAGAGCACUUUGUUUGUAAUUACCUGUUCUUGAAUUUUGAAAAUUGUUGCAACAAUUUUUUUCAAAAUUUUGAGACUUUUGUGAGGUUCAUCCUUGUACUAACAAUAUUUUUGAGAAUCUCUUGGCAGAUGACUGAAAGAACCAACUCUUUGGCCAAGAAGAAGGGCCCUGCAUCAAAAGGCAAAGGUUUGGUCUCAGGAACUUCAAAGCCAAGAAACAAAGGUCAGGGUGCAAAGAAUACUACAAAGCAAGGAAAGUGUGAUCCAGCGCCAAAAAGGACAAGGCCUGAAGGAAGAGCUUUGGUGGUUGCUUCUGGUUCCAAGAAAAAGGGGAAACAGUUGGCUGUGGUAUCUGAGAGUGAACAGACUGAAAGUGACUCCGGCAGCUCAGCUGGUGGUUCCCAAGGCACCAAUGAAGAGGGAUCAAAGAAGUUCAAGAAAACUGAACCAGAAACACCUGAUUAUCUGGCUAAGUUUCAGCAGAUAGAGAUCCAGCAAGGGAGAUUCCCUGAUUUGGACUUUCUGAAGAAGAUUGGCCUCUAUGAAGAUGUCAAGACUUUGCUUGGGAACAUGGGUGUUGAGUCACUUUUGGAGAUGAGAGAAAUCGCUUAUGAGCAAGAGUCCCAAGAGUUCUUGGCCUCCUUUGAAGCUUUCAUUUACUACCCAAGGGAUUCAAGAAUCAUUCAAGGAGAUGGGCUUGGACAUGUGGAGUUUACUGUGAAAGGGAAGGAAUAUUCAGUGUCAUUCAGAGAAUUGAGUAAGAUCUUUGAGUUUUCAACACCUAGAAAUGAAUUUCUCUCCAACUCGGUCAAUCUCAGAAAAGAUGAGAUCCAACUUCUAUGGAGAUCAAUUGCUUCUGGGAAGUACACAGCUGGAACAGCUAAGGCCUCUUGGAUAAGGAAUCCAGUUCUGAGAUAUGUACACAAGGUUCUCUCUCACAGCUUCUACUUCAAGAUUGAUGUUGGAAGAGUUCACAAAGGAGAUCUGCUGCUUCUGGGUGUAGGGCUGAGGCCGCUGAUGCCAACACAUGAAGAUGGGGAACCCUAUGUAGGGUAUGAAUACCCACUUUGCCUUGCAUCUCAAUUAGCAAGGUCUUUGAUGUUCUACAAAAAGUGCAUGUGGGAUUCUACAAACAAAGAUGCAAAGCUGACCCAUGGAUGGGUGGUAACAAAGAUCUUGAAAGCCAUGGGGUAUAGAUUCAAGGAGAACAAGGCAAAGUUUGAUCUGAUUAAUGAAGCACAUUUGUGUAGGAUUGGCUUUCUCCAAGGAAGAGUGGGUACCAAGGCAGUCUACAACUUCAAGACACUCAUCAGUGAGCCAGCCCAAGUUCUCCUACCCAAUCCCUCCAUCACCACAGUCCAAGUUAAAAGGAACAUUCACUUCUUCUUGCUGAAGGAAGAGCUGUACAAUGUCCAAACUGAUCCACCAAUCCUCACAUACAGGCAAGCUUGCAGAGAAGAAGCCUCCAAGGGAAAGAAAGCAACCGCUGAAGAUGCUACCACAAGUGCAGCUGGUGCUCACGAUGCUGAUCUGCCUCCACCUCAAAAACGUUUUGGUGGAAACAGAUAUCACUUUGAUGAUUACAACUGGGAGGAACCAGGCACUUCAGGGUUCAGAGCUCAACAGAAGAUUGGUAUUCUCCAACAAUGGUGCAAGUACCAAGACAAAACCAUCCACAAGAUGGCCAAGUGCAUCAAGGAGAUGAAGAAGAGGAUCAAGAAGCUUGAAAACCCUUGCAAAGGUGGGGCUCCAGCACCAGUUUCACCAAGAAACAGAGAGGAAGUUGGGGAGAGUUCCAUGAACUGCACAGCCUUGGUCGCAUAUGGAACCACUUGGGUAGAUCUUGACGACGGGAGUGAUGAAGCCAGCCACCAUUCUUGGGAAACACCGUCAGGCCACACAUCGAACCCCUCCUACUCAUUGGGGUCUGAUUUCAACAGCCACUAGGUAACACUCAAAACCUUGUAAAUAGCAUGUAGACUUUUUUUUUUCCUUUUGCAUUUUGCUUGUUUGCUUUGGUUUCACUUCUUUCUCAUACUUUUAUAACACAAGGGACUGUGUUAUUUAAGUGUGGGGGAGGAGUUUCAUCCUUUACUAACCAUGUUUUCUAUUUUCUCAUUUUACACUUUGAGUCUUGAGUCACAUUCUAGUUGCAUAGUCAUCUAAGUGCAUAUAAAAACCAAAAAAAAAAAAAUGGAAAAAUCUGAAAAAUUUUCACAAAAAAAUGAUCAUGUAGUUGCAUUCUCAUUUUUAAGAUUGAGUCUAGAUUGCAUUUGCAUAUAGGUUGCAUCUUGCAAGGAGUAAUGAUAGGUUUUCUAGAGAGUACAUCACUUUGAGAACUUGAAUUGAAUAUGCUUGUGAAUCUUUUUCUAUGCUUGCAAAGUCUGAAAUGAUUUGAAUCUGAGAAGCAAGUUUGAAUUGAACUCAACUCUAAUUAAGUGGAAACCUUGAACUUGACCUGAAAAUAUCUUGUGAUGCAUUGUUUGAAAAAGCUUGUGGAUACCAAUAUACAUACUUGAGCUAGAACCACUGUUUUUACCACUCUUUUCCUUAGCUCAAGUAGCUGAAUCCACAUCAUGGAUCAGUUCCCACACCUUGAACCCAUCCUUCUUUUAAGCCAAUGUUUGUGUGUGAAUUGAAAGGCCACCUUGGAUCAAACUUAGCAGAAAGUGUUAGGUUUAGAGCGACAAGGGCAGGUCUCAUUGAGUGCUGUGUUCCAACAUCAAGGAACUGAGAGUUUUGGCGAGGAAUAAGUGUGGGGGAAAAGACUUUUUGGUGAGUGGAAAAAGGUGAGAUGAGUGGAAAGAGAGAGUGAAAAUAACUAGGGGAAUGAAAGAAAAAGAAGUCAGUCUUGGUGUUUUGAGAAAGUGAGCUCUGGUUUGUUGAAAAGAAAAAUCUAGCCUCUAAGUGAAAAAGAAAGAAAAGAAGCCAAAAGCUCAAAUGUUUUGAUAAGAAAGAAAGAAGAGGCUAGAAGUUGUAAAAGAAAAAGAGCUGUGUAAAGUUUGAGUUCCAAGACUUGAGAGUGAAAGUGAAGAACAAAUCCCCUAGUGAGAGAAAAAUGAGUGUGAAAAGUGAGGUCUUUGAGCAAGAGAGGAAGCUUUGAGUAGAGGGUGGGGAGUGAUGAGUCUUUGCCCUUGUAUGCAUAGGUUGCUUUUUACCUUUAGCAUUCUGCCAAAGUUUGAUCAUUCAUAGAGAGAUCCCUUUGCUGCAUUUAACCCACUUGAACACUGAUGAGAUCAUUUUAAUCUCAUAGCCUCUCCCUAGCCAAGCCAGCUUGUUUAAACCUUGCAUCAUGAGAUCCACCUGAUAAAAGCUUAAUGAAUGUGAAAGAGUUGAGAGAGAGAAGAACUUGUGGAGAUUCCUUGCUGAGUUGACAUAUAUCUGAGUAUGGCUUUGCAUUGCAUAAUUGAGCAUGAACUUGAAUUCUCAUUGUGAUCACUUCUCUCAAAAAGAAAAUGUGAACUCCCAUUGCAUACAACCUCUUUCUCUCAUUUGCUCUUUUUGCUUGAGGACAAGCAAAGGACAAGUGUGGGGGAGUUGAUAUGUUCAUAAUUUGCAUCAUUUAGGUUGCAUAAAUCAUUCCAAAUCAUGUUUUAUUUCAUGUAUUUUAGGUCCCUAGGGUUUGUUUUAGAACUUAGGAGAUGCAUUAGGUCCCAAUGAGUCUUUGCAUGUUUUGAGUGUCUAUCAGGUGAUUAUGGAGCUGAAAAGAUGAAUCCAGGAGGUGGAAUGGUGAGCAGAGCUUGAAAAAGUGGAAAACUUGAGUCUAUGGAGGUUAUCGGCCAUUCUCGCUGGCCAGGAAGGUUUUACCGGCCAUUUUCAUGUACUGCGGGAAGCUUUACCGGCCAUUUUCACGUACCGCGAAUUAAGUAUAUCGGCCAAAAUCUCCGGGUGCGAACGAGUCUCAGAAAUCACCUGUCCGGGGAGCCUUCCGGUCCGAUUCAGAUGGCGGGUCCUUCAUAGAAGUUGGAGAGCAUUGAAGCACGGUCUCAUAGCAAUUGGAAUCGUAGAAUUCGGACGCGUGAGCAGAGAGAUAAGCUCGUCGGAAGAAACCCCUGUCUCGCAGGUAUUCCGGACCGAGCAGAUCAGUUCUGAAGGAUGCGAAGGACGGUGCACUUCCAGGCCGAUUCAGCUUCCGGGUCCUUCAUGAGAAUCAGAGACAUUUGAGUUUUCUUUCCAGAACGUCCAAGAGCAUUCAAUUCGGAUCUAUGAGCAGGAAGAUACGGCCUCCGGAAUGGACACAUGUCUAGACGCCUCUCUCUGGUCGUAUACAUGCACUGCAAAGAUGUGCCCUCCAGGAAGCCUUCCACCUCCCAAGCACUGAAACUUCCUUCACAAAAGUUGGAGAUAAAUGAGUCCUCUGUCUUCUGCAACCGAAAUCAUUCAAUUCGGACAAGUAUCACAGGAGUUACACUCUCCGGAAUGCGAAGUGAUCUAAGCUGCUCUGGAUGCUGCGAGAUGGUCUUGCGACUUGGUUAACCCGCAGGCCUGAAGAUGAACACCUGAAUGCUGAUGCUGCGAGUUGAAAUGUGCGGGUAAACUAUCACUGGAAGAGGUCUGGAGCUCCCGAGCAAGAGAAAUGCUAAGUCCACAAUCGUGCGACUUAGGCAUGCGAGUCAUCCGCGCCUGGAUCUAUGCCGCACGAUCACUCGGAAUUCACUCCGACUUGAGCCUGCGACCUAAGUGCAAUAGAGACCAACCCGCACAGUUUCUACAUCCCCCAGAAACCGGCUCAGCCCUGCGAGUUGGAGAGGAAGGAGACCAUGCCGCAGAAACACUCGCAAUUUACUCCUAGAUAGGCGUGCGGCUCCGACAAGGUGAUUCAAGCCUCACAAGACAAGUCUUCAUCUACUGCGACUUAGGUGUGCGGCCUGGGACAUACUGAACCGACCCGCAGCUUUUCCCACUUUAUCCAUUAAAGCCGGGUCAGGACCCGGUUUGUUCCGGGCUGACCCGGUUCGUUUUUAAGAAGGUAUAAAUACUUUUUAGGGUUUUUUGGGGGAGAACUAAGUUUUAUUCCCUUUGUCUCUUGCCUUUUUGGUGAAAAGACUCCAUUAAGAAGAGAAAUAUCUUUAUUUGAGUGUUUAAUCAAGAGAGUUUAAGGAGAUCUGGGUGUUUAAAGCUGUUUUCUUUUGAAUCUAUCAUCUCCAUCUCCAUUUCUCAUCAUUAAUCAUGCUAAUCUACUCAACUUGCAAAAGUUUAAGAGAGAUUAGUAUGAUUAGUGAGUAGUCACCUUAAUGAGGUUCUAGAUGUGUAGGUUAGGGUGCUAAAGUGUUAGAUUAGGAGUGCUUAGGGCUAGAUUCAUUGAUUCAUCUCUCUAAACAGCUGUUCUCUAUGCUAAAUCCUUGAUAAUCACUUGAGAUCUAGAUUCUGGGAAUUUCAUGCACCAAAAGUGUUUGAUGAAAUUCCUGAAAGAGUUGUGUUAGAGGUUUAAGUAAUUUUUCAUCAUGGGAAUGAUUUGUUAAAUGCUUGAAUGAUCAUUAAGAGCUGUUUGUUAAUGCAUAUUGAUUCAUGUUUCACAAAUGGGAAUUUGGUUUGAAAAUGGAUUAGUAUAGGGGUUAAUACCUUCAUGAGAGGAUUAACCUAGAUUAGAGUUCUUAAUCAUUUGAAUCAUGUCUCAUCAUUGUCAUUAGCAUUUCUAGUUUAACACCAAGGCACCCUAACCAACUAUCAUGUCUAGAAUCUCAUGCCUCCAUCAUAUCAUAUUCACAUCAUUUGUCAUUGUCAUUUGUCUUUAAACCUGUUUAUGUUUAUAGUUGUCUCUAGAUUAAUCAAAACCUAUUCUUGUUUGCUUGAAUUAAGAACUUGAUCAUAUAGCUUAGUGUCUAACACCACAUCUGGAUUGAUAAACCUCUUUGUACUACAUUGACAAGGGGAUUGAUAGCCCUGAGACCCUUAAAAGUCUUAUCUAUCAUCCAUCUAACAUUUUACUUUCGUUUUAUGAAUAAGUUCUCUUUCCCUUAGCUGUUUUAGGAUUUGAUGUACUUAAUCGAUCAAGAAAACAUGGUCACCAUUCCAAUGUUCAUUAAUUACCAACAUCAAAAGAAUAAUAUUGCAAAUCUAAUUGAAAUCUUCAAAAUGUGAAUACAAAAUGGUUUCUACAUAAAAAUAUAAGGCCGGAAUAAUAUGAUAUACCUUUACAUAAUCAUUAAAUGGUUUUUUUAAAUUACGUGUUUUCUUUCGAGAUUAUUGCUCCCUUGCCAACAUCAAUGAUGACGUUUAUUCCACGUCAAAUAUGACAUGGCAAAGGCGCUAGCUCUGCACAAUUUCAUUGGAUGCUAAUGCUGAUGUGUAAUUUUUGUCCAAGUUUUUCUGAUUUAAAAAAACAAAAAAAAAGUGAAAAUCAUAAACGGAUAAACAUGCGGAUCUUUAUACCCGAUCUAGCCCAAUUAUCUGUAUUUUAAAAACAUCCUUUGGCCCAAUAAUUCAUACAUUCCCAUUUUUAAAAUUUUUGAAAUUAUGGUUUUUAAAAACUUUCCGCGUAAGAAAAUAGAAAUUUUUCCCAAAAUGGAAGAUUACAUUAACUAUUAGCAAGAUUUACCGGAGUUAAUGUAACAAUAUAUACAGAAAUUUUAAUAUUUCAAAAAGAAACACGAAUUUAUCUUACAUUUUAAUACUAUACGUCAAUUUUGGCAAUUAAAUCAAUUUGAAUAUAUUGAUUCUCAAAUAUUUCCGCAACAAUAUCUACUUCUACGCACAUUCCGAAUAUCCAUAUUCUUCAUUUCAUUCUUUUUUUUCAAAAUAAUUUAAAUCCCGCCUAACAUCAAUUUUAAAAAGUUCUCAUUGACUUCCUCUCCCUAUAUACCUAUCCUAAACCCUAAAACUCUACAAUUCUCAUUCACAAAAAUGGCUUUAGUCCGCAAACGUUCGGCUGCUCUAGUUCCAUUUGCCAAAUUAGGUCAAUCAAGUGAAAUUCAGAAAAUUAGAGCUAUUAUAUUUUUACUUUGGAAAGUCAAGAACAGGCAGUCUGGCUUUGUUAUAUAUAGAAAUGAUAUUGGUUGACAAAGAAGUUUGUAUGCGAUCUUAUGCAUUUUGUUUAUUGUUAUUUUAAUCAAUCUAUAGAUUAUAUAGUAAUACUAUUUGUGUGAUUCACAGGGCACUAGGAUUCACGCUACGUUGAUGAAGAAUUGAUCGCAAAAGAUAAAUGCAUCCUUAUAGAAGGAAAAUCACUUUCUAUUAAUUGCUUCAUCAUUAAAGAAUACUAUAGUGAUUUUAGGACUACUCCAUUACCAUACAAGAUUGCUUUGUGCAGAACAACCCGUGCUAAGGAGAUCAAUGAUUUUCCAUCAGACUUGCCAGAGAAAUAUUUUUCUGAUUUCAAGUCAAUCAAGGAAGACAAACUCGACAAAAACGUCCUAAUCGGUAUGUCAUCAUCGCGAUAUUGAAAAUUAUAUUCUAAUGUACAUAUUUAUCAUUGUAUACAAAUAUUUUGUCUUCAAGAUGUCAUUGGACAAAUUGUCACCAUUGGGAGUAUGGAAGUUAUAAAAACUAAAGUAAAAAGUGGGAUCAGCGAGAAAUUGAUGAUAACACUCCGGGACACCAAGUAAGUAGUUAUGAUAUCAUACCAAAAUAAACAUAACAAUAUUUUAACAAUGGAACGCUAAUAUGUUUAUUGCUGAAGUGAUGUCCAACUGAAAUGUACACUAUGGGGACAAUAUGCAAAAGCAACUGUUGAGUACACUGACAAGCAUAUGGCUGUUAUUGUUGUGUGUGUAAUGCGAUUUUUCUGUAUAAAAGAGUACAAAGGUUAGAUCACUAUAUCCCCUAUUCAUAUAUACACAGUUUUGUAGAGAUUGGUAUUGGAUUAGAUUGUUAAUUAUUCUUAUUUUAUGUUUUUCGAGUAUAGGUGACAAUUCAAUAUCAAACGCUUUCAACUCCACCAAAAUUUUGUUUGAUCCUGACGUCAAGAUCGUGAAAGACUUCAGAGAAAAGUAUGUUAUGUGACAAUUUUAAUAUCAUUUUAACAUUGUUUUAUUUAUAUAGUUAUUGUUUACAGUUUUGUAGGUUGCUAAAAAACAAUCAAAUGAUUGUGCAUGCUGAACAGAGUUAUUCGACUUCUUGGGGUGGUGCUAUUGACUACCGUGAAUAAUUUUUAGGUGUGAAAAAUAGGAGGCGGACGAUAGCUGGAAUUCGUGAUAAAAAAGUGGCAUGAGCUAUAUUUUAUUCAUGGUACAAAUAUAUUUAUAUUUCACUAUAUACAUAUUAAUGGUUUUGUUAUAACCUGGCAAGAUUUUAACAUGCGUAAUGGUCAAAGACGUUGACACUUCAAAGCUGUGGUAUUAUUGGGCAUGCAAACCUUGCAUCAUCAAAGUUUUAGAGCAUGACAUUAUGUCUGAUGAUGAAGAUUACGAUAAGAGGAUUCCUCUUUUCAGUUGCAAAAAUUGUGGAUAUAUCUAUUCAUAUGAUACCAUCGUCGCAAGGUAAUACAAUGAUUUGUCCCAUAAAGUCAAGAAAACAUUACUUAUUUCAUUAAGACUUUCUUUGGUAUGAUAUAUAGCAGAUAUAGCAGAAUUAUUUCAUGUAGACUUUCUCUGAUUGACUGGCUAAAUGUUCGCCUUAUUUUAUUACAUUGAUUUGUCCCAUCAUACAUUUAUUCCAACAUUACAUUACAUGUUUAUUCAUGUAACGUUUAAAUAACUCACUCUUCUGUUUCCUUUCAAACUAUGUAGGUACUAUAUUGUAUUAUUUGUAACUGAUGAUUCAGACGUCGAUGUCCGCUUCCUGAUGUUUGAUGACACUGCUCAAAGAUUGUUGGGUCAUUCAGCUGAGUCUAUAAUGGAACAAAAUGAUGAGGUUAUUCGUUAAAUAAUUGUAUACAUUAUGCAUUAUUUACAUUUUCUGAAAUAAUAUUAAUCCAUUAUAUAUAAUGAUGCGCAGGAUUUACCAAGAGGGCUCCCUGAUGGCUUGACAAAGCUCCUAACCAUGAGGAUGCUUUUCAAAAUAACAGUUUCAGAAGAGCAUACAAAAGGAAGCCAGUCUCCGUAUGUAGUAGAAUGGUCUCAAGAUGUCGAAAUUAUGACUGAGUGGGAUUCUCGAUCAGUGGUAAUAUAUAGGAUAAAUUUUACAAACUUCUCAAGCUCGCUUAUCUGAUCGUUUAGUUAAAUUAAGACGUCAACAAUGUUUUAUAUUUUCAGCAACCGUUGAUGCUUACGAGUUCUGACGAACUUGAGAAUCCAUCGUCUGGAUCUUUACUCAUUCCUUCAUCUAAGAAGCUAAUUAAGAGUCCUGACUAUUUUGAUGAAGGUGAAAGAUCUGUUAACAAAAAGCGACCGAAGCAAGAGAUCCCGAUGAAGUUAUGAAGAAGCAAAAAAUCGUAAUGAACUUAUUGCAGAAAUGCAUUGCUGGUGAUUGAUUAUUGAUUUUGAUCUUUAUAACAAAUUUGUCCAAUGGAUGGAUAACGUUUGAACUCUCUUCGUUAUUUUUUGCGGUAUUUGUGGAAUUUUUUUGGCAUUUUUUAUUUAAUUGUGAAACUUGAAUGUUGCCCUAGAAUUUUUUUUCAUAAUUCAUUUUUUGAAACUUUAAUUUGUGAUUUAAAUUUUUUUGGUUCAACCAACUGUCAUAAAUUUACACGAGAGUUUCAAUUAAGACGACAUUAAAACCAUAACCGUUUUACUCCAUCACAUAGAAAACUAUUCAUUUCGUUAUUCUCUUUCAUCUUCAAUCUUAGCAAAAUAUUAAAACAAAGAAUGUCUCCUAGUGAAAGAGUUUCCGAUCUUCAGAAGAAAAACGGCGGAUAUCGUAUUUGUGUACAUAUACUAAGAGAUUAUUAUGAUUAUACUCUCUUCGAUCGACCUAAUUGGAUGUUAGUUCUUGCGGAUGAAUUUGUAAGUUUUGGAGGUUUGAAAAGAUUUACCAUAUAUAUGUUUUAGGAAUGUAUUUGUUAAUUAUUUAUCUUUGUAAACCGUGUAGGGCAAUCGCAUCCUGUCUACUAUUCAAUAUGAUAUAAUAGACAAAUUUGAGUAUGAAUUGGUUGAAGGAGAUUGGGUGGUUCUUGGUAAUUUUGAAGUUGCUGACAGAGUGAUUUGUCCAAGUAUAUCAUCAAACAACUAUCAUAUACAUUUCCUCGAGGAUACCAUUGUUGAGAAAACUGAUCUGAAGUCUUCCAGAGGAAUAUACUCUUUUUGUGCAUUCAUGAAUAUUUUAUAUAGAUUUAUUCAUAUAGAUAGAUAUCUUGCUAUCUUUCUUACAACUUUUUAUUUUAAAUCGUUUAUCUAAGGAACUUCAACAUGUAUUUAAAGGCAGUCCUUUAUUUUUGCAGUUGUUCUUCUCGGUGUUGUCACAUUUGUUCAGAAACUUCAGUUAUGAUCAGACACACCCACGCAACGUCCACUUAUUCGUUUUAAAAUUCAAGAUUUCAGGUCUGUUAUCCUCAAAACAUCUGUUAUGUGUAUAUUGUUUACAAAUUUUAAAGUAUAUUAAUAAUGUUCUAAAUUAUUUAAAUAUACAGUGGAGAAUCUUUGAAAUGUAUUGCUUGGGAUAACUUGGCAAGGAAAUUUGAAGAACUUUGGAGGAAUCGUGAAAGGUCUUCUAGGCAUAUUAUUGUAUUGUGAUUUUUCUCUUUCACUAGACGGAGAAGUAACUAACUACUUCAUUAUUUGAUAUUUUUAAUUAAUUACAAGUUUUACAUAUAUAUUUUUCCGUAUAUUGAGUAUGUCUAUGUAUUUAGAUGAAUGGAUAGUUGAAUUGGAAAGAUUCAUAUCUGAUAUUCUCGAGGAUCCUCCUAUCCCAGAAGUGGAAAGAGCAGGGUUGAGGUAUGUUUAUUCCAUCUUUGAUAUUGUAUUCUAUAUUUUAAUAUUUAUAAAUAUAUAUAUAUAUAUAUAUAUAUAUGUAUAAUGAUAAAAAAAAUCCUAAUAUUAUUUCAGGCUUGCAACUUCAAUUGAUUUUUCUCCGGUCCACGAUGAAUAUGAAGACCAGUCUAAGUAAAAGAGAUUAUUGUUUCCUAUUUCUUAUUUUUAUAGUGUUAAACUUGAAAAUCUAUAUUAUUCUGAUUGAAAAAAACUUAUCCAAUGACAAUAUAUAUAUAUUUUUUAAAAAACAAUUUAAUUGUGUUAGCAUUUUUUCGUGAAGCGUAUUCUAUUUGAUUUCAACAAAAAAAUAAUUAUGAUAUUCAAAAUUAGGAUGCUCCGUGAUAUGUGUCUGUAUUAAAAAAAUAGAGUAGGUAAAUUCUGGUAUUGUACUCUCAUUAAUUAUUUGUAAUUAAUGAAAUGAAGUAAUUAACUUAAUUAAAGAGAAGUAGUCAGUACAAUAUAUGACAUUUUUCUACCAUCUUUACAUAUUUUUCUACAUAUAAUUAAUCAAUAUAAAAGUCAAAUAUACCUAUGAAUUGAAUGUAACAAAUUUGGUUUGUUCGUAAGUCACUUAGUGCAAUAAAUGUCAAAGGUUGCAAUUUAUUCUAAUUUUACAAAACAACACAACUUUUCAGACCCUAUACUUGCUUUGCUAUACAUAUAAAGGACCAAAGUAAAAAAAUGUCUGGCCAUCUUAACUAAAAAAAACCUAAAGUCCCAGAAAACAACCACUUUCCUCAAACAUGCCUCGCUAUUGUACCCUUGAGUAUCUUUCUCCCACAAAAUCUGACUCCAGAAUUCUUAUAAAAGUUCUACGAGUUUGGGAACACUUCAACUACUGUAAUCAACGCCAGGAAUUGCAUCUUAUCCUCGGUGACGAAAAUGUAAGUUCAUCUUUUUGAAGUUUUUUUAUUCUGUUGCAUGUUAUGAACAUUUAAACACAUGAAUUUAGGGUUACAAAAUAGAGGCAUGGAUAGAUCAGGAUCUUAACUUUUCACUUGGUCCAAAGUUUAAAGAAGGAGAAUGGAAUUAUGUCAAAUUCUUCAACGUUGUCAAUGCGUUCGGAUCUUUCAGAAAUACUAUAAACUACCACAUCAUCAACAGGAACGCCGAUACUAUUGUAAACAAGACCUUUCAAGUCAAUCCUAAGCAUAUGAUGGAUUUUAUGCCAUUUGAUGCCAUUAUCUGAGGGAAUUUCUCUACUGAGUACUCUAUCGGUUAGGCUUCUCACUUUUAUUCAAUUUAAGAAUUGUUAUAAAUAUUGUGUAAUGAAAAUUUUUCUUUGUAGACUUGAUCGGCGUAAUCAUCUAUGUUGAUGAUGAACUAAGUACUGAUAUUGAUGACCCAUACGAGAUGAUUUUUGGACCUUCUCACAAAUUGGACAUUCAAAUAAGAGACAUGAAGUAAGAUGUUUUAUAUUAUCAUCUAUAUAUGUAAAUGCCAAUAAUUUGUCUUAUGUUGUACAUAUGUAUUUUUGUUAAUGUUGUUGUAAUAUAAUUUGAUAUGGACAUCAAACUCAUUGGGAAGACUGCUCUGGAUUUCUAGAAGAAGUGAGAAAACAUAUGUACUUAUGAAACAGUCUUGAUUUUGCGCAUGUUUCGUCUGACCUAUGAUUCUGAAGGUUAGUAAUUAAAUAUUAUAAUCGAGUGGAAACAUUCAUUCCCACUUUGUUAAUAUGAUAAUUUGGCUUCUAACAUGUGUGCCCUUUAUAUUUUAAAAUCAUACAGGAAAAUAUCGCAUAAAGAAUGAUGGACACCAUUCUGAAAUACUUUUCAAUCCUCACAUAAAUGAGGUUUCUGAUUUUCUUGACUGGUAAUUUUUCUAAUUGGUAUUAAUAUAUAUAAUAUGUUUUAAGGUUUAUUUUAAUCUUUUUUACAAUAGUUAACUUGAAAUUAUUUAUGGUCAGGCUUCCUUUUAUUGAUAUCCAAGGAGAUCCGAGCUGGCCAUAAGUUUAAUCCCUCUUAUGUACCUAUAUUUUCUCGUAACUGUUAAACAUUCCCAUUAUGUAAUAUUUUCCCAUAAAACUGGGAUGGAGUUGAACAUAUUUUCGUAUAUUUGUAAUGAAAUAUUUAGUAUUUAUUUAUAGUAAUGUUUAAUUGCCAAUUAAUAUCAUUUUAUUUAUUGUUUAUAUAUAUUACAUGUAUAUAUGUAUAGUUUGGAUAUAGCAUAUACAAUCUAUAUAUAGAAUCCAUUUGAUUUUAGAAAGGUUACUUCCUUUAUAGACAUUUUCUUCCAUCGAAUAUUGUACAUUUCCAUAAUAAUAAGACAUUGUCAAAUUAUACUACUACAAUAUAGUAACGACCAUUUUUCAUAUUAUGCCAAUUUUAGUACCAUAACAAUUUAUGUAAGUAGACUUCGACAUUACAUUUAUUGCGAACCUUUAUAAAUUUCUUUAUUUAUAAUUAUGCCAAACGAUGCAACUAUAACGCUUUUUAGGCAAUUUCAUCUAAUGCUCACUAUUGAUCUUUUUUUUUUUGGUCGAUGCUCACUAUUGAUCUAUUAAAAACUUUACGUGUAAGAGUAAAUUGAAAUUAAUUCUGAUUGACGUUUUCAUUUCAGUGUUGAAAACUGACGUCAAGCUUUUCUCAUAACAUUUAGAGUUGAGUGUCAAAUAUUAUAUAAAUUAUCAAUGUUUUAAUGUUUGUGGAUUAUAAUUAAUGUAGCAGAUGAGCUUAUAAUCUUACGAAUCAAUUCACACAUAUGAGAAAGUGAUUUGGGAAAAUAAUUCAUUUUUAUUUGAAUCAAGAUAAUACAACUUAUUGUAGCAAAAAAGAGAGAUAAUUAAGGUACAAAAAAACAAAAACAAAAAAACAGAGAUAAUUUUAGCUAAACUCCAAAGUUUCUCCUUCCACGUUUAUUCUUAUGUGCCUAUAAGAUUCAAAAACAUAUAAUGUUGUUAACUUCAAACAUAUUAGUUAAACAAAUCAAUGUAUUAAUGGAAUAUUAACAGCUUACCCACUCCGAUGUAUCUAGGUAGCGAAUCUCUCUCUUAACGAAGCCGCAUUCUAUACAUUUCAAACCUAUCUCCAGAUCUAGAUGGAGAUCGUGUUUUCCUUUCUUGCAACGUUCAUUUGGAUCAUCAGUCGAUAUUUCUUCAUCAAGCUGCAGAUAUUACAUAGUGAUAUAAACAUACAAUAAUACAGAAAUCAUCAAUAAAACCGAAUAAUUUAAAGUUUAAAUUAUCUCAGAAAGAACCUCGAUGGCAUUCGCAGUUGAUUUGCUCAGAAAAUCAUUCAUCUCUUCCCACUUAUUAGUUUCCUCCAUCUCUGAUUCAGAAAUUGGAGGAGGUGAUGGUGGUUCUUCCACACCAAAUCUCAUGUUCGAUGGUGGUGGAUUAAUUCUCAGUAAUCCGUUUUCAUCAUAACGUUUUUCUUGGUGAUUCUCCAUUUUUGUCUAAUCUCUUAUCAGGCGUUUAGGGUUGCAGAGAAAAUUUAAGAAGUAUGUUUAUAAUCGAAGCAACUCUUAUUUUAUAUAGGAUAAGGUAGUUAAAAAAUAUUCAAUGUCACCAAAUUUCUAUGUUUUCUUAGGAAUACUGUUUCAACCAACCAGUUUAGCUUUUUAACUUUCGUUUUUGAUAUAUAGACAUAAUAUUUACACAAGUCUUCUGCGUCCAACUCACACAACUUAGCUGAAACAAAAAUAUUGAAAAGUUUGGAUUUUCCUCUUUACAGUUUGAUUUAAACCGCAAUAUAUGGUAACAUAAUAUUGUCUCUGAUAAUUUCGAACUAAUAUUCUUAUGAAGCAAUUAUGUAUAAAUUGAAUUAUCUAACCAUAUAUUCGAGAUUUUUAUAAAUAUUGUAUGAAGGAUAUUUAUAUAUUGUUGUUACUUUAUAAAACCAGAUGCAUAUUUCAAUCUUUAAUGUAUUUGUAUAUUCGUGUAUAUCCUAUUUAAUCCAUCUAUAUAUUCACAUCAUACUUUUGUGAACUGCAACUUCAUUUGUUACACUGAAUAAAAAAUCUCAAUAUUCUCCAUUUCUACUGCUAUGAACAGGAUAGGUAAACCUUAUGCGUCCAACUUUAAUCUAUUAAGAAUCCUUUUGAAUAACUAUAGACAUUUACCCUUUAUAUUUUAUUAUCAGACAUUAUUUGUUUCCUUUUAACUGUUUUAACAAAUUCUUUAUGAUUGUUUUCAGAAAUUAUUUAAUUUCAUCUACCAAGAACAAAUUCUUCCAAGCGAAACAAGGUCGACAAAGUAAUGAAAAAUACAAAAUUUAUUGCUUGGAUGGAGUGUAACAAGAUAUACGCAACUGCCAGAUUCCUACUCUACACUGAAUUAUCUCAUCAAUUUGUAUGGAAUGUCACAUUGCAUGAGUGGAGGUCACGGGUGAAGGGUUCAGGAAAUCCAACUAUUCUUCAACAGUAUUCAAUUUAUGAUGAGUAGAAUUUUUAUUUGGGUGUCUGUUGAAUAUCAUUAGAGGUCCUCGCAGUUAUGAAGAUAUCCGAACAUUUAAUGGUGUUGUAUACGACACCUUCAGAAAAGUUUGCUAUGCAAGGGGCUUAUUCCCGAUCAAUUAGAUUUAUAUAUCUUUCUUAAUUUUAGUUUUAAAACUGCAUGUUGAAUCUUUAUUUCAAUAAGUUACUUUCAUUUUGUUGUUUUUAAUCAUCUUCAUUUUUUACAGUACUUUUUAUGUUGAAUAUAUGAUAUACUAAGGUAAAUCAUCUACUAAAUACUACAUUUGCAACCGUGACAUAUUACAUGAUUAAUACAAGAGUCAACCAAUUAACAUUUUAUAAAAUAUAGCAUAACUUAUAAUUUAUAAUUUAUUGAAUAAACUAUUAUCAUUGUAAGUUUAAAGUAUUGUUGAUGCGGAUUAAUCGUAACUUAAUUGUUAAUAUGAUAAAUUAUACCUCAAAUUUUGGAAAUCUCUGAUAAAAUUAAACAACUUUUUAAAUUUCAAUUUAAACUGAACUACAUAAUAUAGACAAAUGCGAUUUUUUGUUAUUUUAGAUAAUUGCAAAAGAGAAAUAAUAAAUCUAACAAUCCUAGAAAUUAGGAAAAUCGUUGUAGUUCAAAUUAAAAAUUCCCAAUUAAAAGUUUUAUAUUUUUUACACAAUAUUGGAUCUCAUUCGAGGUAAAUAACAAUUUUUUACAUAAUUAGAGUUUUUUUCUUAAAAUUCCAUUCAAUAAUAAAAAAUCUACUAUAGCAAAAACUUAUUGAAAACGGUAUACAUUUCUGUUUACCUACUGAACAAAAUUACUUAUAUCUCACUCUACAAAAAGUACAUUGUCAAUACUCUAUCCACAAUUUGAUAUAAAGUAUUAACAGUAUACUUCAUGUUGAAAGUGAGCAUUCACAAGUAAUAUAAUUACAAUAACUCUGUGGCGACACAAUGAAUAAAAUUACUUCUUCUGAUGUGAUUCAUCACAGAUACACAAGAAAUAUUAUGUAGGAAAACAUGUAUUUUUAUUUCAUGUAAACAUAAUUUUUGUACGUCUGUGAGUGGAUCACAUCAGAAGAAUAAUUAUAGUAUGGGUUGUGUUUGAGUGAGUUAUUGUUUGCUUGGUUAAUUGAUCAAAAUUCUAUUCUGAUGUGUAUUUAUAGAAUUCUUAGAGCACGUCCAGUGGGGGUUCGUCCAUGGGUUCAUAACUCAUUUUAGAAUUAAAAAAAAUGUUUAAUGAGCUAUUUAUGAAGACUCGGUUCAUCCCAAAGAGUCUAAUGAACCUCAUUUGCUGACGUGGCAAUUUUUUAGUGGUUGAACCUUCAUUUUUCUUUUUCCACCUCUUCUCUUUCUUAAAAAAAAUCAUUUUUUCUUUUAUUUUGCAACUUCUCUCCUCUCUCUUGUUCAGAAUUUUAUUAAUUUAAUAUUUAGGAUGAACUUUAUGAAAAGUUCACCAAUGGACAUGGUCUUAAAGAGUGACUCCUCAUUUUUCUUCCCUGUGUUUCAUAUUCCCCAAAAGUCAUUGAUAAUUAAAACAUAUUAAACAACAUUUGACUGAUAUAUCACAAAUUCCGAAAGAAGAUAAAUUUCGAAAUAAAUGAAUACAUCUUCGCAUAUAAUCUAUAAAAUAUGUUCAUAAAUGUCACAUUUCGAUGCCUAACUUAAAAACAUAAAAUUAAUGUAUAUAUUCAUAAUUACAAGUAUUUUUUUAUCUACACUUUCUUCAUUAUACAUAACUAAUUAUAAUUACGUAGAAUUUAUAACUGCAAAUAUGAGCCAAUUUUAAGACACAAUCCAAUUCUUAUACUAAUAACAUACCAUUCGACCCAAAAUUAGUAACAUUGUAUCCACACACACUGUAAAUUAUCAAUAUUAUAAAAUUCGACCCAAUAAAUUUAACAAUAUACCUAAUAAAAUUAAAAUUUCAAAAAACGUUCAAGCCCGCACAUGUGUGCGGGCCAGUAUCCUAGUGCCUAGAAAAUACAAACAAGUGUGGGUAUAGAAACGUGAUACAUAGUGAUUAUGUUCCUUUCAUAUGGUGAUGUACUUAUAUUUCCUUUUAGUAUGCUCUAUAUUGCUAAGUGAAAACAGGGAGAUUGUGGAAUUUAGUUGCAUAUUUAUUUCCUUUUUAAGUGUCCAAUUGCCUUUUGAUUUCGUUUAUUUAUUGCGGGUAAAAACAACCAAAACCAUUCAGUUUUAGCUAGAUCUACUCUCGGAAAUAUUACAUGUAACAUUUGGUCCUUGUUGUUCGACCUAUCGUUCUACUACCAUGACAAAAUAAUUGUACACUUGCGGUUUAGUAAAUUGGUAUUUAAAAUUGACCGCACUUUUUCCAGGGACUAGCUGUUUCACCAUUGGGUUAAAGACUACAGUUGAACAUAUGACAAGUUUUUCUUGUUUCCCCUUUGACACAAAAUAUAUAUAUAUAUAUAUAUAUAUUUUGUUAUAUUUUUGUUACUUUGCUUAAUCGCUCCAAGUUUUCCCUAAUUGGCCUUUCAGCUGCAUGACUAUAAAUCCUUAUACCAUGAGGGUCUGACCUUUCACCGUUUGAAAGAUAAUAGAAAGGAGAGCGAUUAGCACGUUUGGAGAGAGAGACAAUAGAUAAUCAGAAACCAAAAUUGGAGAGUUCAAGUUUGAACAGUUUCUAAGUAACUUGGGUGCCAGUGUGAGUUUGAUGUCCCUGGAUGUGUCAAAAGGUCUUGGGAUAAUAGAUUUCAAGUCAUCAAAGAUCACUCUGGUUUUUGUUAAUCGCUCGGUUGGUUACCCAAUGGGUCUACUUGGGGAUCUACUAGUCAGGGUUGGAAACCGCUAUACUCCUAGAGCAUUCAUUUUGUCAUAGUUACAUAAAGAGCUACAUGAACAGAUGAAGGUGUAGCUGUAGUUGAAGCAGUUGCUGUACCAGAUGAAGUGAAGGAUGGAAUUCCACAAACAUGAAGUACGUGACAAGCGAAGCAUUUGGAAUGAGGAGCUGGACGAGUAGCUGAGCUGGACCAGUAGGAAUGGGAGUCUUGGAAAGAAAGCAAAGCUGGAUGGGAAUAAAGGAGCAGAUCAGGAAGAAUGGAAGAUUUUACUUAAACAUGUAAAAGUUUAAGGAAAUAGGAAAUAUGCACCAAGCGACAAAAAUGGAAGCUGUGGUGUAGGGUUUUCGGCGUGUAUAGCCGCUUAGUCUACUAGGUAUAAGUAGACGUGUUGAACCAUUGUAAAAGCUUAACACAACUACUAGAGAGCACUUAGCAUAAGGGUGAGAGAUUCGAGUAUUAGGGUCUGCAUCAAGGGUUAAGGGUUUUUCUAGGGGAGUUCUGAGAUCAAGUACAGCUCGAAGAACAGAGAGAGCUAGAGCGACAGAUCAAGGUGUGUCUUGAGUCUGUUCUAAAUCGUUUUACAAACUUGUAAGGUGUGUUAACAGAUUUACUAGUAAUAAAGUUCAGUUAAAGGAAAAACUUUGUGUUAAGUUGUGUUGUUGUUCUUGAACUAAGACUCUUGCAUUUACAAUUGGUAUCAGAGCGGUCAUCUGUAACUUGCAAACAGGUGAGGUCAUGCGGAGAUGGAGAAUUAUCAAGAACUUGUGAGCAGUUCAAACGUAAUUUUGAAUGCUGGAAACUACGGCUUCUGGAAAGCGAGGAUGCGUUCACUCAUAAUAGGAAUUGAUCCUUUGGUAUGGAAGUCGGUCCUGGUUAAGUGGGAAGAACCAAAGAAGAAGAACGAUGCUGGAUCUGAUGAGCCUAAAUCUGAAGAAGAAUGGACCGAGGAAGAAAGAAAAAGGUUCAAAUACAAUUCAAAGGCGUUGACGGCUAUUCACUGUAGCAUAUCAGCUGAGACCUUUAAACUAAUUCAGGGAUGUGAGACAGCCAAAGAAGCUUGGGACAUACUGCAGAUACAGUUUGAAGGAACGACAAAAGUGCAAAACUCGAAGAAGGACAUGUUGGCUUCACGAUUUGAGAACCUGUAGAUGGAAGAACAUGAAACCAUUGCCGACUUCAGCUCCGAGUUGAGUUCUCUGGCUCAAGAGGCUACAACUCUUGGGAAGCACUACAAAGACAAAAAACUGGUGAAGAAGUUCGUAAGGUGUCUUCCUUCAAGGUUCAUGGGGUACAAGUCAGCUCUGAGUGUGAACCAGGAUACUGAAUAUCUAAGCUUUGUAGAGAUUGUUGGGAUGCUACAGGCUCAUGAGAUGAAACUUGAUGGUGUGAAGAACCAGAAAGGAUUGGCGCUGUCAUCUGUUCUCGAGACCAAGUCAUCAGAGGAAGAAAAGUGUGAGGAUGCAUUAGGGCUACUGGUGAGGAGGUUUGACAAGGCUCUAAGACGAGCUGAGAAGUCAUAUGGUCAGAAAAAAGGUUGUACCUGCCAAACGAACAAAGGAAACCAGUGAAAGAAGGGGUGAUGUUCAAUGCUACGAGUGCAAAGGGGUCGGACACUUCAAGACUGAAUGUCCUACUAUUAAGAGAAGGUAGAUUCAGUGCUUCGGAUGCAAGUGUUUUGGUUAUACACAAUUGGAAUGUGUGAAUGAUCAAAACCGCAGGAAGGAAAGAUCCAUGCUGGCAGAAGAAGAUACUGAAAAUGACAGUGAUGAAGACACUGUGGAGGAAGUAAACAACUUUGUCUCAUUCAUUGGCAUUGCAGAAUUCGAUGAGAGUAUGGUUGCUUCAGAUGCUGAGUCAGAAGUUGGGGCUGAUGAUGAGCUGAGUGAAAGCUACAAAGAGGUUCGUGAGACUCUGAUCAAGAUUGGCAAGGAAAACACUGACUUAAAGAAAGAGAAUCUUUGAGUUGAAGCAAGAGUGGAGGAGCUGCAGAGAGAACUGAAAGCUGCUCAGAAACUGAGUCAAGAAAGUGUUGCGCUGAUAAAAGAGAAGCUGAACUUGGCAAAGAAGGCAGAGCAACUGGAGCAUGAUCUAAGUCAGGAGAAAGGGAUUUCCAACAACCUGAUGGGUGAGCUCAUUGAGCAACGUAAGAAGAUUCAUAUGUUUGCUGGAACUAAACAGCUUGAUCAGAUCUUGAGCCAUGAAAGGAGGUAUGAUGUGCGUAGAGGAUUGGGAUACGAUGCUUGAACCAUGGUAGAAACAGGUACUACAAAGUUUGUCUCAGGAGGUACAACUAAGCCACAAGAUCUGAUCAAGCUGAAAAGCUGUGGAUGAAGUCGGAAAGGUCAUCCUGCGAGGAAUCAGAUCUAGGAACAACUGUUAUAUAUGGGAUUCCUCUUGCAAAGAAGAAAAGUGCUUCACAGCACGUGAUGAUCUACAUCCGUGGCAUCAACGAUUGGGACACAUGAACAUCACGAAUCUUGCCAAUCUUGUCGACAAAGAAAUUGUCAGAGGAGUGCCUAAAGUCAAGGGAGUUGAUAACUCGGUGUGUGGACCUUGCACUCAAGGCAAGCAAGUUAAAGUGCAACACAAGAGAGUACCUGAUGUACAGUCAAAAGCAGUUCUUGAUCUAGUCCAUAUGGAUCUAAUGAGACCAGUACAAACCGAGAGUUUGGGUGGCAAGCGCUAUGUGUUCGUCCUUGUGGAUGACUUCUCUAGGUACACCUGGGUUAGGUUCCUUUGAGAAAAAUCUGAGACAGCUGAGAGCUUCAGAAUAUGGGCGCUGCAACUCUUGAAUCAGCGCGGUAGAAUAAAGAAUAUCCGGAGUAAUCGUGGCGGCGAGUUUCAGAAUGAAUUCAUGAAACUUUUCUGUGAAAGUCAUAGCAUUGCUCAUCAGUUCUCAGCACCUAGGACACCACAGCAGAACGGGGUUGUAGAAUGGAAUAACAGAACACUACAGGAGAUGGCACGAGCAAUGAUGCAUGGGAACCAAGUGUCAAAGAAGUUCUGGGCUGAAGCAGUCAAUACGGCUUGCUACAUCAUAAACCGAGUCUACGUCAGAAAGGGAACCAGUAAGACACCUUAUGACUAUGGAAAGGGAAAACCCCUAACUUGAGUUACUUUCAUGUCUUUGGUUGCAGGUGCUACAUCCUUAAUGACAAAUACUAUCUUGGGAAGUUUGACUCAAGAAGCGAUGAAGGGAUGUUUUUGGGAUACUCGGGAAAUAGCACUGCAUUCAGGGUCUUCAACAUCAGGUCAAAAGUACUGAUCGAGUCAGUGAACAUGGUGUUUGAUGACUAUGCUCGUACCAAGUGGGAAGGAACUGCUACUGGCAGUGACUCGGACGAAGAAGAAGAAAAUCAACCAGCAGCUCCCACUGGAGAAGGUGAUCAAGCAGUUGUGGUUCCAACAUCUGAUGUUCAGCAAGUUCACAGGAAUCACUCACCUUCGAAUCUCAUUGGUGAUGUGAAUGAAGGAAGAAGGACUUGUGGAGUUCAGUUGGACUUCAAAAAGAUGGUUGGGAAAUUCUCGGAGAUGGUUCUAUUUGCAUGCUUUGUCUCUGUCAUUGAACCCCGAGACGUGAGACAGGCACUUGGUGAUGAAUUCUGGAUCAUUGCCAUGGAACAAGAACUAGAGCAGUUCGUGCGUAAUUAUGUGUGGAAACUUGUCCCAAGACCCCUUGAAGGCAAUGUGGUGGGAACAAAGUGGAUCUUCAAGAACAAAAUCGAUGAGAAUGGGGUUGUGGUUCGCAACAAAGCAAGGCUAGUUGCACAAGGGUUUUCACAAGUCGAGGGAGUCAACUUCGAAGAGACGUUUACCCCUGUAGCAAGACUUGAAUCAAUCAGACUGUUCUUGGGGAUGGCCUGUAUCCUAAACUUUAGGGUAUAUCAGAUAGAUGUCAAAAGUGCAUUUCUUAAUGGAGUGCUCCAAGAAGAAGUGUAUGUGGAACAGCCAAAAGGGCUCAAAGAUGCUCAGUAUCCACAACAUGUGUACAAGUUGAAGAAGGCGCUUUAUGGCUUGAAGCAGGCUCCACGAGCGUGGUAUGAGAGACUCACUGGAUUUCUGGUUGAACAAGGAUAUGUUAGAGGAAGUGUUGACACGAUCUUGUUCAUCUAUGAGCAGAAUGGGCAGAUCAUAAUUGUGCAAAUCUACGUGGAUGACAUUAUCUUUGGAGGAACUGCUCAGUCACUUGUGGAUCGAUUUGUCACAAGCAUGACUCAAGAGUUUGAAAUGAGCAUGGUUGGUGAACUGCGGUACUUCCUGGGUUUGCAAAUAACUCAGUCUGAAGAUGGGGUCUUUAUCUCACAAAGCACCUAUGCGAAGAACUUACUUACAUGAUUCAAGCUUGAUCAGUGUAAGGAAGCUAAUACUCCAAUGAGUACUACAGCCAAGCUCACUUGGGAUUAAGAUGGAACAGAUGUUGACCCCACAGUUAUCUAGGGAUGAUUGGAAGCUUGUUGUAUCUCACAGCAAGUAGACCAGACUUUUCCCUAAGUGUGGGCAUCUGUGCUCGAUAUCAGGCGAAACCCAAGCAAUCACAUCUUGAAGCAGUGAAGAGAAUCAUCAAGUAUGUCAAAGGGACAGUCAAGUUGGGAAUCUGGUACUCCAAAAGAUCGAACAAGCACUUGGUGGGAUACUGUGACGCAGGAAGUGCAGAUGAUCGGAAAAGCACAAGUGGAGGUUGUUUCUUUCUUGGGAACUAUCUAAUCUCGUUGUAGAGUAAGAAAUAGAACUCUGUCUCACUGUCUACUGCAAAGGCCGAAUACAUUGCUAUGGGGAGCUGCUGCAGUCAACUGUUGUGGAUGAAGCAGAUGUCCGCAGACUAUGAGAUGGAUUCUGGGCCACUACUGGUUCACUGUGACAACAAAAAUGCUAUCAGUAUUUCAAGGAAUCUGGUGCAGCAUUCUAGGACCAAACACAUCAAUAUAAAGCACCACUUCAUUCGUGAGCUAGUGGAGGAGAUACAGGUAGUGAUAGAACACAUUGUCACUGAUUUGCAACUGGCUGAUUUAUUCACAAAACCCCUGGAUUUUAAUCGUUUUGUCACCUUAAGAAACUCGAUUGGGGUUUGUAGUAUGUGAUUUUUUGUGAAGUGUGCAGGACUGAUGCAAAAACUGACUCGAGGGGACACUCAAGGUUUAGAUUCAGUCUGGAGUCAUGGAUCUAGUGGAAAAGAGCUAUCUCAACAACCGUCGUACCUUAACGACAGUACAGGUUUCAUGGAGUAGAAGGGAAGCUGAGCUAGUUUCGGAGAAGUCAAGUGAUGAAACUAGCUCAUUGCACUCAAACCAGAAAGGGAGGAAUGAAUAAAUAAAAAAAAUUUAAAAAAAGGAGGGGCUGCUUGCAAUUAAAAUUAGUUGAUCCCCUCAAAAGGUAGAUCCUCCCCUGGUACUGAAAGCUUCCUUCACCCGUGAAUAAAGGUUGAAAACUAGAAAAUGGGUCGAUAAAGGUAGUUGGGUGUGAAAGCUAGCCCGUGAAUCAGGAUGGCCAGACUCUUAUGAAUCAUAACAAGCUGAAGGUGUCUCGUGAGUCAGAGGCUGUGUCUAGUUCCGGUGCACUUCAAAGAAAAUGGUAAAAAUAUGUACAAAGCAUUGUUUUCAAAGCCAGCGCAUAGGUGAUAGUUCAAUUGUCACUAUUUGUUCUCUAUCAUCGGCUUAUGUGUGAAAGUGUCCGUGAAUAUUGAUGGUCUAAUGCGUGCGUGUUUGAUUCAGUAUGUGUUCGAGUGCUUUUGUCACGUGUGAAACAGGAAAGUGGGCAGGGAAUUUCGAGGCCUUGAUGAGUUUGUGAAAACAUCUGUGAGAUGGGCUUGUUGCGAGAGAACAGCCCACAAAAGACAAUGGAAAUUGAAAAGACGUGGGAAAAUAGAAAGUGGGGGAGUUAUUUACGGGGAGUGGGGAUCCGAAAAAUCAGCACCACUUCCUGUUUUAAACCCUAAUUAUCUUCCUACAAAAGGCGAAUCACAAAGAGAGACAUCAAUGGUGAGAGGAACUCGAAGGGGGCUAAUUGGUGUCCGAUCUAAAGCACAGAUGACGCAUGCAGAUGGCGAUGCUCAGAGGCCUCAUCUAAUCGAUGAGCACAGUGGCGAGAGUAUGAAUCCAACUGAGGCGGUUCCUGAUCAAAAUCCCGCGGCAUCCAUUGGUCCAGCAGAUAGUGCAGGCUCUUUUGCCACCGCAAAUGAUGGAGAUGCGCAGAGUGGAUCGUCGGCGAACCCUAAAGAGAAGGCGGAUGGCGGAGAAACCAAGGCCAACUCGGAGGUUACCCAGAAAAUCAAGAAUGACGAGGAAGAGGCUGACGGUGGCGAGAGCAAAAAAGCUGUUGAGGUGAAUCUCUCUGUGCCACAAGAAUCGGCGAAUCCGACCGCCGAUCCGGUUCUGAUCACAAUGACUCAAGAGGAGGCGACAGCAUCUCCCGCUGAAGCAUCACCUACCUCGAUCUCCGUGAAAGAGCAAGCUGCAAAAGUCGAACGCAAAAGAAAUACAAUGAAGGCUUUGGGACUUCCAGCUCCGUCAAAGAAACCCAAAAGUGAGCCGUCUCCAGUUCCAAAAGCAGAACCGGAGCCAGUCCCUGACUCGGUGCCAUGAAAGCGGACCAAAAAGGCUCGAUCUCGCAAAGAACAGCCGUCUCCUGAUCAAGCAAGGUAUGAUCACUUUGCUACACGACAACUUUGGUGUGAGAGAACUGUCGAUGUAGGUGAAACAGAUGAAUGGGGAUACAUCAAAGUGAAUAGAGACAGCGGUUUAGAAUCAGCGGUUGUAGGGAUCACUUUGUAUGUACCGCAAGUGAUUCAGGAGUUCUAUGCUGGGCUUCCGGGUGAGCUACCCUCUGAUCCAGAUCAAGAGAUUCGUGUCAAGCUGAGGGGUUUUGAGUAUUGCUUCUCUCCUGCGUGGAUCAAUCGGGUCCUCAAUCUGACUCCACUUAGCGAGGCUGAAGUUCACGAUGAGUCAGUUGCUGAAGCAGUCUCUCUGUCUGAUAUUGCCAAACACUUGUCGAAAGGAGGAAGUGGUUGGAGUGGGCUGAGCACGAGGAAUCUCCCACCGGUUUUUGCUUCAUUGAUUGUUAUUGCGGCGUACAACUGGAUUCACUCAACCAACAAGAAUCACAUUUCUGAGGAGCGUGCUCGCCUGCUGUACAAGCUGAGUCAUGGUGUGAGGGUGGACUUCGGAAGGCUGGCUUUCAAACAUAUUAUUCUAAUGAGCAAGAUCAUCAAAAAAGACACUCACUGGCUGGUAUUCCCGUGUUUGAUACAGAAGAUUAUGAACCUUCAACACGAGCCUUAGCUGGGUCAAGGAGAGACUCACAUUGUCCCAUUUUGAUACAAAAAAGACUCACGCAGUGGUGAGGAGUUCAUCAAGAAAGAGGCCGCAGCUGCAAAGAAGGAUAAGAAGAAAGGGAAGCAAAGGGCUGAUGCACCGAGAUCUCCAACUCCUCCACCUCAGUCGUCUCAACAGCAACCUGAGCCAUCACCGAGUGUGCCACUUCGGUCCUUCCGCUCACCACCUCCUGAUGCAUCCUUCAGGUCAUCCGACUCUGCUCCUGGUCGGACUCAAAGUGCUCCUCUCGGAGUGAUUUGUGUUCCUUUGGCACCAGAAAGUGCUAAUGAAGUCACAUUGGCCUUAUGGGAUGUGAGUCGUGUGCUUAACCAUCUCCACGGAAUAGUCAACAUGGUGAUUGACUCAUUUGCAAGUAAGUUUUCUGACUCUGACUUGUUUCUUAUUUUAGGUAUUGAUCCCUGUUUUUACUUUCGGUGAUCACAAGCAGGAGGAGAAAACAUGUGGGAAGAAAUUCUACGAGAUGAUGCAGGAGAUGAUGCGGGUGCUUAAAUUGUGGGGGAGUUUGUGUAAUAAUCUAGUUUCUUGUUUCUGAAUUAGGCUAAGUUUGUGGGGGAACGUGUAUUUUGCUCUGAAAACUCUUGUUCGCAGCAUUUGAUUCAAGACUCUGUGUUUGACGUUUUCUUUUCAUAUGAAAUGCGUUCUGUUUGUCUUGGUACUUGGUUGGUCUGUGGUUGUUUGUGUGCUAUGUCUGAAAACAGGUGCUUCUGAGUCACACGAAGCUAAAAUGGGGGAGAUUGAAGGUGUAGCUGUACUUGAAGCAGUUGCUGUACCAGAUGAAGUGAAGGAUGGAAUGCCACAAGCAUGAAGUACGUGACAAGCGAAGCAUUUGGAAUGAUGAGCUGGACGAGUAGCUGAGCUGGACCAGUAGGAAUGGGAGUAUUGGAAAGAAAGCAAAGCUGGAUGAGAAUAAAGGAGCAGAUCAGGAAGAAUGGAAGAUUUUCUUAAACAUGCAAAAGUUUAAAGAAAUAGGAAAUAUGCACCAAGCGACAAAAAUGGAAGCUGUGGUGUAGGGUUUUCGGCGUGUAUAGCAGCUUAGUCUACUAGGUAUAAGUAGACUUGAAGCAUUGUAUAAGCUUAACACAACUACUAGAGAGCACUUAGCAUAAGGGUGAGAGAUUCGAGUAUUAGGGUAUGCAUCAAGGGUUAAAGGUUUUUCUAGGGGAGUUCUGAGAUCAAGUACAGAUCGAAGAACAGAGAGAGCUAGAGCGACAGAUCAAGGUGUGUCUUGAGUCUGUUCUAAAUCGUGUUACAAAUUUGUAAGGUGUGUUAACAGAUUUACUAGCAAUAAAGUUCAGUUAAAGGAAAAACUUUAUGUUAAGUUGUGAUGUUGUUUUUGAACUAAAACUCUUGCGUUUACAACAAGUUCCUCUAGGCUCAGCUAAACCAAUUCUCUUUACUUAGUUGUUUUUAGUAGUUGAUCUCGACUGGGUGAAAACCGACCCUAACACUUUCCUUGAGUUUGUCUUGAGGAGAACCAUGUUCUCAGUCCAUCCUCAUAUCUCCUAUCUCCAUUACUUUGAAUCAAACAUAUAGUUGAUUUCUGAUAUUGUUGUCGAUUAGCUUGAUGAGUUGGUACUUUUUCGAAGGUUUCUCCCAAGUCAACAACGUUUCCCCACUCGCAUAAAAACUAAUCUUUCAAUAGUCUCGUUACCAAACCAUCCCAACCUAAUUCAGGUUUGGCUUAUCAUAUAAAUUACAUCCAUUUUUGAACUGUCAAAACCUAAUUUAGGGAAUUUCAGUAAUAAUAUAUAGUUUUUUGGUGUGUCAAAUCAUAUGAGAGAACCUUUACGAUAUAUAUGUUUUAACCAAGAGUGAUCCCGAUAUUUACCACUCAACUAAUCCAACAAUUCCCAAGGGACGAGUGUAGCCGUGAAGUAAUUCAUUCACAAUUUUUUUUUUUUUACAUCUAAUUCACCUUUAUUAGUUAUCAAAAUUACAAUCGUUAAUUACAGUACACUACAAGAAAACAGCAGGUAUUCCUACGAAAGAUAUCAUCAGAAAAUGGUAGGAAACAGGCAUUUUCUACCAAUUUCCGACGAAAAUGUUUUGGUAAGUUCUAUGCCGUCGGAAAUUAUAAAUGGUCAGAAAAUGAUAGGAAAUUUCCUACGAAAUUUUUGGUCGGAAAAUUUCAUCGGAAAAUUUGGUCAGAAUAUCGUAGGGCAUUUGCUACUAUUUUCCUUCCAUUUUCUUUUGAAAAAAUCCAACCCUUUUCCUACGAACAGUUUUCUAUCAUAUUCCUACCAUUUUCUUACUAGCUAUAUAAAAAAAUUUUAAUUCAAUUAAUUACAAAAUUAAAUAAUUUCAAUUAUUAAACAAAUUAUAAAAAUUAAAUCCAAAAUUAAUCAACCUAAUUAAAAACUAAUUAGAAAUUAAUUAUAACUAAAUAUGGAACUUCUAAAGCCCAAAUUAUUUUUAUUGACUCAGUAUUUUUUAUACUUAAAGCAUGUGUCUAUUUAUAGAGUCUUUUCAGCAUCACCUGCUUGGUCGAUGUGGGAUUUUUCCCAUUUUCCUUUUUGACUGAUUUUGGUAGGAAAUUGAUAGGAUAUUUAAAUAAUAAAAUAUUUAUUUUUCGUAGGAAAUUGAUAGGUAAUUUCUUACAUAUUAUAUUCGUAGAUAAGUGGUCAAAAAUUUCUGACAAAUUUCCUACCAUUAUUACAGUAAAUUUUUUCCACCGAUUUCCUUCCAUUUUCUGAUCAGAUUUCCUACGGAUAUUUUUUUGGUUGAAUAUUGGUAGGAAAAUUUUGACCAUUUUCUGACGAUUUUUAUCGUAGAAACUUUUCUUCCAAUUUCCUACCACUUUUAUUUUUUGUCAUAAAUUCGUAGGAAAAUGAUAAAAAAAAAUUUCUACCAAAAUUUACGUAGAAAAAUUUAUAGGAAUUCAACAUGUUUUCUUGUAGUGGUAUGUUGGAGGAAUCGAGGACAAGUGUGGUACAAUGACCAUUGAGUAUUACAUAAUAAUGCUUGUUUAGCCAACAUAUCUGCCCAUUGAUUUGCUUCUCGGUGUCGAAAGGUGAAGCUCACUUCAGCGAACAUUUUUUCCAGCUUUUGAUAGCCUCUAUGUAAUGGUGGAGACGCAAAUUAUUUCCUUGCCCAUUGAUGAGUCGGAUAAUGGUUAGAUUAUCUCCUUCAAAUUCCACUUUUUGAAGGAAUAUUUUCAUAUUUUCAUUCACAAUAUUUUCUAAUGGGUCUAAAAAAUGGCACCAUUUCAAUUCGUCAAAUGAAAAUGGUUAGAUAAUUAUAAGUUUGUUGAGAAUUCUUUCUUUAUGGUACUUUGAUAUAUUUAGUGAACUUUGCAAGUAUUGUGUAUGAAUAACCUCAGUAGAGUUUCUUUAGGUUCUCGUUGUACUAUUAAGAAAACAAAAUUUCUCAUCGUGAACUUUGCAAUUUGUGAAUAUUUAGUUUAAAUAUUUUUUCUUUUUUGUAAGACCCUAGAGUACGAAUAAUUAAAUUGCAGUAAUAUAAAAAAACCAAAGACAAUAACAUAAAGUACAGACGAUUUUAUUAUGCAAAGAGUGAAGAUUACAACUCGAACACAGAGACAUACAUUAUUAAGUUUAUUCUCAUAGUUUCUUUUCUUAAACUUGAGUCACUUCAUUACAAAUGCACCAAUGUUUACUUAGAGUCAUACACACGUAUGUGCAUAUAUGAGACUUAAAAGUAUAUUUCAUAGAUUUUAAUGACCGGGCUGAGUCUGAACAGCUUCUGCUCCGUGUCCCCCGCGUCCACCAUGGCCUCCUCCUCCAUAGUGUCCUCCUCCUCCGUAGUGUCCUCCUCCUCCUCCGUAGUGUCCUCCUCCUCCUCCUCCGUAGUGUCCUCCUCCUCCUCCUCCGUAGUGUCCUCCACCGUGUCCUCCUCCGUGUCCUCCUCCUCCGUUGUAACCUCCAUGGCCACCACCAUAUCCAUCAGGUUUCUCAUUUUCCUCACUCUCUGACUUCACCGUGCCUGUUCCAAACACACACAAAAAAAAAACAAAAUUAUUUCAAAAAUAUUUUUAAGCACGUGCAAAUGUGCAUUCCUUUGCCUAUUUCAUAAUUGAACACUUUUAAAAAAUGUAUAGAAAUUCGGGAUAAUGAUGUAGUUGUAGUGACAGAAUUACUCUGAACAGCUUCUAGUCCAUGUCCCCCGCGGCCUCCAUGUCCCCCGUGGCCUCCUCCUCCGUAGUGUCCUCCUCCGUGGCCACCACCAUAUCCAUCAGGUUUCACAGUUUCCUCACUCUCUGAGUUCACCGUGCCUAUCCCAAAAGCGAAACCACAUUAUUUUAUAAAUAUUGUUAGUACGUACAAAUGUGCAUUCCUCUCCCCAAUUUCAUAAUUAAAUUUCUCUUAAAAACUUUCUAAAAUAUGUAUAUAAUUCCGAUCUCUAGUUAUAAAAAAAAUGAGUUCAACAUUAAAUAUACGUUUUAUAUAAAUUGGCGUCAAGCAUCUAAAUAGUUUGGGAGGGUCUAAUAGGUAUAAGAGCAUGUACAUCAGUGAACCCUUAAAAGAGGGGUUUAACAGAAUAUAAUAACAUUUUUUUUUUGUUUUAGUUUUUUUUUUUUUUAAUUCGAAAAUUAUAAUUUUCGACCAUGUUUUAUUUGGGAUGAUACCGUCUCUUCAGGUUCGUCGGGAUGAUACUGUCUCUUUAAUAUUAAGAUCUUUUGUCUCAAAAACCGUGCCAUGAACCCCUCUUGAUCCUCUGAUGUAGAUGCUCUAAGAAGGACUAAACGUCAUAAGUAAGCGUAAGUGUCUUUUCUUACUAGGACAUCAACAUGAUACUUAAGUGUGUUUAUGACUUAGUGAGUCCAAAUAAUUGACCAUCGUUCACCCCAACUUUUCGCAUUUAAAACGGACGAGAUAGUUGGACAAAAUUAUCAAAUGGUACGUUAGUCCGGUUAGAUUAGCUUCACGAUAAUUUUUUUGUUUUCUAUAAAAUAAUUUUACGUACCCGACUGCCUUGCUGAGACGACGAGAAGAAAUGCAAACACACCCAACAGAAGCAAAGUCUUGGAAGCCAUUUUCUUCAAACUGCUUAUAACACUUUUAAUUUGUAUAUAUGGAGAAAGAAGUGAUGAAUAAAAUGUUAGCCUGCAUGCUCUCUAUUUAAGGAAAACGAGGAGGGCAGAAUGAGGAAAAGUCAAAUAAAUAAUUCGUAGUGCAGUGAAAAGAAGUAUUUUUUUAAUUAAAAGCAAAAGGGAGAUUUAGUGUAUCACAAAAUUUAGAGAAAUUGCAUUGUUUGCAGAUAAAGACACACUUUUUAGUAGCAAAUAAAUAAAACUAUAUUUCUUUGCGCAAGCGAACAAAAGGGAGUUGUAUUAUUCUAGAAGAGUUUAGAUCUAAUUUAUACCCCCCAAAAAAUAUAGUUUAGAUAUCUUUAUCUGUAUCAUGCAAUCUUUCUUUGUAAACAUCUUGAAUAGAGUUAAUAUAUGUUACGUGAUUUAUAUUAGAUUGCAUGAAACAAAAAAUACGUGAAACAAAGUGUUUCGAAAAGGAUAACAAUUUUAAAAAUGAUAGGAAACGUUUGCUUUCGGAAACAUAUAUUAUAUAUAAAACAUCAAAAUCAUAUGAAAAACAAAACGAAACAUUAAAACCAAACGAACUUUAAUACUUAUAUAUCAAACAGAUAAAUAAAGAUACAAAUCCAAACGUGGUAAGAAGAUAACGAAAUUUUCAUAUUUUCGAAUUUACUUCAUCUAUCCUACAAAUAAGAUGGUAAGACGAUCGAUAAGUAUGAUCAAAGUAUAUCUGUAUCCGUUGCGUCGAUUCCCAUAUGGUGGGUUGUUGGAUUGUGAUUUGUGAAAAACUUUAACCUCAAUAGUCUUUUAGAUAUUUCUUAUCAACGUCUUUAAACAUAGGAACCAUCGGACAAGUAUUGAACUAUUGAUAUGUAAGAAUUACAUUAUUGGCCAUAACUGGUAUUAUUGUUACAUUAUUAUUACUAUAAUUUGGACACAAAAUUAGUCCACUAUUUGUACUUUAACUCUUUAAGGAUCUUCUUUGAAAAUCUCAGCCGACAGGUUUUUAAGCAGACGGAUAAAGAAUUAAUACGAAGUAAUUACUAAGAACUUACCUUUAAAGGGUGAAAUUUUGCUUGGCUAUAAUUUAUUCAGGCCUACAUCGAUAAAAAAAAAUAAAAAUCAUUCCAGUGACCUAAGUGUAAAGGAGCUUGAGAUAUACGUGUUGAGAAGAUGAGCAUUAUUAAGUGUACAGAAUGUAGCUGCCGUCCUAAUUAUAAUAAAAUAGAAGUUAAUCCGCACAUUGUAAGGGAUAAUGUUUUUUUAAUUAUUUUUAAAUUUAAUUUAAUUUUUUUUAGUUAAAUUAAAAUUGGUGGCAAAAAUAUUUUAACAAAAAAUAUAAAUAAACAAAAUUAAUAAAAAUUAAAUAAUAUAUAUAUAUAAAUAUCACACAACCGAUAUUUAUUUGUAUAUAUAUAUAUAUUAUAGAGUAUGACUUUGAGCUAAUUUUGUUAUGCAGUUUAAUUAUUCAUAAAAUAAGAAUUUAAUUUUGAAUAUUUUAUUAGAGAUUAAACUAUUAUUUUUAGUUAAUAAAUUAUAAUAUAUGUUAAUAAUAAUUAUAUAUAGGAUUAGACAAAUUCGUCUAUUUAAUUUAUUUUAUAAUUUUUAAAAUAUUAUUUCGACCAAUCCGCAAAAAAUAGAUUUUAAACUUUAAAUUAUAUUUUAUUUUUUAUAAUAAUAAUUGAAUUGAUUUUCAAAAAUGAUGCUAAUUAAUUAUGAAAAUACAAAUGAAAAAUAUUGCAAAAUUUAAAUAGUUUUUCAUAUAUAUGGAUUGAUUAUUAUUUAAAAUAAUAGAAUAUAUUUUAACAUUUUAAUAAGUAAAAAGCAAAAUACAUUUUUUAUUUAUAUCCAUAUAUAUUCAAAACAAAUAUGUGAGCUAUAUAUUUAACUAUCUCUUGUGAAGAAAUAUUUAAUUAAAAAUUUUAUAUUUGUAAAAUUUAUUUAUUUAAUAUCUUUUAAGUAAAGGUUUAUUUAUGUAAUAUUUUAUAAAUAAAUAUUUAUUUAUGUAAAAUAUUCUGUAAUAUCUUACAAAUAAAAGUUUCUUUAUAAAAUGUCUAUUCAAAUAAUAAUGUAGAGAUGUAAUUUAAUUAAAGUCUAAUUGAUAUGAACUUCAUAAUUAUUAUAAAAAUAUGAUCAAUUCCAUGCGAGUGAAAAAGAUUUACAUAGUUAUCGUUUAUUUCUCAUACAAAACUAUUUUAAUUUUAAAGAGUAAAACGUAGCAGAAAAUGAAAACUGGAACUUUUUUAGAAUAUGACAGCUAGUUUUAAAAAUGGGAGAUGGCUACAAUACCGUUUCAAAAUAAUAGAUUAAAACUUAAUCCCAGAUAUCCGACUUGUUGAUGGUUUCUAUUUGCUUACGCACACUAAAUAUAUUAACACUCAAGAGAGGGAAAGUGUAAAUUGUAUUAAUGAAAGUGUUAGUGAACCGUAUUACAUUAAUUCCCUUUUAUAUACCAACUAGGUUAAGAAUAAAUACAUAUAUGUUAAUACAUCCCUCUCAAACCGAAUCAACCUUAGGUAGAAAGAGGUUUGAUAAUAAUACACGACUAAGCAAAAAAUGAAAUGGACCUAGAUGCAAAGGCUUCGUCAACAUAUCAGCAAGCUGAUUCGAAGUAGAGACAUGAAGAACAUUUAGGAAGCCAUUCUUCACCUGAUCUCGGGUUAUGUGGGAAUCAAUUUCCACAUGCUUAGUUCUCUCGUGAAAUACAGGGUUAUUGGCAAGAUUCAUAGCUGAUUUUUUUUAUCACAAAACAGGUUGGCUUCAGAAGUUACCGGGAUAUGAAGAUCAGUCAGUAAUUGGUGCAGCCAAAGUAACUCUCCCGUAGUAACAGCCAUGCUCCGAUAUUUGGCCUCCGUGCUGCUUCUAUUAACCAUUUCCUGUUUCUUGGACUUCUAGGUGAUAAGAGAUGUUCCAAGAAAUACACACAGACUCGUUACAGAACGACUGCAUCUGAAAAUCCAUUCAAGCAUAACUCUGUAGUAGCAUAAUAGAAAAAACCUUAGCCCAGAUUUUCUUCAAAUAUUUAAGGAUCUGGAAAGCAGCUUGAAAAUGAACAUUAGUGGGGAAAGACAGAUACUGACUCCACUGAUGCAGCGCAAAAGUGAUAUCAGGACGAGUAAUGCAGAGAUAUUGCAAUCGACCAAUCAAUUCGCGAUAUGAAGUUGUAUCAGAAAGAGACGUACCCGCGGACUGGAUCCAUCAAAACUGAUUUUGGUUUAUAACCAAGGAGACCAUAAUCUUCAAUAAGAUCCAAGCAGUAUUUCCUCUGUGAAACAGAUAACCCCGAAGCAUUCCUUGCAAUCUCAAGACUCAAGAAGAAAUGAGCUUGGCCAAGAUCUUUGGUCUUGAAUGGGAUUGUGAUAUAUUCAUAUCAUUUCGUGUUUAGGAUGCAUUUUUGGUCCAAGAAUAGAGCCUCAUGCAUACAUUUUAGAUAGAUUCUUCAUGUUUUCUUUGUUUUAGAGGUUUAGGACUUUGCAUUAGGUCCAAGUGAGUCUUGCAUGUUUGGAGUGUCAAUCAGGUGCUUUGGAGGUCAUCUGGAGAUGAAAAUAUGGAACCAGGUGAAGAAAUGGUGAAAGAAGGGCAAGAUAUGGUAAAAAUGAGGUUUUGGAGGUUAUCGGCAAAAUUGCUUACUGCGGGAAGAUUUUUAUCGGCCAAAAAUCAUUCCCGGGAAGCAGUUAUCGGCCAAAACAUGUACCAGACCAAGUCUGUAUCGGCAAAAAUCCUUUGUCGUGGGAAAAAAUGUUUAUCGGCUAAAAUACGUACCGCAGUACGUAACUUAUCGGCCAAAACGUGAAUUAUCGGCCAAAAGUUUCCCGACCCGAUAUGCUUCAAAGAUGCCUUUACCAGAAAGCUUUCUCGUCCGAUUCAGUUUCUAGUGUUUUCACAAACGUUCAAGAGAAUUGAGUCACAAUUCCAGAACAGUUGGAAUCAAUGGAUUUGGAGCAGUGAGCUGAAAGAUACGGCCAACAGAAGAUGAAUCUGCCUCGCAUCCAUUCUGGUCAUAUCCGAUGCGACUCAAAGAUCACUCAGGAUGAAACUCUUCCCUUCCAAUCUAGUUUCCGGGGCUCUAUCAAGAUUUGAGAGAUUCGAGUCAUAUUUCCAUAACGCUUAGAAUCAUUCCAUUUGGAGUGUUGAGUUGGGAGAUAUCGCAUUCGGGAGACAGACAUGCCCUGCAGUAAGAAACUAGAACCUCCCGAGCCAAUGCAAUGAUCCGUUUACCGGAAGGCCUCUCUCACCCGGGAUGCACUUAAGUUCUUCAUCAAAGUUGUAUGGAAUUGAGCUGCCUUUCCUCUGGAGUUUCUCUCGAGUCAUUUAGACUCAUAUCCCACAAGUUAUGCUAGCUCAAGUAAACAUAGAUCCGAGGAAAUGAGAAAUGCUGCGACAUGGCUUUGCGACUCGGUCAACUUGCAGCGAUGAAUGUUUAAAUUCUGGGAGCAAGCUGAGACUUGAAAUGAUGCGGGUGAGGUGACUCGGAGCAGGGUAAGGAUUUCCAAAGCUCAAAUAUUUCUAAGUCCAGAACAGCCUAUGACAUGGCAGUGCGAGAUUGAUGAUGAGAUGAACCAUGUCGCACACACACUCGCUUGGGGCCGCGACAUGACAGUGCGAGAUGGAUGAAGAGAAGUAACAUGUCGCACUCCUACUCUCUUGGGGCUGCGAACGUGAAGCUGUGAGUGGGAAAAGAAGGAUUUAAGCUGCAAGUACAAUUGCUUGAAUGAUACGACAUGAAAGUGCGGCUGAAGAAGCAAGGGAGCUGAGACGUAACAACAUUCACUUGGGGCUGCGAGAUGGCAGUGUAGGUGAACUGAAGCCAGGACCAUCUCGCACCAUGGCCACAUGACCCAACUGAACCAGGUCAGUACACAGUUUGUCUUGAGCUGACCCGCUCCAAAACACUUAGUAUAAAUAGCUUUUAGGGUUUUUUUCCAAAGAACAUCUCAUUUUCCUUUAGGUUUUUAGCCACUUUUGUGUAAGAGACAACUAAAGAGAGAUAUCUCCUUUCUUUUCUUUGAAUCAAAAAUGUUUGAGAGCUUAAUCUAUCUAUCUUAUCAUCAUUACUAUUCAUCAUCUUGUUUUCUCUAUCAACUAAUCAUGUUUAAUUACUUUUCUUGCAAAGGAAUCAGAGAGUUAAUCAUGAUUAGUGAGUAGUCGCGUCAUUAGGGUUCUAGAUAUGUAAGUUAGGGUGUUUAGAGGUUUGAUUAAGGCUGCUUAGGAUUAAAUUUAUACAUCUCUGUCUUGUUUAGCUGAUUUUAAUGCUUGGUUAUAGAUGAUCUCUCUAACCCAGAUUUUGGGCAUUUCAUCUACCCAAAACGUGUUUGAUGAAAUGCCUGAACCAGCUAAGUCAAGAGUCUAUUGUUUGAUUCACAUGAAAAUGUUGUUUUGAGCAUAGAUGGUAUAUUAGGAUUCGUGUUUAAUGCAUUCCUUUCAUUGUGACUCUAAUGAUGAUUAGGUAUGAGCAAUGUUUGGUAUUGUGUUUUGAUGCUUGAGAAAUAUUGAAACUUGAUUUGAAUCCUAAGCUGCUUAGAUCAUUCAUCAUCAUUGUCAUUAGCUCCUUGAUUAAACUAUGAUGCACCCUAGAAACUAUCAUGUCUAGAGCUCUAAGUUUCAUCAUAUUCAUAUCAUCUUAAUCAUUUUCUGUCUUUAUUUAUUGCUUGUUUAAUUCUUUAAUCUUGUUUAAUUGCAAUUCUGUCACUUGUUUGAAACUAAAACAUUUUGUUUGUUUGAAUUAAGAAUAGUUCAUAUAGAUUAGUGAACUAAACACCACACCUUGGAUUGAUAACCUUUGUACUACAACAGACAAAGGGAUUGAUACCCUAAGAGCCUUGAAAAAUCUUGUCUACCAUAUUGAGAGAAUCUUCUAAAUAGACUUGACAGCUUCAUCAUCAUUGCUCGCUAUAAGGAUGUCAUCGACAUAGAUCAGGAGAUAAAUAAAUAAUGUACCUGUUAGCUUCACAAAGAGGGUGUUAUAUGCAUAAGACUGUACAAAUCCGGCAUCAAGUAAGACCUUCGACAAACACUUGUACCAUUAACGAGAUGUCUGCUUCAAGUCAUAGAUGGAUUUAUCAAGUUUGCAAACCUGAUUAGCAGGCAGAUGAACAUCAGCUGGAGUGUAACAUCGUGGCAAGCUCAUGUAUAUCUCCUCAUCGAGCUUACUGUGCAAGAAAGCAUUGGUUACAUCCAUUUGGGUUAAGCUCCAACCCAUUCAUGCGGCUAAACCAAGGAUAAGCUUCACACUGGCAAGCUUGGAAACUGGGAAAAGGUGUCAAAGUAAUCAACACCUUUUUGUUUUGUGUAUCCCUUUGCUACCAGGCAAGCUUUAUAACGCUCCACAUUUCCAUCUGCAUUAUACUUAAUGGUAAACACCCAUUUACAACCAACAACAUUUUCCCUCGGAGGCAAUGACACAACACUCCACGUAUUGGUUGACUCCAUUGCUCCGAAUUCCAAAUUGAAAGCAUCAGUCCAUUCUUUGGAUGAAAUCACCUGCUUAAAGGUGUUAGGCUCAGUCUCCAUUGAAAAAGAGAGAACAAUAGACUGAUAUGGGGUGUUAAGAGUAGAGUAAGAGAGAACAGAAGAAAGAGGAUAUGGAGUAGUAUAAACCUUUAUAGAAAUGGGAGGAGUAGAAAUUUUUGUUAAAGAACAAUGAUAAUUGGACAAAUAACGUGGUACUUUUGUCGAGUGUUUUAGCCUGGCAUUGGGAAGUGAAACCAGAGCAUUCUCUGUGACAACAGGGUGAUGGAUUUUCCUUGGAGCACUAGAGUGAGAUGAUGAUGCAUGUGAUGUAUAAAGCGGAGGAGAAUGGAUGGUCACAGUAGAUGAAGGAUGCAAAUUAUUAGGCAGUGAAAUCACCUAAUCUAAUGCAACAAGAAUUGGCAAUGGUAAUAUAAACUCUAAAAAAAUAUCAGAAGAUGAACUAGAAAGAAGAUGCUCAGUAAAAGGAAAUAUUGUCUCAUGAAAAACAACAUUUCGAGAAACAGAGAUAAUUUUUGAAUCAAGGUUCAAGACAUUAGAAUACCCUAAGAGUACACAUCGAUCCACACGAGGACUAAAAUUAUGUUUAUCCUUCUGUAACGUAGAAACAUAACAUAAGCAGCCAAAAGAUCUUAAGAAUAAGUAAUCGGGCUUCUUAAGCAUAACCAACUCAUAUGGAGAUUUGUGUUUAAGAAUAACAGAAGGUAAUCUGUUUAUCAAAAGACAACUCCAAAUGAAGAUCCGCUUGCGGCUAUAGCUAGAUCUGAGAGUUGCGAAUAUGCUUACAAAUUUUCAGGCUGAUCCAAUCCGAUUUGCCUGUCUGUUUCUCUCUUACACCAUAACAGGUCGGAUCUGCCACCUAGAUGGUUACAAUGGCUUCGCCUUUAAGGUUCUUGGCCACAAGAUAGCUCUCUGAUCUCUUCUAAGACAUGGCUGCUCUAUUUAUAGAGUGGAGAAGAGAUACUUCUAAAUUUAGAGUUUUAGAGAGGAAAAUAAUGAAAAUGGGUUUGAGAGUUUUUCUGAUGGGUUUUGAGUAAUCAGGCUGAAAAAAAAAAAAAAAAUUAGACCAAACCCUAUUCUUGGGAUGUCACAGAUUUAUUAGAGAAUAUAUUUACAUGAGUUUAUAAUUAUUUGUAUGAUAUUUACAUGAGUUUAUAAUUAAAUCGUACAUUAACAUAGCAUCGUUAUUGGAUAGUUAGUCGGAUCGGUUCAACCGGUCAUACGAAAAGUUUGUUUAAUAUAUAUAUAUAUAUAAGAAAAUAAGAAUAGUUAUUUUAAGAAAAAUAAAGAAAAUAAAAUUAAUUUCUUUUAAUUAUUUACAACUGCCAGCCAGCGAUUACAUCCGUCGCUUGAAGAAACUUAUUAUCUAAAUGAAUAAAUAAACUUUUAAUUUAUAGCGGUUCUAAGCGUCACAAAGAGAUAAGAAACAAGUUCAACGGUUUUAGUGAUUGUUAUUAAACGUCACGAAAAUAUAACCGUAUGCAAACAUAGCGUAUGUGGCUGGCAGCGAGAAAACUAUCCAACACUAAAUAUUACAUAUUUACUUUAAAAUUCAUGCCUGCUUAUUACCAAACCAUAUUUUUACCAAUUUUAAUUGUGACAUUUAAUGUCCGCACAUGCGUACAGGCCAGUCAUAAAUCUGAUAUAUUGCAUUCACAUCAAUUUGUGUGUAUUUUUGUUUUGAUAUGUCUUCUGAUUUUUUUCUGUCCUAUGUAACCAUUUUUUGAUAAUUUUAAUUGGUUGAUCAUUAAUCUUUACGUGUCUUUUAAAAGUGAUGUGGUAUAAUCGUUUUAAUUAGAUUAUUAAAGCUCGUUUAAGAUUGUCUUUUUAAAAACGACAAAAAAAAUCGGACAAAGUAAGUAAUAAAAAUAAAUGUAUGACCCAUAUAUUUGAAAGUGUCACUGGCCCAAUGGCAGAAGUCUCCCUUAUGCAUUUGAAGGACAUGUGUUUGAACCAAGGUGGUAACAAUUUUUUAAAAAAUCGUAGAAUUUUAAAACGACAUCGUUUUGAGUUAACCUAACAGUAACAGCAGAGUUAACAGCGUUUAACUUUUCUGUUAACUUUAUAAACGGAGUGCUGAUUUGGCAAGUCAACGAAAAGUUUGUUAUUAUUUAUGGAAGUCAACAAAAAUUAAAUGUUUAUUUGGCUAGCCUGACAGUUCAUGCUUUUUUUUGGCAAAAUGUGGAAAGUUUAAGGUUUUUUUGGCCGAAUUCUCAAAAUAAACUCAUUAAAGUUCGUUUAAAUUGUUUUUUUAACCAAUAAACAUUAAAACCUGUUUAAGAUUGUCUUUCUAAAAACCAAUUAAAGUCUGUUUAUAGUUGUUUUUAUUAAAACCAAUGAACUCAAAAAACCUAAUAUACUUCUUCGAUACACUAAAUAUAUAUAUAUAUAUCCUCUCUAACAUAGUUUGUCUUUUAAUGUUCUCUUUUUCGGUAAACAUUACAUUUGCUUUUUUCUAUUAAUUUUAUUAACGUACGCUUGAGUUUGAGUUUGUUGCUUGUGCUUAUAAAUUUUUUUGUAACAAUUCCUAAUCUUUUUAAGAUUAUGAUUGAAAAUGUUAGUAUAAACAACCAUAGUUUAAAAAAUAGCAUCAAUGUUCACAUACUCGUGAAACAAUGUAUAGCAUCAAGUCUAUCAAUUUUUUUGGUCUCUUAUUUUAGAUUUGAUGCGGCAAAAAGAUUGCUUUGGGAACCAAGUCUUUUUUUUUGUUGGAAUUAUCUUCUAUUCUUGUCAGUUUUUAUUUUUCAUGCAAACGUUGACAUUAAAAUCUCUUUGUUAGAUUUGAUACCAUAUUAAAUUUCAAAUCUGAAUUAAUCAUUAUAUUUAUACAUUAUUAUUAUGGAUGAGUUUAUUUUCGUUAUCUGUAGCCCAAACUCUCUUCCCACGAAAAAAACGAUUAAACCAAUAAUAUUUAUUAUAAACAGGCCGAUAGACUUUAGUAUAAACAAGUUUCAAUAGCCUAAUUAUAACAAAAUUUGUCACAUCGCUUUAAAGCACGUAUAGAAUUAAUGAACGAACAAAAAAUAAAUACAUGACAUGUCAGGACAAAACGACACAUAAGAUUUUGGACUUCACAAAUAAUAGUAACUAGGAAUUAACAUGCACAUUGUGCGGGGUAAUGUUUUUAAGAAUUUUAAAUAUUUUUUAAAAAAAUUUUGGUUAAGUUAAAAAUUGGUAGCAAAAACCUUUUAACAAAAAAUAUAAAUAAAUAAAAUUGGUAGCAAUUAGAUAACUAUAUAUAUAUAUAUAUAUAUAAAUAUCAUACAACCGAUAUUUACGUGUAUAUGUAUCUAUUGAAAGAACUUUGAGCUAGUUUUGUUAUGCGGUGUAAUUAUUAGUAGUUUUUAAAUGUGAAGGUGAUGUGAUGUUAAUAUAUUCAUACUUAUAUACUGCUGGGAUAAAUUCGAUCCUUCCUACAUGGACGAACUGCAUGCUUGCACGUGGCGUCCAUGUUUUUUUUUUCAGGUACGGCCCCCCUGGGCCAAAUUAGGAUCCGUAGUGGGUCGUAAGCAUAUAGCACUGGGCCUCGAAUCCAUAAGGAUUCGGGAGAUCCGGUACGAUAGAUCACUUGUUCCCGGGUUCCUCGUAUCUAAUAGUGCAGGCCACGCUGUCAGAAGUAAGGAGGUCGAAACUGAGUGGUCAAGAGGAGGAGAAGUCCCAUUUUCUAUGUCCUAGGCCUAAACAUGGUAAUCCGGAAAGGUCGAGAUAUAAGGUAGUGUGGCCUACACAGGAUCUGGAGAGCGGAGUCAUCCAUCGAGACAACCCCGACAGCCCGGUCCCAGUAUCGAGGGAUCCAUGUCAGGUAUGAAAUAAUUUUAUGAGCGGAAAACACUAUUCAAAUUUUCCUCCAUUCGAUAAUAGGAAUAUGCCUUAGUAUGAUUUGAUUGCCCAUACUCUUACAAAACCAUGAAAUUGGCAUUUAAUGCACCCUUCUUACAUGUGUCAGGCGACAGCGACCUUUCACAGAAACUAGAGGAAAAGAAGAGGUUCAUCAAGAGUUAUACCGCGUAUGAACCGCCAACCCAAUCCGUACACUGGAGACGAAAGGAACAUGCUAAGGAGCGGUCUCGCAGCAGGCAGAACACGUCAAGGAAAGUUGGUGAGACCGUCAGAGGUAUGACGUGGGAAAAAGAUUUGAACCCAAUAAAAUCGGAUCGAGAACCGACCAACCCACCCGACUCGCUAUGCAAGGACAGACCCGGUAUACUAACCCGGGUCAGGUAAAAUCCUAUAAAUACAUUAUCCUUUCCAACAAGGAAGGAGAUCACUUUUAUUUGCUAUCUUAAGGCUCAUAUUAUCUCUCUAGAUACUUGUGAUCUUUGAGCCCUAACAUAUUAUACUUUCCGGUCAUUACUCAGAACAAUGUUUUAGUUCUUCUCCACGGCGGUUCCUAAAUCGUGGAGUAUUUCCACCCACAAACUCUUUCAUUUCUUCUCUUUUAACUAAUUCUUUAUAAGGAACGCUGGGCCCAUCUUUCUUCUCUCGUUUUCCGAACUCUUUCCUCUCUCCAAUUAGUCACUCUGUGAUCUUUCUUCACUGUUUUCUGACUUGAACGUCGGAGAACCUUCCGAAAACACACCAUCAUCGUGUUUUUUGGGCCUUCACGUGCUUUCUGUUUUUGCAAGAGACUUACCCCCACAAAGGAUCAAAAAUCUCUAAAUAGUUUAGCGCUAGAAAGAGGAGGGCAACACUCUUCUAUAGGAAGAACUGAAACCAUACACGACCUUGAAGGUAUGUCAUGACAAGAGAAGACGGAGGUAGCUCACCAGAGAACGACACCUUGGAGGGGAUGGAAGGAGAGAACAUCUGCUGGGUCGACAGACCGACCAAGCUAUUCUCGGGAUGCCCGAUGAUAAGGGGAACAUCUUUGGUUCCCCACGCCGCCGCCAAACGCACACUCAGAACUCGUCCAGAGUGUAGAAGAAAAUGCCCUGUAAAAUUCCUUACAUCCAAAAACCUUAGUGAAAGUGUUGGCAAACUGGUCAUUAUAUAUAACAAAUGAGUUAAAGACUCGUGGGCAAUGCCCAAUAAAGUCUGCCAUGGAUUGGUCCUGUACAACAGUUUUUAUAUCAAUUAAAAAGUGCAGGCCUCGUAGGUUGAUCGAUUGCAGUUUGCGGAUUAAACAAUUGGGAUCUAUACUAGUUUCGGCAAAGAUAAUUGACAAGAACGUCCAAAACCGGCUAAGUGAAAGACAACGUCUUGGAGACCAAAAGUAUGAAAGAAGCCUCAUGUAUUGGUUUGCCACACACAAAAAAAAAACUAUUUGUUUUUAGUUUCCAUUUUAUAAAAAAAAACUAGGUAUUUAGCCCUUUUUUGCAUGGGCAGAGAAGUUUAUUAAAUAAUACUAGGAGAGAAUCCGCGCGUAUGCGCAGAUCUUGUUUUAAUUUAUAUUUUGAAUAAUUUGUAUUGAAUUUUAUGUUUACUAUUAUUGUAUUUUUGUUUAGAAUAUUUAUAAUAAAUUAUUUGUAAUCUCUUCUACACCAGUUGUGUCAAAUAGUCUAAUUUUUUCUUCGAUCUUCAUAUUCUUUUUAUUCUUGUAAAUCUUACUAAUAUAAUAUUUGUUAAUUUUCUUAAUUUUCUAUUUGAAUUUUUUUGGUUAUAUAUAUUUUAUUGAUACCAUCUUUUUAUUAUUAAAAAAAUUAUAUAUGACAUUUUUAUGUGGAUACUUUUUUUUACUAUUAUUUUUUUAAUAACUUUUAUCUUUUUAAUAGUUUAUUAAAUAUGCUUUGUGUUUUAUACUUUUAUUAGUUGAAUUUUUAUAUAAGAUUAUUUGAAACUUUUUAAUUUAGUCAGUCUCAUAAUUUUUUUCACUUGCAUUAAAAUUUAAUUAUAUUUUUAGUUUGUAAAUGAAUUUUAAAACAUUUGAAAAAAGAAAAUAGAACUAUGCAAUUAAAAAGUCUUAUAUUAUAUAAUAGUUAUAAGUUUUUAUAUAUUAAAAUUAAAUUUUAAUUUUAUUCUAAUAUAAAUAUAUGUUAAUAUUUAUUUAUGUUUUUAAUGUGUUUGCUUUAAAUAUGAUUAAUUAAUUAUUUUGUUAAUAUUUGAAGAGGAUAGGUGGUGCUCUCUCCAGUGCUGACGUGUCGCUCAACUGGAGAGAGUUGGCCAAAUUUUAUAUAUAUGACUAGGAGAAUACAUGCACGUAAUAUGCGGGUUUUUUCUUUAAUUAUUUCAAAUUGAUAUAUUUUUGUAUUUUUCUUAAAGAAAUAUAGUCAUCAUUUCUUCUAUGUUACUAUAUAAUUAUAAAUCAAUCAAUUUAAAAUUUAAUAUUAUUAAAAAAUCAAGAGUUUAUACAAAAAAGCUAUCAAUGUUUUAGCAUAAAUUCUUGUUUAAUAUUUAUAUAACUGUUAUUUAAGAAUCAGUUAAUAAAAAAAAACUAUUUUCUUUGAAUGGUUGAGAAUUUAAUACUAAAAUUUAUUAAUCAAUUUUUUUUUGAUAAUUGUAACUUUAAAUUAAAAAUUGACAAAUGUCAUCUCUAUAUUAACUCUAAAAUGCUGAUGUGUCACUCAUAUAUAGAGAGUUAGCCAUCUUUUAUAUAUAAGAUUAUAAGUAAACAAUAUAUUUGGUAGUUUAAUCUUCAUCUCUAAAGUAAUCAUUAUUUGCAUAGAUUAGUUUUAUGCAUUAUUUUAUUCAUUCAACUUUUAGCCUCAAAUUUCUCCUUUUUUGGCUAAAUUGACUAUCCUUACUGAUUUUUAUCUUCUCGUAAGCGUAGACGUGAAACCAUUUUAUCCAGUUGUAUGUAACAAAUCAAUCUUUUUUGCUAGCUUUGAUACCAUAUUUAGUUUCAUCUCUGAAAAUUUCAUUAUAUAUACAUUAAGUUUAAAGAUGAUUUUAGUUCUUCAUUCUCUUGAAAUUUCUCCCUGUUUAACGAAAAUUGUCUCUCUUUGGUUGAUACUUAUCUUUUAUGCAAGCGUGGAUACAAAACUUUAAUAUCAUGUUGAUACCAUGUUAAACUUUUUUAAAAUUAUAGUCAUUAUUUAUAGACAUUAAAUAUAUAGAUUAUUGUAACUAGGUGAAUCUCCGCACGUUACGUGCAAGUUUUUUUUUCUUCAACUAUUUCAAAUUUCAAAUUCCUAAGAAAAAUGCAAUCCUACUUUAUUAUGUGUUAGAAUAUUAUUAUAAAUCGAUCAUUUAAAAUAUAAUAUUAUUAAAAAAUUAAGAUUAUACAAAAAAAAAUCCAUCAAUAUUUUUAAUUAAUUAUAACAUAAAUUCUUGUUUAAUAUUUACAGAAAUAUUAUUUAAGAAUCAAUUAAUAAAAAACUUUUCAUUUUCUUUUAGUGUUUUAAAACUUCAUAUAAAAUUUAUUAAUUAAUUUUCCUUAAAAACUUUUGUAACUUUAAAUUAAGAAAUAUGACACAUAUCAUCCCUAUAUUAACUCUCAAAUGCUGAUGUGGCAUUCGUAUGAAGAGAGUUGGCCUUCUUUUAUAUAUAAAAUUUUUCAUUCUCUCUAGUCGGAAAUUUCUUCCUCUUUUGUCGGAAUUGUCUUUUGUUCUUCUAUGUUUUUAUAUUUCAUGCAAGCGUGUACAUAAAAUUAUUAUAUCAGAGCGUAGGUAAACAAUUCUUUUGUUAGCUUUGAUACCGUGUUAAGUUUCAAAUCUGAAUUAGUCAUUCUUUUAUACAUUAUUUUUUAUGGACGAAUUUAUUUUCAUUCUCCGUAGUUCGAUCUCUCUUCCCACGGAAAGACGAUUAAACUAAUAAUAAGAAAACCGCAGACUUUACAUUGAAACGAGCUGCAGAUAAAAUUUAGAAUAAAAUGGACUUUAAUGAUCCAGUUAGUAUGAACUAUGACACAUCACUUUCAAAACACACAUAGUAUAAAUGAACAAUUUAUUAAAAAGCUAGCUUUAAUACCAUGUUAGAAAAUAAACUAAUCCUUUUUGCUAGCUUUGAUACCAUGUUUAGUUUCAUCUCUGAAUUUUUCAUUAUAAAUAUACAUUAAGUUUAAAGAUAAUUUUGGUUCUUCAUUCUCUAGAACUUUUUCUCUGUUUAACGGAAAUUAUCUCUAUUUGUCAGUACUUAUCUUUUAUGCAAGUACAGCCACAAAAUUUUGAUAUCAAAGCGUAGGUAAUUAAACAAUUUUUUUGGUAAUUUUGAUAUCAUGUUAAUCUUUAUCUUCAAAAUAGUCAUUGUUCAUAUACAUUAAUUUUAUAGAUUAUUUUAAUUCUUCAUUCUCUCUAGCUGGAAAUUUCUUUCUAUUUUGUCAAAAUUGUCCUUUAUUUUUUUGGUUUUCAUCUUUCAUGCAAACAUGGACAGAAAACUAUUAUAUCAGAGCGUAGUUAAACAAUUCCUUUGUUAGUUUUGAUACUGUGUUAAGUUUUGAAUCUGAAUUAAUCAUUAUUUUAUACAUUAUUUUUAUGGAUGAAUUUAUUUUUGUUCUCCGUAGUCUAAUCUCUCUUCCCACAGAAGGACGAUUAAACCAAUAAUAAGAAAACCAUAGAUUUUUUAAUUAAAUAAGACCGCAGAUAAAAAUUAGAAUAAAAUUGACUUUAAUGAUCCAGUUAAAAUGAAGUAUGAUACAUCACUUUUAAAAUACAUGUAGGAUAAAUGAAUGACCUAUUAAAAACAUUAAAAAAGUCAAUAAGUUAGAAAAUAAACUAACCACACAUCAGAUUUUUUGCUUCAGAAAUAUAUCGAUUGAAAAACAAUGUUGCACUUGAUGUACAAAUGGCUUUUGAUUGAAUAACUAUUACAUUCAAUUAAAAAAACAAUAACGCCUAGAGAGACUAGAAGUGCCUUUAACCAAAGUAAUUAACUAACCGUCAACACCAUAGAUGGCGCGAUGCUCUUCGACAGAGGAUCAAGACACAAGCUGCUGUUUUUGAGACUUCAAAGAUAUAGAACAACCACCAAACUGAAUAAUAGAAUCUGUAUAAUAACGUCUUGUUGUUGGGCAUCAUGCCCGGCCGGAACUGCCCCAUGCAAUAAGAGACAGAUGAGUCUUAGCUUUUAAAAGAAAACCAUGUCACAGAUUGCCUUUGACCUUGAGUAAACAUAUAAACCUUGUUGUUGCAUCCCAAUGAGUCUGUUUUGGUUCUUGCAUGAACUAAGCAACAAUGUGGACCAGUGUUAAUCUGCAGGUUCAGGAAUUGUACCUCUUUUAACUAAAGCAAGACGUACGAUGGUUCUUCUCCAGAGGCACAGGUCUCCGAAAUGAUAUUAUGAUGGUCACAAAAUGUGAAAGCAGUUUUAAAAAUGUUUCCUACCUAAAAUCCCAAGCGCAAGGCUGAAAUCGAAGUAGUACUAGGUACAAAUUCACAGGGAGGAAGCAGAGUCGACCCUUGGCCAAUCCAAGAAAGCCUAUACUUCCGGCUGAUUCUUUUAUAAAAAAAUAUUUGGUCCUCAAUUAUUCAAAACUUGUCUUAGUCUGGUCAGACUGAUCGUAAAGUCUUAUGUGGCGCUUUUAGUCCCCAUUCCGUGUUCGAAUCUGCAAAUUGCCUUAGUUGUUGGGUCUAUAUGAAAAACGUUGAGAGUCUUUAGAUUUCUGGUAGUCUAUACUCUUAAGGGAAAAAUAAACUUCCUUGGCAGCCUGUUAUAAUCUUAUUUCUUGGACCCAACAGUACGAACAAUGAAAUCGCACUACACAAAACCAAAGAGAAUAUAAUACAGAGACAACAUAAACAACAAACGAUAUUAUUAUGCAAAGAGCAGACAUUACAACUCGAACACUGAGACAUUACAUUAUGAAACUUUAUUCCCAUAGAUUCUUUUUCUUGAGUUACUUCAUUACAAACUCACCAUGGUUCACUUAUAGUCAUACACACGUAUAACUGUAUUAUAUAGAUGUAGCCAUGCAUGGUGGUUAAUAUAAUAUGAAGUUUUUAGUUACCAGGCUGAGUCUCAACUGCUUCUACUCCGUGCCCUCCUCUUCCUCCGUGUCCACCGCGUCCUCCUCUUCCUCCUUUGUAUCCUCCCCCUCCUCCUCCGUAGUGUCCCCCUCCUCCUCCGUAGUGUCCUCCUCCUCCUCCUCCUCCGUAGUGUCCUCCUCCUCCGUAGUGUCCUCCUCUUCCUCCUCCGUAGUGUCCGCCGCGGCCACCACCAUAUCCAUCAGGUUUCACAGUUUCCUCACUCUCUGACUUCACCCCUGUCCAAAAAAAUAUAGAAAAAUCACAUUAUUUCAAAGAUAUUGUUUAGCACGUGCAAAUGUUCUUUCCUCUCCCCGAUUUCAAAAACGAAAUUUCUCUUAUAAACAUUUUAAAAUAUGUAUCGAAUCUCUUGUUUAGAAUAAAGAAUUAUGAGUUUCAAAAUUAAAUAUACGUUCUAUAUAAAAUUUUCACCAAUAUACGUAAGUGUCUUUUAUUACUAGGACAUCAACAUCGUACUUAAGUGUGUUUUUUGACUUAUAAGUCCAUAUAGUUGACCUUCGUUCAAAUCAACCUUCCGGACUUAACACGGACGAAAUAGACAAAUAGAGACAAUAUUAUCAAAUAUGGUACGUUUGUUUGGGUUCGAUUAGCUUCACGAACAUUUAUUUUGUUUCUAUAAAAUAAUUUUAUUUACCCGAUGAUUGCCUUUCUGCGGCAACUUCUGAGACGACGAGAAGUAAUGCAAAGAGACCCAAAAGAAUCAAAGCUUUGGAAGCCAUUUUCUUCUACUGCUUUUAAGUUUAUAACACUCUUUUGUUUUGUUGGAGAAAGAAGUGAUGAAUAAAAUGUUCGCCUGCAUGCUCUCUAUUUAAAGAAAGGGUAACGAAGAGGAGAAAAGUCAAAUAACUAAUCCGUGGACCGUAGUGCAUUAAAAAUAACGAGGAAUUUUAUUUAUUAAAGAGAUAAGUAAGGGUAUUUGCAUUAUUUGCAGAUAAUGACAAAAAGAGCAAUUCAGUAAAAUAGGAUUGAGACUGUGCUUCGCGCGGAUUGUAAUUUAUGUUCAUGUUUUUAUAUAUUUUAUAUAUUAUUUCUUAAGAAAUAAUUUGUUGAUAAUUUUUUCUUAGUUUAAUAGUUUUAUUUUUAAGUUUACAUUGUAUUAACAAUAUCUGUGUUCUGUUAGUUAUUCUUACUGGUAGAUUAAAAACUCUAUAAAUUAAUAAUAUUAGGACUUUGAUAUUUUAUUAAUUUUUAGAGUUAUUAAUUUAGAGGUUUCAAAUAAAAAACUAUUUCUUAUUAAUUUUAAAAUUAAAAAAAAAUCGUUGAAAUUUAUAAUAUUUUUAAAAAAUUAAAAAAAAUAAAAAUGAGUUCCAAGAAGACUUCAAUUUAAAUUAAACAAAAACAUAGUAGAUUAUCUCACUUAUAUGUUUAUAUCAAAUUUUAUUUAUGGUAAUUAUUAAUUUAUGAUAAUAAUGGGACCAUAGAUUUACAUAAGAGUUUUGUUAAGUUUAUUAUCUUAUUAUCUUAUCGAAUUGUGUCAUAAUUUGAACUGGCUCAACGUAACUCAGAACUAUGAAAAAUUAUUAAUUUAUGUAUUUAUUAAUUUAUCGAGUAUUAAUUUAUAGAGUUUUUAUUGUAUGUCUAUAUAAAAAUAGUUUUUUUAAUUAUAUUAUUAACUUCUGUAAUUUUUUAUUUUGUGUGUUUUUAUAUUUUAUCUGUACUAUUGUGUGACUCUAAUUAUAAUUAUUUAAAUUAUUUUUUUAUUUUUCUUAAUUUAUACUCUCUAAAUUAUUAUUUUUUAAUUCAUACUCCGUACAAAUUUUUAUUUUUAGUCAUCUAUUAUUUUGAAUUGUUGAAUAACUAAUUUAUCAUAUUUUUCUUUUUUUGAAAAAAAAAUUUAUACUCCUUUUCCAUCUUCAUAUUUUUAUAAUUUAUUAGUUUUAUCUUUUUUUUUUUUUUUAUCUUUAACGUUUCUGUUUUUGUAUUUUAUAAAAUUCAUCUUCAUUAGUUUCAUGUUCUUCAUUUUUUUAUUUAUUUUUUUCAUUUUCCAAUGGUUUUUGACUUCUACUUUUCUUCCUCCUGUUUUUUUUUAUUCUUUUUUCAUUGUCUUUUUUUUUAAUUAUCAUCAUUUUUCUAAUUUUUUUCAGUUUAUAUAAUAUAUUAUUUUUAAUAAUAUAUAUAUAUUUAAUCCAGUUAGUAUUACAGUUUUCUUUAAAUAUUAAUAUCUAAUUGCCACUUAUCUUUUUAUUAUACUAAUAUUUAUUUUAUUUAAUUUAAUUUGUACUAAAUAUACUAAUAACAAAUAUAAAUAUAUAUAUAUAUAUGUAUUAAAUGUUUAUUUUAAAUAUGCUUUAAUGUUAAAAUUUAUGAGUUUGUUGAUGUGGACACCCUAGAUGGAGAUAAAAUUCUCUUAUUAUAUUACAGAUUAUAAAAUAUUUGUUCUUUCUCAAGGGAACAAAAAUACUUUUUUAUUUUUUUGUUGAAUGUUUCAUUUGAUUGUUAAGGGAAAAAACAGUUUUUUUGUCCCAUAUCGUGUUACAUUUUUAUAUGGACAGGUAAUUUUUUUUUUUUAGGGCUAAACAAAUUUUAUAUAUUAAGAAUAAGGAUUACAAUCUGCAAAUACAGCAUUAGACAACCAUAAAGGUGGAUACAAUUUUGAUGAAUAAAAAACAGCAUUACACAACCAUAAAAGUGGAUACAAUUUUUAUAUGGACAGGUAAUUUAUUGAUUGGAUUUUUUUAUACAGUUUAUUAAAAUAAUUCGAAUGUUUCUCCUCCACGUAUCAUGCUACUUUCUAUUGAAUGAAACCUUUGUCUCAACUUUAAUUUUAUAUUUGAAGUAUAUAAAUAAUUUAGUGCGUUAAAUAUCGGUUUAUUUAUAUAUUUUUUUCUUGAUGGUUUAUUUGUGUUUGAGAAUUUUUUUUUUUUAACAUUUUCUUAGAUUAAUUAAAGAAAUCCAGCCGGUUAAAGCAGUACAGUGAAGCUGUAAAGAGCUCGUUCUGCUAUCUCAUCAGUUAAAAGAUUGUCUGAUUGAGGAAUGUGUUCGAAAAAGAUGCAAUUGAAACAGAGUGACAGAGAGACUAUAUCGAAAGUAAUCCCCGCGAUCUCUUUGAUUUUUGUCCCUCGAUUGAUUGCUCUGAUCAGAUCCGAAGAGUCCGAUUGGACAUGAAGCUUUGUGAUCCCGAGAUUUGUGGCGUGAGUCAUGGCAGAUCUCAGGGCUAGAGCUUCAGCGAUGAUCGGGGAGGUCACAAAUUCUUCGAUAUCCAUACCCUGGUUCCAUGGUGGCGAAUUUCCUCAACGGAAAACCCAACCCAAUCUGCCGAUCUGAUUCUCUUCCUUCCAGGCCACAUCGGUUUGCACAAUGGUAUGGUCUGUUGGGAUUUCCUUCGGAUCUCAUGUUUGAAGAGUUGAAAUCUCCCUUUCCUGUAGGUCAUGUGCCUGAAUCCAAUCUCUUGCAUUGCAGAUGGCUUUGUUCACCGUUUCUAAUGGUGUGAAUGUUCUGUUCUCGAACAGUCGGUGGUUCCUGGAUAACCAGAUGGCCCAGCAGAUCCAGGGGAAGAGUAGUCCGGCUUCUAUUCCUGUUGGAGGUAGAGUGACCCAUCCCUUCGAUGCUUUGAGCCCUGUUGCAAAAUCCGGAAUGAAAAAGGGAUCUAUGGUGUAUUUGAAGGGCGCCAGUGACCAAACCGCCUUGGCGAAGUGACAGUAGAGGAAAAGGUGGUCAGCUGUUUCUCUUUCUCUGCAUAGACUGCAGGAAGCGUUGUUGGAGAGUCCCCCGGUAAGUAGAUUUGCUCCAGUUGGUAGUGCUUUCUUGAGUAUCUUCCAUAGAAAGACCUUUAGUUUUAGGGAAGUUUUCUUAUGCCAGAUAUCUGAGUUCCAGUUAAUUGUGGUUGUCUGUGCAUGAGAGAGUGGUUACUUCAUUCGCUGAUGUGUCGCUGUGUGGUAUCCUGACUUGGUCGAAUAAUUUCCAUCUCUGUUUGGGGUCCAAAUGUAAGAGUCUUCUCCGCCUCUUUUGCUUGGUUUUAUGCUUAAGAUCACAGAUGAGAGGUGUGGGACAAUAACUUCAAUCUUUCUUGUGUCCCAGGUGGUUGAGUUCUCUUUUAUUAGGUCUGAGACCAGCAGAUCUUUAUUGGCGUUGGUGGGAAGGCCAACUACUCCUAGCAGUGAUGUCGUCGAUAGCCAGGGAUCGGACCAUAGGUUGGUUUUUCGUCCAUUUCCAAUUAUUUUGCUUAUAUUUGAUUGCAGGAUAUCUUUGCCAAUCAUGAUUCCCCUCCACCCGUGGGAAGAGGAAGAUGUUGAUUCAGCUCUGAGGAAGGUUGUGGACCGGUGGUAUCUUCUUUUGAGAACUCGGGCCAGUAGACACUAUGGGUUUAUCAAGAUUCUCCAACUCAGUUUGGCCAGUAAGGUGUCGUUGAAGCACUCAAUGUCACAGAAACCAAGACCACCCUCUUUCUUUGUUCUUGUUAGCUUUGACCAUGCUAGCCAACACAUUUUUCUUUUUUCAGGGUUGGCGUCCCACCAAAAGCGAGUAAGAGCGGAUUGGAUGCGUUUGCAGAGACUUGCAGGGAGCUUGAAGCACGACAUCGUGUACGCUGGGAUGGCUGAGAGAACUGUCUUCAGCAUCGUGAUUUUACCCGCCGAUGAUAGAAAUUUUGUUGACCAACUCGUUGACGUAUCCUGUCCACAAUCUGAGUAAAGAGGUCUUUUUUCCUUCUCCCAAAAUGUUCGGGUAAGCCAAGGUACUUCCCUUUACCUCCCUCUUGACUGAUUCCCAGAUCCUGUUUAACUCUUUCUCGUACAUCAUCAGGAGUUUUGCAUGAGAAUGUAAAGGAUGAUUUUUGUAGAUUGAUCUUCUGUCCCGAGGCUUCUUCAUAUUUCCUGAGAAUUGCCAUGAGUUCUGCGCAGGCUUGGGGGGAUGUUUUACAAAAGAACAUUGUGUCAUCCGCAAAUAGUAAAUGGUUUAUUCUUGGGCUUUCUUUUGCAACUCUAAUGCCUGACAAGCGGCCAUUCUGUUGAGCUUUUUUGCAGAGACCAGAGAGCACUUCACCACAUAUGAUAAAUAUAUAGGGUGAUAGUGGAUCACCUUGUCUGAUGCCGCGUUGAGGGAGGAUUGGAACGUACGCUGGGUCAUUCACCAGAUACGAAUAGGAGACUGAGGUGAUGCACAUCAUUAUCCAAGUAAUCCACUUCUCAUUGAACCCAAGCCUUUUCAGCACCGUUUCAAUGAAGCCCCAUUCCAGGCGAUCAUAUGCCUUACUCAUGUCAGUUUCAACUGCCAUGAAGCAGUGUUUUUUCUCUUUAGAUCGUUUGAGGAAAUGUAGAGUCUCAUGUGUUAUCAUGACAUUGUCUGAUAUGACCCUUCCAGGGACAAAAGCUGAUUGGGAUUCUGAAAUGUUUUUUUUCCAGGAUAGGUUGGAGCUGCUUGGUGAGAAUCUUCGAGAAGAUUUUGUAAAAGACACUACAGAGUGCGAUUGGCCGGUAGUCGGAGACUGUACGUGGAGCAUUGUGUUUUGGUAUCAGCCGAACCAAAGUAUGGUUGAUGGAGCUGGGGAAAGAUCCGGAACUAAAGAAACUUUUGAUCUCUGAAGUUAUUGCAGGGCCUACUGUUGUCCAGUUUGAUCUGAAGAAAGAUGCAGAAAAGCCAUCAACUCCUGGAGCUUUAUCCAGAUAGAUGGAGAAGAGAACAUCGUUUGAGAAUAUCAAAUAAAUAUAUUUUAAAAGUUUUUAAAAAAUUAACUGCUACAGUUUCUACUUAUAUUUUUAUUAAUGCAUUUUAAAAACUUAAACCAGUUCAAAAAUUGAAACCAAAUAGUAUUAAAUUUGUAUACUAUAUAAAAAAAAAAAAUACACACUACUACCGAUAAAGUAAGCUACUAGUUAAGCUCAUUGCUUAGUCUUGUUGUACUUCUAGUUUGAUUUACAAUGGAAAUAGAAAAGAUGUUUUACGCCAUAUCAUAUAGUAUUAGCAAAGACUAGUCCCAAGAGAAGAGAAGUUGUAAGAAGGAUUAAGAUCAUGAAAAAAUACACACUCUAUAUUAAUCAUAUAUUUACCAUAAUAUUUUUUCAGUUUUCAUCAAUUCUAACAGUUUAUUUACAAAAACUAUGUAUCCGUGUAAUCUCCUUGGUUUAGUGAUUGACCAUAGAUUUAAUUUGAUUCCAAAACGAUGCUAGUUAAUGGAAUGCAAUUUUAUAGAAGGUUUAGCAUGGUGCAAAUAGAGCUGUUCGUCAUAAUUCAUCAGUCAAAGUAAAACUGCCCAUCACAAACAUGGUACAUGUAGAACCAUUUAUCGUGGAUUCUUGUAAAUAGAUAAAGAAAAUCAUUGUAUAGAAGCAUUUGUAUAAUUGUUUUCAUAAUUUAUAAUCCUUUAUACAGUAUUAAUCAAUUAGGGUUGAUAAAAAACAGUAGUUUCACAUUUAAUUUACAAAUAAGUCAUCUGAUGUGUCAUCGCCAUAAAACUUCUCCAAAAAAAAGUUAACUUACUAGAAUAAUUACAUUCAUGUCAUUUAGAUUACAUUCAUGUCAUUCACAUUUAAUUUACAAAUAAGUCAUCUGAUGUGUCAUCACCAUAAAAGUUCUUCAAAAAAAAGUUAACUUAUUAGAAUAAUUACAUUCAUGUCAUUUAGAUUUAAUACAUGCAUAUAUAUAUAUAUAUAUAUAUUAUAAUGAGAUUUAUGUAGAAUAUUAAAUUAAUAUUAUUUUUAAGUUUAUUCAUUUCUAUAAAAAAAAAUUAAUUUUUAUUUUUUGUCUCCAAAUUAUAUUACUUUGAUUCAAAGGGUUAUGAUUUUAUUUUCAAAAUUUCUUUUUUAUUGUGACAAUACAAGUUCAAUAUUUAUUUGCUCAAUAUAAUUUUUUAUUACAAAAUCUCUUAUUUUUCAUAUUUAAAUUCAAAUUUAUAUAAUGGAAGAUCUAACCUUCAUAUUAUUUUUAUGAUUAUUCAAAUGUAAAGCAUGUAAUAUAAUUCGCACACGUUUACUAAUGAUUAUUGAGAUAUAAAAAUAUAAUAGUGUUUAAUGCUAAAGGUCUCAUCAAACUAUAUUCUGAUUUGAUUAUAUCGUUUGAUGCUAAUAUAGUUUUAUGCUAUUGGUCUUAUCCAGGGGUGGAUUCAGAAAAAAAUUUAGUAGAUAGCAUAAUUUUAUAAAUAGGGAAAAACAAUUUUUUAUAUGAAAACAUAGUAUUAACAUAUAAUUUUAAUGAAAUUAAGUUAACAAUUGGAUUGUUUCAGCUUUUACAACUACUUUUAUAUUCAAAUAAGCUUUAAAGAUUGAAUUUUUUUUUCUUUUACUUUUUUUAUUAACAUGAGCAACAUAAUUUUAAACUAUAGGGAUUUUUUCCUUUUUAUCACUAAAUUAAGAACAUUUAAAUUUAAUUUACCAAAACUAUUUAGGAAAAAUAAAAACGGUAAGGGAAACAUGACCCGAUAUGGUCUUUACUAUGUCCGCCUCUGAUCUUAUCAAUCACACACGUACAAAGAGAUAUUCACGUGACGAGUUGCAUAUUUUAAUUUAAAAUUGAAUAAAUUUUUUUACAGAAUACUAUUUAUUUUACAUAUUCGAAUUCAAAUCAGAAUAUUUUUUAUUCAAAUAUAAUUGUAUUAAAUUUUAUAUUUAAAUUCAAAUCAAAUCAAAUAAAGCUUUUAUUUCUAAUCAUAAGAAAGUGUAUAGUUAAAUCAAAUUUUAAUAAAUUUGCAACUAACAUAUAUCUGCAGGGAUUAUUCAAUUAGAACAAGGUUUAUAUAGAAUAAAUAGAUUUUUCAUGGUAAGAGUAAUUUUCACUAUUGGUACUCCUUAUGGAAAGAUAAAUUGUUGCUAUUAAAUAAUUAGAUAUUAAAUACAAAAUUACGUUUUCUGAUUGAAGAGACAUUUGAUUUCGAAUUCACAUUCAAAUCUUCUUAAUAUGUGGGAAACCCUUGAUUUCCAGCACUAUUUAAUCGAUAUCGAUUAGCACCCUUUCUUAUGAUUAAACAAAUACAUACUAAUAUAAUUUUUAAAUAUUUCAUUUGCAAGACCGAGAUUACUACCUACAAGAUAACUACUUAGGCUAUUAAAAAGCUGACAAAAAGGCUAUUAAUAAAAAUAAAACUAUCAUUCUUAGGGAUUUACCAUAUGCUUCAUACAGUGUUUCCUUAAGAGUUACACUUCUAUUUGUCCAUUUACCGGUGAUAUUUUCCUAUUUUUAUUAACUCUAGCAAUUGUCAAUUACUUAAAAUAGGUUAUUACCAGCGCAGAAUAAAUAUUAAUCAUAAUUUUUUAUUUAAAUAUGUAAAUAUAAUGUAUAUAAGUACAACUAUAAAAAUGUUAGCUGAUAUUUUUAAUUACAACUAUAUAUGCUGAUUAUGCAAUCAUAAAUAAUAAUUAAAAUUACAUUUAUUUUGUAAUACAAAUACAUAAAUGCUAAAUAAUUAUUAGUUUUAUAAUUAAUUUUAAUAAUAUUUUUUAUAUGACUGAACUUACACAUUAAAUAUACUAAAUUAGAUUAAUAUGUUCUAUCUAACAGGUCUAACAUCAAACUAAAAUACUUUGCUUUUGAUAUAAAAAAUUGAAUUAUAAUAUGUAUGAAAAUAUUUAGAUUAUUUUAUUAUUAAAUAGAUAAUGUAAUUAUUGUUUUUUAAAGAAAAGUAAGAUCAAAUAAAAGACAAAAUACAAAAUAUAAUGUUUAGAAACAUAAUUAAUGUUAUGUAUUAAAAUUUUAUAAAUGUGAUAAGAAAUAGAAAUAGAAAGAAUAUCUUUACAAAUUAAAUGUUUGAGUAUUAAAUAUAUAAUUGACAUAAAUUAAUUUCUAACCAAAUUAAUGUUAGUGGCAUAUGAUAUACUUAAUCUAGUAAGUUUCUUUUUUUUUGAACAUUUAUUAAUCUAGUAAGUUGACCAUACUUUUUAAAAAUCUAUAAAAAACUCUCUGAAAUUAACACCUCAAUAUGACACUUAUGUAAAUAAUACAUAAGAUAAAUGUUUUUUUUAAAGCAUUUUUAUCAAUUAAUAAUAUAUAACUUUUCAUUUCAUCCCGUGAUUUACCCAGUCCGUCCUAAAAUUAAAGUGGUAAGAUGAUGAUAAGUAUAUGUCUACGUUGCAUCGGUCCCCUUAUGGUGGGUUGUUGGAUCCAUCAGUGAAUAAUUUGAAAGUCUAUAAAUGGCGAACCCCACCAGUGUUUUAGACUGUUUCUUAUUAAUGUCUUUUUUUUUUUGGCAGUCUUAUUAAUGUCUUAAACACAGCACAAUCACACACGUAUAGAACUAUAGAUAUCUAGAAAUUCCAUUAUUGGAUUAUAAUUGAUUUUAUUAUGACGGAUUCUUUUGGACACAAAAGCUAGCCGACGUCUUCUUUGAAAAUUCUCACAACCGACAGAUUUUAAACAGCCGUAUAGAGACAAAGGCAGUGAGAGUAAAGCAUAGAGUGACAACACGUAGUAACUACAAAGAAUUGACUUUUUAAAGGGUGCAAAAUUUUGCCUGGCUAUAUUUAAUCGUUAUACUUCUUUUUAUGGAUAAUUGCUUGGCUAUAGUUAAUUUAUGCCGACUGCUACCAAAAUAUCGAUCAAAGUCACCUAAGCGUAGAGAAAGCUUGAGAUUUACGUAAUUAUAAUUCAUUUUUUUCAAAUCUAAAUAUUCAAAAAAUUGAUUAUAAUAUGUAUGAAAAUAUUUAGUUUUUUUUCAAAUCUAAAUAUUUAGUUUUUUUUCAAAUCUAAAUAUUAAAUAUACUAAAUUAGAUUAAUACGUUAUAUCUAACUAAUCUAACAUCAGAUAAUUUGUUUUUAAUAUAAAAAAUUUGAAUUAUAAUAUGUAUAAAAAUUGUAGUUUUCAAAUGAGCGUAGAUAUAUAGUUUUCAAAUUAAGCAUGUUUAUUUCAUAUAUCAGAUUGGAUAGUAUUUGAUUGAGAUACAGGUUGUCAUGUAGUUUUCAAAUUAAGUAUGUUCAUUCCAUGUAUUGGAUUGGGUAGUAUCGGAUUGGGAUACGGGUUGUCAAGCCCAGACCCGAACCUCAAAACUUUUGGGUUAAGAACGAGAAUAAAAAUUAUGGGUUAUAAAUUUGGGAUACGGAUUGUCAAGCCCAGAUCCGAACCUCAAAACUUUUGGGUUAGGAACGAAAACAAAAAUUAUGGGUUAUAAAUUAGUUAUUCUAAAAAAGAAAAAAAUGUUAAUAAAAAGGUUAGAAUGAUCGAACUUCUCACCUUGAAUAUGUUAUUUUCAAACAAUAACUAGUUCCACUACUGAAGAUUAUAGUAAAAACCGGUCAGAAAAUACAUACUUUAUAUAUGGUUGGCAACACAUGCUUCCUUACCUUCUAUCCAAAAUCCAAUUUUAUACCAGUAUUUGGGGAAGAUCCAAUUAAGCAUGUUCAUUCCAUGUAUCAGACUGGGUAGUGAGAAGAUCAAGAGAUUGUUGAACAGUUCUUAUGUUGUAUAAUUGUAAAAGAACCGAUUACAAUAUAUAUAUAGAAGCUUUAGCUUAAUCCUCAAGUUAAAGAUAAACACAAAUAAGGAAUAUUUAAGAUUUUCUAAAUAUUUUCUCAUACUCUCCCUCAAGAUGGCGAGUGGAGAUCCCGAACUUCCAUCUUGCCAAAAAUAUAAGAAAAUUGAAUUCGUCCAAGUGCUUUAGUAAACAAGCCUGCAAGCUGUUCAUGUGUGCGAAUAUAAGCCGGUGCGAACUCCUGCUUGGAAGGCAUCACAAAUAGUGUGACAGUUGUUCUCUAUGGAUUCUGCAGAAUGUCUAGUGCUGCCUUGUUAUCACAGUAAAAAGAAACUGGUUCUGGAUGCUUGAUAUCGAACACAGAAAGAAGCUGGAGAAACCAUUGUAUCUCAGAGAAUGUGUAAGACAUUGCGCGAUAUUCCGCUUCUGGAGAAGAACGAGAGACAACUCUGUUUUUUUUUUUUUUUGUCUUCCAAGAGACAAGGGAAUCACCAAAUAAGAUGGCAUAACCAGUGAGGGACUGCCAAGUUAUCAGACAAGAAGACCAGUCCAAAUCACAAUAAGCAAACAUGUGAAGAUCGGGUUUGGAGUUAAGGAAUAUACCUUGCCCAUGCGUACCCUUAAGAUAUCGUACUACUCGAGUCUCUGAAUCUCAAUGCUUCUUCCGUGGUUUAGUGAGGAACUGAGCGAGUAAAUGGACCGCAUAGCUGAGAUCAGGCCGAGUUACAGAUAAGUAUACUAAGCGUCCAACAAGCCAACGGUAUCUGGAUGGAUUGUCAAAAUAUUUUCCAUCGUCUCCAGCUAGUGUAUGGUUUAGCGUAACCCUCAAGUUAUCCAAUACAUAUUCUGAUAAGCCGCAUUCAGAAACGAUAUCCAAUGAAAUAUUUCUUUUGGAAAUAUGGAUCCCUUUCUUUUCACAAAAUAUUUCCAAACCGAGGAAGUAUUUUAACACGCCAAGAUCCUUUAUAUGAAAACUCUUACUCAUGUAAGCCUUGCAUUUGGAGAUAAGAGUUGUGUCGUUGCCCCCUCUAACCAAGUCAUAUACAUAAACAAGAACAUAGAUGCAAGAAGAGCCACGAUGAUAUGAGAAGAGAGAGUAAUCCUUCUUGUUUUGUACAAAACUAAACCGCAACAACGACGCUAAAAGCUUAGCAAACCAACAACAUGGAGCUUAUUUGAGACCGCAGAGAGACUUUUGUAGUCUACACACUUUGUUUUAAUCGGAUGAAGAGAAACCCGGCGGAAGCUGAUGUGGUGUAUGCGGGGGUAUCAAAUUUUACCCUAAAAGAAAUAAAAGAAAGCCGCAAGUGCACAGCUAAUCAGUUGUAAUACUUAGAGAUCGAAUCCAUAGAGAUUUGCCAAAUAUUUUUCUACGGUCUCGUAGCUUGUUGGCCGUCUUCAAAUGUCUUCGGGGAAAAUGGAAUAUCUUGAGAUCCAACCGUUGGAAUGUCUCCAAAGUAAGUGCAUUUGAAAGCUGGUUGAGUCUUCUAUUAAGUAUCCAAUUUUGGGGAUGAUCAGACGGUGAAAAGCUCUUCAUCUCUCCUUGAGAGUUCUGACGGUCUGAAUUUAUCCAAAAUAGUCUUUUUGUUCCAAUUUUCACCUCUUUCUUCCAAAUUACCUGAAAAGUCUUUAAAAAUCCGAAAACAUAAAAAUCAUUUGAAAACCUUUGAAAAUGGAGUAAAAACACCUGCAAAAUAUAUUACACUGAUCCAUAAAAAUGGUCAAGGUGUUAUAAACUCCCCCAGGCUUAGACUUUUAUUUGUCCUCAAACAAAACAAAGAUCAAAUCUCGGUGAGAGGUUUGAAAACGCAGGAACUAACAAAAUCUCAGAGACCAUACUUCUAGACUAAAAUCAAUCAUUAUGCAUUAACCGGGGAUAACCUAGAAAAUUCUCACUAAAAUACAUGCAUAACUAAUCCGUUGAUCUGUCAUGCGAAAGUAUAUACACUUAGAUCUAACUUCCACUCAACUAGCUCUUAACAUUUAUUAAAAAUCUAUGUGGUUCUCAUCAAAAUAAGUAUAAGCAAGGCGAUUUGGGCUAGGUGUCAAAAAGGCUCUUUUCGGGGUGAGGUUUUAAAGUGUUUUGGGUUACCUUGAUUUUUAGAGAAGUAGGGUAUUAUGCAAAACAGCAAGAGAUAAUGGAGCUGUUGAUAUCUACAGUUUCCAGUCACAUUCUUCUUGCUUUAGAAUCUUUUAUAUUUCUCAGGUUCUCCUUUUAGUUCCCCCAGACUUAGAUUCUUGUCUGGGUUGUAACCGUAACUCCAACAGAUGCAUACUAAUCGCCUUUUGCCUCAAAUAAUUUUGGCCAUCUAAGACUCUUUAGGCUUUUGUUUCUUUUCUUUUCAUUCUUUUUCUUCUCUCUUUUUUCUCUUUUUUUUAGAAGAGGGAAAACACCUUUAGAUAUAGAGUCUUAGAGGACACAAAAAUUUAGCAUUAAGAGCAACCUUUUCGAAGUGUCUUAACAUUGCCGAUGUACCUCCCUUCCAACUCCCAUUUAGUUCUUCUCUUUGGAUGACUGAAAACUGUGCCGUUCCUCCCUCUCCAGCGUUUUUGCUCAUAUCUGCUGAUAUAAGCUAAAGAGAGGAUAUGUGAGGUAUGAAAAAAAAAGGAUUGGGUAAAGGUAUGGUACCAGCUAAAGAUGAACUAGCCAUCUAAGACAACAAAGAGUGGUAAAAAUGAGGGAAAAGGUGUUCUAGAUGUAUAUCUUGAUGCUUGCCUAAAAUCAAUGAUGAGAAACUUAGAUAUCAAUAUUAAGGUGAUGUGGCCAUCAACCCAGCUCAACAUCACAAAGAGACCCCAAUGAUCUUAGACAAACCAGACGGCCCAUCCGAAGCCGAGAGAUGCCUUAUAGAAGCUGAACCGGAGAAAAUGAGCAUAAAGGCGAGCCCAACAGAAACAGAAGUGAAAACUUGGAGUUUCACCAACCAAAUGUCAUCAAUGGAGUCUGUGAUCGAGCCAAAACACUUUUCAGUUGAUCCAGAAAUGAAGUUACCCAAGAAUCAACUCAAACUCUUGGCCAAAGCAUGUUCAAGCAACACAAGAAGACCCAUGCACCUUAUUCAGCACUGAUGAAGUCAGAGAUCAGCUGGUACAGCUCGGCCAACACUUUUAUUACAUUUCUAUCUCAUCCAGUGAACGCCUAGAAGUGGAAUCAGCCCAAUUAGAUCUCAGAGAAAUGAGUUAUUCAGCUUACAAAUCAGGUGAUGCACAACUUCUACGAUUUGAACAUACGUGCCUUAUUUGGAGGUUUCCGACCGAACCAGAAGGAUAUAAGCUGUGAACCGACUUGUUCCCAAUUCUUGAUUCAUCAUAGAAUCGGAGACAGUUGGAAUCAAACCAAUACCGGUUAUGGUUAGAAAUUUAUUCACUUUACAAGUUGGAAGAUCUGUUUCAGACCCAAUUGCGCAGUUAGGCUGAAGAUCUUACUCUACAGCCCAACUCAUCCACGUUCUCAGCCCAAAAUUACUUGGAGAAUAUUUUUUGGUCUUUCUUGGAUCCAACAAGCUCAAGAUCCGAAGAAUUUCUCAUUGGAACUUCAAGUUACACCCAAUAUCCCAAAACGGGUUGACUUGGUUCCAUUUAUGGCAGGUCUGAGCUCUGACUGGUAUAGAUCGCUAUCUACAAGAGUUUGGCGCCCAGGAGAGACUCUAAGGCAACUAAGGAAGCUUAGAAACACCUUACCAUGCACCAGCACCCACAGGAUCAGGCGGAUCGUUUUGCAAGCUUACUUUCCUUAUGUGGCCGCAUUCACACUCGGUGCUAUUAAUCACCAAUAGCUCUUUUCCUUUGAAUGCUACGACUUGGACCCUAAAAACGUCUAGAUACAAAGGCAUCAUCACAUUUUCAUAUUUGGUCGAGAUCCUCUUAUUUAGAGCCUAUCGGCUAGUUUUUGAUUAGCUUUGAUUUGUUUCUUUGUUUUUAGCAUUUUAGAACGUGUAAGAGCAUUAUAUAAGCUCAUAUUAGUCCAUUUGUAAAAACUCAUCUUUCAAUCAAAUUAAUACAGAAGUUUCUUAUUUUCUUUCAAAGUGUGUUCUUUGGAAAAUUGUCUUUUCUUUUGAAUAAAUGUGUGAGAUUCACUUCUAUUCUCUAGAAGCCACGAAUUUAGUUGUUUGUGUUACUCAAAUAACUUGUUCGUUCAUCGAUUGAGAGAGUCAAUCAAACCACCACCUUCCAUCUCAAUAUCACGUACGCCCACUUUCGCAAACAAACUUGUAAACUCUUGAUUAUCUUGUGAACAUAAGAUUUGGUGGAUUCCAAUCUUAUAUCAUUUGGUAUCAGAGCACAAGUUCCUAUCAAAGUGCUUAUGUUCUUUAUCUUUCCCUUUUGUUAUUUUAAUUCAGUCUUUUUUCAUUUUAAAUCAUAAAAAGAAAAAAAAAUUAUUGUUUUGAAAUAUUCUAUGUUUUCUUUAAUUCUAAAAAAUCAGAAAAUAGAAAUAAGAAUUUUCCCUUUUGUUAAUUGCAUUUUCGAAUUUUGUAUCCAAAAAUAUAUAAAUAUAUUUAUCGGUUUUUCUUUUAUUUUUGGUUUUGCUUUAAUUCCAUUUAAAAAUCAGAAAACCAAAUAAAAAUAUCUUCUAUUGUUUUCUUAAAUUUUAUAACUCAGAAAAACAGAAUUUUCUUUUAUUAUUUAAGAUUGUCGAAUUUGUUUAGUUUUUUAAAAAAUCCCUUAUUUUUGAAAUAUUUUGUUGUUUGCUUUAAUUUCAUUAACCAGAAAAAAAAAGAAUUUUUAUUAUUAUUAGAAUUUUGAAUUUGUUAAACAAAAAAAAAAAGAAGAAGAAGAAACCAUUGUUUUAUUUACAUUCUCUUUCUUUCCUUUCUUGCUUAAGCCAAACUUUGAUACGCUUCUUCUUUAUCUCUGCGAGGUACAACCCUAAGGAGCAGCCACCAUGACUGAAUCAGAAGAAGAUCAGUACCAAUUUGAUGGAGACCAAUGGUGUCAAGGAGAAGAGAGUUUAGCUUUUUCCGAUGAGGAGGCUGACUAUGAGUCUCCACCGUGACUAGGAGAUGGCUACACCAGCUCUGGAAUUGGAGAUGAAUCAGACUGUGAAGAGUACGAUCCAGAGCCACCAUAUUACAGCAGAGUCAACACUAAUCAAUCAGCUUAGUCUAGAGAUAAAGAGACAGGCCGAGAAAAAGGUGUAGAAGGUGACCAUGAAGGAGAUCCUUGGCAGGACGAAACUGAGUCUUAAUAUCACGAAGGAAACUACAACACUGAACCAGAAGACAGAGAUGACUCAGAGCAUUGAGAUUUUGACCAUGGAGAACAAGGCCGAUCUUUAGAACCUUACCAAAGGCCAAGGUGCGAAGUAACUGAUUCUGAAAUCAGUUCAAUAGAUGCUGACAAUACUGAUGGUGAGUCUUGGAGCCACGAGACAGAGCUAAAAAAAAGCAUGGUUGAUGGACCAGAGCUUGACGAGGAGGAACAAGAGCCAAAUGGAGACAACAUCAACUACACUGAACAAGACUAGCCAGAUGGUGCAACAACAGAUGAUGAGGUAGAUGAUGAGCCACACCACAUCUAUUUUUCAGGUCAUGAACAAGGACCAGAAGCUUACCUAUAGUGGGAGAGCGAAAUAGAGUACAUGAUGAAGUCACAAAACAUUCCUAAGGAUCAGAGACUUUCAUAUGCACUUGACUCGUUUGUUGGAGAAGCUACUACAUGGUGGGAACAAGAGGAAGUUGUGGCCAACUAUAAUAAUUCUGCCAUCACUUGGGGUAAUCUCAUGCAGCGUAUGUACAAAGAGUUUGUACAGAAGUCCCAAAACCGCAGCUACAUUCCCAAGAGGCUAAUGUUCAAAACAGCUACAAAGAGGUGGAUGUCUACGCCAAAAUCGCAGCCUGUUUCUAAGUCAAAGAAAGCUUGCUAUUCUGAGCUAAAGAAAGUGUCUCAAAGCACUUUGGAAAAGAAGAUAGAGGUUAAGAAUCCAGUGGGAGCAACAGGAGUUAAACCAGCCUCCAAACAGCCUGAUCACUACAAGAAAAACACCGUUUUACAACGGCCAAAACCUUCGUAAGUUCAUUGUAAAAGUCUUAUUACGACGAACAAGCGACGGUUUGGAAAUUUUCGUAAACUUAUCGUCGUAAAUGACAUUUCGUCGUAAAAGCGUCGUACAAUCUAGGACGGUUAUAAAUCGUCGUAACAUCGACGUAAACUAAACGUCGUAAAAGCGUCGUAAUGGUUACGAUGACUUUACAUCGAUUUGUCUCAAUUUGGUUUUCAGCGUAACCGUCGUAAAGUCGUCGUUACCGACGUAGGUUCGUCGUAUAAUAUACGAUGUAUAUAUCAUCGUAAUUCGAUCAUAUUAAUUUUUUUCUUUUCGACAUAAAACCGUCGUAAAACACUGACGUAUAUGUGUCGUACAAUACGUCGUAUAUUAUACGACGAAUAUUUGGUUGUAAUUGGAUCGUAUGGUUAUAUAUAAUCUUACGACGAUUUUACGACGAUUUAUUAAAUAAAUAAUAAAUAUAUUACGACGAUUAUACGAUAUUUUUUAUAAAUAAAAUUAAAAAAACAUUUAAUUCGAAUUAAAAUUUUAAUUAAAAAAGAAAUAAAUUUAAAUUUAAAUUUAAUUAAAAUUUAAAAUAAAAAAAUUUAUAUUAAUUAUAAAAUAACUUAUCAAAGAUCUAACUCUAAAAUAAUGUCGUCUAUCACCGCAUCGAUCCGCUCCGGAUCCCCAUCUUGCUCCACAGGUUUCUUGCCGGCUCUUCGGUUGGAGGUAUCCGGCACCUGAUCCCCGGCUCUAGGAGGAUCAACCCCGAGAGACCGGAACAUCUCCUCGUCUGUCUGCACUGGUGGUUGCCUCCUAGAGGAUGAAGACGAUGUCCCGACGACUCUAGCUGCCCGCAACCUAUCCAACUGCGUCUGGGGCAACGGGUUGUCGGCCCCCAUAAUCUCGAAGAGACCGUACAACUGGUCGAUCUUCGUCUCGUACAGCGUCCGCAUCUGAUGGAUCUCCUGGCGGAUAACGACUGGAUCCCAUGCCUGGACAUGUCCAGUCGCUGUAGCGAUUGGGGUAUCACGGAUGGAUCCCAUCCCUAAAACCUGGCCCUUCUUCCGAGGGGCAACCUUAAAAAAUGUAGAAAACUUAUGUAAAACAGUACAAUAUAUAGUUAAAUUUAAACUAAAUAGAAAAAAUAAAGUAAAUUAAACUUACCUCUUCGAAGAUCUGGUCCAUCUCCGCCACCGUCAAUAUCGGGGUGGACUGGACCGAGCUACUUCCGGGAGAUGUCGGAGGUGCCUGCUGGGUGAGCUGUGUAUGCUGCUCCUCAAUCCUCGCACAUGCGGCGUUGUAGAUCUCUUCCGCUCGAGGAUCCGUGAAUUCGCCGUUCUUCUUCUUAUGGGUCUCGGCGAAAACCUUCGUCAUCGGAGGAAGUUCUCCCCCGUUUUCUUCGACCUACAAAAUCAAUUUGAAAUUAUUAAUAAGAUAAAUAAGGUUUAUUAAAAAAAAACUUAUUAAUAAAAACUUACCAUCAUAAGUCGUCUCUCGGCGAAAGGAACCUGGCCGGAAGUGUGUGGGACGUUCUUUAGAUUUCCCACAACGUCAGCAACGUUCCUGAAAAUGAAAUAUUUAGUAAUUAGAUUUGUAAUUAAAAAUAUAAUAUUAUAAAUUAAACACAUUUUAAUUUAAUUUACAAAUAUACCUGGAUGUGGAACACUUGGCGGCAAUAGUCUGGUUGUUCGGGGUCAACCAAUGAUGCACCUCCCAGACGGUAUCGGCCAUUGGCGUGGCUUCUCCUUGUUGCCGUCGACCUCCCACUUCCGCUUCCAGUCAGAAACGGUGUUGUUGAGCCGGAACUUGACCUUUUCAUUGAAGGCCGUCUUCACACGUUCGUGUGCGGAAGUUUUCCAAGGCCAGUUUUGCUACAAAAAAAAAAGAGUUAGUAAUUAUUGUAAAAAAAAAAUAAAAAAUAAUAUAAACCAUAAUUUUAAAUAACUUACCGCGAAACACUUGAACCAAGUGUCAAUAGUUUCCUGAUCCAGCUUCUUCCAGCUGGUAUGGGGUUGUACGAAUAACCCCUUGAUGAUGUCGGAAACGUUACGACCGACUGCGUUAUCGGUCGUAAACCUAGUCAUUAAAAAAAAUUUGGUUAGAUAUUUAAAUUAAUUAUAAAUAUAAAUCUUUUAAUGAAAAAUUUGUAAAAAAAAAACCAAAAAUCGUACCAAAACAUCCCCGGAGCUCGAUCCGGAUAGAGUUUCUUCAUACUCCCACGACCCGGUUGCCGUAGAAGAUCCUCAACCGUAUAUUGGACAUACGGUUCAGGCGGUAUCGGGGCUGCGGCUGGUGCAGGUGCUGCUGGUUCGGCUUGUAGUGGUGGAGGCGGUGCAGGCUGUGGUACAACAAUUGGUUGUGAAACUGUACGUUGAGGAUGGCGGACCCCGUAGCUAAGGUGGACGGAGCGGUAGCGUCUGGAUCAACCAUCUCCCGAUAGUGGAACCUCUUGGUCCGGAGAGCUAUCUAAAUAAUCUACAAAAUUAAAUUAAAUAUAAUUACUAAUUAAUCUAUUUAUUUCUAAAUUCCAGAAAUUCCGAAUCUUACUAAUUCCCCUAAUUAUAUCUAUAUAAGGAUUAAAAUUUGAACAGGAAUAUAAAUUAUAAUGAAAAAACUAAAAAAAACUUACAAAUUAAGACUGGAGAGGAGGGAGAGCAAGAGAGAGAGAGUCUUUGUAGAGAGAGAGAGGGAAGUGAGGAAUGAGAGAUGAUGGAGGAAAACUCACGUCCCUUAUAUAGAUUUUGUGAUCGUUGUAAAAUCGUCGUAACGUUACGACGGUUUUACGACGAUUUGGUUGUAUAAUCAUCGUACCAGUGCAUGACACGACACGUGUCAUGCUCACAUCGUUUGAGUAUUACGACAAUUUUACGAUGAUUGUUCAUCAAACUAUCGUAAAACCGUUGUAAUAGGCCAACAUAUAUACCCUCGUACCUCGGAUCUGGAGCCAAUCCGGCGGCUGUCAGAUGUAUGAUCGUCAUUAAUGUUACGACGGUUUAAUGAACAUUCGUCGUAAAAACAUUGUAAUUUUACGACGUUUGUACGAUGGUUUUAUGAUGGUGUUUAAAAAAGUUAUCAAACCCUAAAUCUCUCAAAAGACUUAUUGCAUUAAGGACAACCCAAAGCUGAUUUUAAACUAACAUAUUACAAUAGGUUCAUCACUUUACAUGUAUGACUGAUUUAGUACAUGAGAUAACAAAUAUAUCAACCAUCUUAUCUAAUAUAUAACUUUUUACUUAACAUUUACAAAAACAUGCAUGAACUAGUAAAUAUGUAUGAUUUUUUUUUCAAAUUUCUGAUUUUGAUCAGAUUGAAUACUUUUCAUAUCAAAUAAGAUAACCUAUCAAAAACAUUUGUGAAACAUGUUGGAAAUUCAUCCGGAUCAUUCGGGUCCACCUAAUCAGAAAAAAUCUUGCUUUAAUUUCUUAAUUUUGCAAAUAUGCAUGCAACCAUAUAUGUUGGAUAUCAAAGUCUUUUAAUUUAUAUUUUAUACGUAAUUGCGUUUUUAACCACUAGGCAUAAUGUUUUUGAUCUUUACGAUCAUUGAUUUCAAUUUCAGAAACCCCAUAGAUGCAUUCUUUAACCUCAUCAACGAAUGUCCUGAAAAAAUAACUAAUAAUUAAUUAAGACUGACAGUAGGAUAUACGUAUGUGCACUGAGAUAAUCUUUUUCAUUGGACCCCCAAACUUCCUUCAGUUUUCCACUAAGACGUCCGAUCGGCGAGAAUAUGUCAAGUACACCCUUAACUGUAUAUGUAUGGCCUCUUCAAUCAUCAUAUCGACGAGUAGCUCUUUUUCGUGUUCGUACUUUUGGUGCAAAAUAGUACGGAUACAUUCACCUGUAUUGAACCGGUCCACCGAGCUCUGCUUCGUGAGGGAGAUGAACAGGAAGAUGUUCCAUAACAUCAAAAAAUGAUGGCGGGAAGAUCUUUUCCAAAUCGCACAAUAAUAUUGGAAUAUUCGAUGCCAGUUGUGCUAUUACAUCAGCUGAUAAUGUUCGUGUACUAAGAUCCUGGAAAAGUUCACCAAUGCCUCCAACAGCUUCAUAGACAUUUUUGGGCAAGAGUUCAGCAAAUGCAAAUGGAAAUAAUCGUUGCAUAAACACGUGGCAGUCAUGACUUUUUAUCCCUGCAAAUUUACCCUUUUAUCAACAGAUUUAAAAGAUUAGAAACAUACCCAUCAGGAAACUUAACGUAAGAUAAAACCCAUUUGAACAAUGCUGACUUUUGAUCUGCACUCAACCGAAAUACAGAAACUGGUGCUUUCCCGUUUCUCAGUAUAUGAAACUCACUUCUGUUGCAUAAAUCAGGCAAGUCCAUUCUUCACUUACCAUUGUCUUUUGUUCUUCCCGUUACGUUCAUAACUGUAUGCACGAUGUUAAAAAAUUUUCUCAAUGUGCAUGACAUCGAGAUUGUGUCUGAGCAGAUGAUCUUUCCAAUAGGGCAGUUGCCAAAAGAUACUUUUCUUGUGCCAAUUAUGAUGAAAUCCAUAACCUUCAGACAUAUUUGCACGAGUGUGCCAGUUUCCCCCACGCGUUACUGUUUCCUCUGCCCCCCAAUGCUCGAUUUGCGCAAUCAGCUCCUGUUAAAUUUACAGGUGGAGAGAUAUGUACACUUUUGUUCUUCCUAAAUAACCUCUUGUUCCUCCGAUAUGGAUGGUUAUCCGGUAAAAUCCUCCGAUGACAAUCAAACCAACAGGUUUUUCUACCAUGUUUUAGCUGUAACGCAUCAUUUCGAUGAAGACAAUAACAACAAGAUAACCUCCCAUGUGUAUUCCAUCCUGAUAGCAUACCAUAAGCAGGGAAAUCGCUUAUUGUCCAAAUAAGCAUAGCCCGCAUAGUAAAAUUUUUCCCUGUUGAACAAUCAUAUGUGUGAACGCCGGUAUACCAUAACUGAUUCAACUCAUGUAUGAGUGGCUGCAGAAAUACAUCGAGAGCUCGCUUCAGAUGAUUGGGACCUGGAACCAAAAUACUAAGGAAAAGAAAUUCCCUUUGCAUGCACAUAUCUGGAGGAAGGUUAUAAGAGGUUAGGAUUACUAGCCAUAAUCAAUAUUGUCUACCAGACAUACCAAAUGGAGUAAAACCAUCAAUGCACAGACCAAGAUAGACAUUCCGUUUGAACUUAGCAAAAUCUGGGUAUACCGUAUUGAAGUGUUUCCCUUUGCUUCUGAUGGAUGCACAACUUCUUCAUCUACUUGUGUAUGUUCUGCAUGUCAUCUCAUUGAUGCAGCUGUCCUUUCAGAUUGAUAAAGCCGCUUCAACCUAUCAGUUAUAGGGAGAUACCACAUACGUUGGUACGGUAUCCUUUUAUGCCCACCAGUUUGCGGCCUGUAUCUUGGUUUUUGGCAAAAUCGACAUUCCUCCGGCUGAUCAUCAUCUUUCCAAAAAAUCAUACAAUUGUCAACACAUACAUCUAUCAUCUCAGAAGGUAGACCAAGACUAAAAAUCAACUUAUAUAUUUCAUAGUAUGUUGCCGCUGCCAAGUUAUCCUCCGGUAGAUACUCUUUCAGAAGAUCAGCCCAAUCAUCCAUGCAAACCUCAACCAGGUUAUGAUCUGUUUUAAUUGACAUCAUCCUAGCUGCCAAAGAUAAUUUAGACAGAUCUUCUCUACAUCCUUCGUAGAUUGGCUGAUUAGCAUUGUCUAACAAAUCAUAAAAUUGUUUGGCAUCUACAUUAGGUUCCUCAACAUCAUUACCAGUAUGCGUUUCAUGAAAUGCAUCAGUCACCAUCUCAUGCAUCCUAUCAUGAUCUAGACCUUGAUCAGAUUGAUACUGAUUAGGCUGAUGACCAUAAUUUGAUUCAUCAAAAUCAACAUGACUUUGAUAAUUACUACUACUACCAGCAUUCCCAUGAGUAUUACUAUCAUAUCCUUCUCCAUGUAGAUACCAAACAAAAUAUUGCAGCAUAAACCCUCUAUUUAAUAAAUGCGUCCACACGGUUUUGGUUAGUGUAUACCUUGUAUUCUUGUAUUUCAAACAAGGACAAAACAUCUUUGUGGCCUGAUACAUGAAUAUUUCUAACCCGUUCUUGAACUCUUCUGUCAACGCCCCAUCUGAAUCUUUACGCAUAUACAUCCAGCUUCUUAGCUCGUAUAUAGACAUCUUGAAAAUAACUCAAAAAAACUAUCUCUCUCUAUUGUUUAGACAAUAUAAGAGACGGUCUCUUGUGUCACGUGUAGCCGCGUGAAUGGAGAAACCUUUCAAUAUUGUUACUUCUUUUUUCAAAGAAAUUACUACUAAUUCGGGUUUCCAGCAAUGGACAACCCAAUAUAUCAGGUUUUACAACAAUAUAAUAAGGUUUAAGAGACCAAAAAUGGGUCUCCAGGAUGCUGAUGCUCUUUUGUUUGAAUGAUGAUGUGUUGUGAAUGAAAGAAGAAAUGAAGAUGUAUUUAUAACCAAAUUUUGGACUUUACGACGCUUUUACGACAAUUUUUUACAUCCAACCUUCAUAUUACGAUGAUUUUACGUCGAUUGUGCGAUAAAAUAUUUCAUCGACAUUAGUUAGGUAAACAUGUUUUAAAUGUUCUUCACCUACCUUCUUUGCCGACGUAAAAUCGUCGUAACUGUACAUCGGAUUAGGAUCGUCGUAUAUUCAUCGUAAUGUUACAUCCAAAUUACGACGAUUUUGCAAUAAAUAUCAAAUCUCUCUUUAUCGAUGUAUAAUCGUCAUAAAGUAUCAUAAAUUGUACGUCGAAGUUACGACGAUUUUUUUUACGACGUUUUAUUUUUCCAUCGUAAAAUCAUUGUAACAUCGUUGUAUAUUUGUGACGACUUAUAAACUGUCGUAACAGACCGUUGGAAAACGAUUGUUUACUUGUAGUGGAUGCAGCUCAUACGCAGAGCACAAAACCAAAGUAUGGGCCACAUGUCAACACAGAGCAAGGUAAGCCAUCUAAACUCUCUAAAACAAUCUGUUAUAGGUGUCAUCAGAGAAGUCAUUUUGCUAAGACUUACCCAAAUACAAAAUCAGAGGAUACUUCAUCAAUUGAACCAGAAAAAUAUGAAGCUAGAGAAGUAGAAAAAGAUGAGUUAUAUUGUGAAAUUUCCAAUUCAGAUCUAAUGUGCUUGUCUUUGCCAAAGGUUAUUGAUGCAUGUUUAAAUCAUGGAGAGCAUCACUAUUAAGAGAUCAAGACGUGCCAACCUGCCACUGAAAAAUAUGAAGUUGUCACUAUCUUCACUCCAAUCCAAGAGGAGCCACCAGAUCUUACACUGAAUCCAAAUGUCGUGGCAACAAAGAAAACAGAACUAAUCAACAGUUCUGAUCAGGUAAGUAUUUCUUUAGCACCAUUGAAUUCCAACACUUCAAAUUCUGUGCUGUUACACUCAUUAAAUCCAGAAGAAGUUGAAUUAAAAGAAGUCUUGGUAGAAUGCAUAUCAUAUAUCGAACCAGACAUGAAAAAGAGAUAAGAACAAGUGUUCCAAACAAAAAUCAUGUUCCAUUGCUCGUAAAAAUAUUUUGACCGCGAUAACACACUUGUUUCUUGUCCAAAAAGAAAUGGUAAUUGCAGGAACUGACGAGGAUCCACAAGAAAUCCAACAGAAAGAAAUCAGUAUAGAUGCCAUUUGUAAAAUGGAGGAUUUUACAACGACAAAAAACUUGCUGCCCAAAGAAUUUAUCAACAGACAUGAGAGAGAGGUCACUGCUUCCUUAGUGAUAAAAGAAGAACCACCAGAUGCCCAAAAUAAACCAAACCCAAGCCACAAGCAAACCAUGACCCAAGGUAACUCUCUAAACCCUCAGGAAAAGCAUGAUCCUAACUUGCUCUAUCUUUGUGCAGGUCAAAGAGUUUCGAGGACGAAACUUUUCCAAGGAGGAGGGUAUGAUGUGGUCAUCGACCCAGCUCACCAUCACAAAGAGACCCCAAUUAUCUGUAGCCGAGAGAUGCCUUAUAGGAGCUGAAACGGAGAAAACAAUGGAACAUAAAGGCGAGCCCAACAGAAGCAGAAGUGAAAAUUUGGAGUUCACCAACCAAAUUUCAUCUGGAGGAUAUGAUCGAGCCAAAACACUUUUGGGUCGAUCCAGAAAUGAAGUUACCCAAGAAUCAACUCAAACUCUUGGCCAAAGCAUGUUCAAGCCACACAAGGAGACCCAUGCACCAUAUUCAGCACUGAUGAAGUCCGAGAUCAACUAGUACAGCUCGACCAACACUUGUAUUACAUUUCUAUCUCAUCCAGUGAACGCCUCGAAGUGGAAUCAGCCCAAUUGGAUCCCAGAGAAAGGAGUUAUUCAGCUUAUAAAUUAGGUGAUGCACAACUUCUACGAUUUGAACAUACGUUCCUUAUUUGGAGGUUUCCGACAGAACCAGAAGGAUUUAAGCUGUGAGCCAACUUGUUCCCGAUUUGUGAUUCAUCAUAGAAUCGGAGGCAAUUGGAAUCAAACCAAUACCGGUUAUGGUUAGAAAUUUAUUCACUUUUUAAGUUGGAAGAUCUGUUUCAGACCCAAUUGCACAGCGAGGUUGAAGAUCGUACUCUACAGCCCAACUCAUCCACGUUCUCAGCCCAAAAUUACUUGGAGAAUAUUUUUUGGUCUUUCCUGGAUCCAACAAGCUCAAGAUCCGAAGAAUUUCCCAUUGAAACUUCAAGUUACACCCAAAUUCUCAAAACGGAUUGACUUGGUUCUAUUUAUGGCAGGUCCGAGCUCUGACUGGUUUAGAUCGCUAUCUACAAGAGUUUGGCGCCCAGGAGAGACUCUAAGGCAACUAAAGAAGCUUAGAAACACCUUACCAUGCACUAGCAUCUACAGGAUCAGGCGGAUCGUCUUGCAAGCUUACUUUUCUUAUGUGGCCGCAUUCACACUCGGUGCCAUUAAUCACCAACGGCUCUUUUCCUUUGAAUGCUACGACUUGGACGUGUUAUAAUCGUCAUAAAGCAUCGUAAAAUACACUAUUUACAAGUUAUUUUGUGUACACAUUUAUUUCAUUCCCCCAAAAAUACAUCAUUUAUAAGUAACUUUUUUACGUAUAUCCUUUUUCUCUUUAAAAGAAAAUUUUCAUUAAAAAAACUUCAAAAUUUCAGUAGUUCCCAACUUAAAUCUCCGACUUUUUGGGUUCCAGCUUUAAAAUUUCAAGUUAAUUAUUUUUCCAAAACAAACCUUCAAGUUGCAUAAAAGUGUGCACAAUCGAGAGUUUACUAAGAGUCAAUGCUGUUGUUUAACGGUCAAUGUUAGAAAAUAAUAGUUUUAAAUAAUAAAUUUAUUUAUUUUUUAUGAAAAAAAAUCAAAAUAAAAAAAUAACAAAAGUAUUUUUUCAUUAUUUUUUUUUCAACACUUAACGGUUAAUAUAUUAUAUUGUUAAACUAAUAACUUUAAUUGUAUUAAUUUAUUUAUUAAAAAAUUAAAAAUCUUCUCAGUUGCAAAUCUUUUCAAGUGUGACCAAAUAAUCCAUUGGUCGAUCUUAUGUAUUCACCAUUAGGGUUGAGAAAGGAUCAAAGUUUUCUUAAUGAGAACGAGAAGUAAAAGGUAAACUCAUUAGAAGUUGUGUCUCUAGGUACCGGAGUUGAACCGGUUUUUUAUAGAAAGAUUUCUCAAGCGUGAAAAUCAUAACGGAGAGGUCAUAGGCGAGAGAAUUGUUUUUUUGUAUUUUUUGUUUUUAUUUUGAUUUUUUGGUUUUUGGUUUUUAUGUAAAAAAAUAAAUAAUUUAUUAUAUAAAAAUUAUUAUUUUAACGUUGAGCGUUAGACAACAAUGUAAAUUGUUAGUCAACCCUUGAUUGUGCACACUUUAAUGCAACUUGAAGGUUUAUUUUGGAAAAAUAACUAACUUGAAGGUUUAUAGUAAAAAACCCAAAAAAGUAGAGGUUUAAGUUGGGAACCGCUGAACAUUUGAGAGUUUUUCUGGUAAUUUCUGUUUUUUUUUAAAGAACAAUAGAACAAAAAUAUUCUUUACUAAAUUCAAAGAAACCCAAUAAGAAAAAAAUAUUCUUAUCAUUUAUUCCUUUAGUGGUCACACUAGUUUGAGCCUUAAGAAAAUCUGUUUCUUUAGUUUUUUGGAAAUCAUAAAAUAAUUGAACAAAAAUAGCUUUUGGGUGAGUUCUAGCUAAUGGUCUUUGUACGCUUAGUUGGCCCAGCUCCUAUCAGCUCACUAAAGCCCAUACGUAGAUUUACCUAAGAGACUUUGAGUUACUUUAGUCAGAAUGUCAGAUCUUCUAUCACCUUCCGGCCAAAUCAAUUUUGUAAAGACUAGUUUCGUACCAUUUCAUUGAAGCUAUUUCCAAUAAGUACAAAAAAAGGCGACAGAAGCUUGUAUAGAAACAACAAUACUUCUAGUAAUACAAACAAGAUACAACAAUCAAAAUACAACAAGAAACCCACAGCCAAUCGAGUCACAAAACACGUAAAAAGAAAGCAAUCCCUCUGAAAAGUUACUUACUAUAUUACCAAAUUUACUUGGAAGUAUCUAAAACUUUCAUGGAGAUGCACCACUGCUUCUGGAACGAUACAUAGUGGCAAAAUCCAAACUUAAACGCCGGUCCCUUUCGUCUCCCCAGCCUCCCCAACC